This 114523-nucleotide long non-coding RNA is filed under the name Cucumis sativus (cucumber). RNAcentral describes it as "long non-coding RNA (CSAT_LNC000862)". The record is from RNAcentral. Lineage: Eukaryota; Viridiplantae; Streptophyta; Magnoliopsida; Cucurbitales; Cucurbitaceae.
UUUUUUUUUUUUCUUUUCUUUUGUUUGUACCAUAGUUACAAUCUUCAAGAAAAUUCAUGUUAAUUUUAAAUUUUGUUAAAAAAAAAAAAAAAACUAUUCCCUUCGAAAAUGAUUUGGAAUUCUUCCAUUUUUUUUUGUACUGUGUGCAAUUGGACUAGUUUAGGUGUUUUUCUUGAAAGGAUUUUCAAUUAUAUUUACUAAAUGUUGGAAUGUCUUGAAUUUGAUAUCUAACGGUGCAUUGUAUUCUGAAAAAUUUUCUCCAGUAAAAUUGUUUUUAUUCUGUCUUAUGGACGUAGCAACAUAUUGUUAGUAAACCACAUAUAUCUAUGUGUCGAUUUCUCUACAUUUUUUUAUUACUUUAAUUAUUGUUGCUUCCAUAAUAUUAAAAACAUUUUCGAUCGAUGAAAAUAUUGAUGUCCAUGGAUAUUAGUAUAAAAAAAUGGCAUUAGUAAUAUUUUAUUGUUUAUCUUUAAUAUUUAUGGAUUUUUUUUAUGACACAUUGAAAAUGUUGAUUCAAAACCAUAGAAAUGUGUGAACCUAUGGCUGAAGAUAUGUUGAUGGAUAUUAGUAGAAAAAAAUGGCAUUAGUGAUAUUUUAUUGUUUAUCUAUUUAAUGUUUAUGGAUUUUUUAUGAUAGAGUGAAAAUAUAAAUUCAAACCAUAUCUUGAUGUUAAAAGCACGAAAAAAUCAACAUGUUGGUGAAAAUUUUACCAUAUCUACAACCAUACAAUGUAUUGGUAAAAUUGUUUGGACAAUAUGGUAAGAUUAUUAGCCCGAGUAAAUACUAUUUUGGUAUAGUGAAAGCACAACUCGUUUGAACUUAGUUAAUGCAAUUUAAAUGUUUAAUAUUUAUCCUUUCACUAAACAUUUAACUUAAUCAGUGAAAUUGAAUAUUUGAAAAUACAUAUAGACUAAAAGUGAAAACAGUUCAAAUACCAAAAUGUAUUUUAACUAGAAAUUGAUGAAAUAGAUCUAGAAUGUUUUAGGCAAACAAGAAAAAAUAACUACGACAUUAAUUAGAAUAAUAUUUUUUUAAAUAAAAUACGUGAGAUAGGAUAAUCAAACCUUAAACUCAAAAUUUUAUGUCAAAUCUCUAAUAUGAGAAUUAAUGUGUACAAAUUCUAAGGAUGUUGAGAUUUGCACUAUGUAUAUAUGUUUAUUUUUUCUUAGGAUGAUAAAUAAUUUAAUCAAUAAUUUUUUUAAAAAAAUAUAGAAUUACAAAAGAAGAAAUAAGAGACCUCAUCAUGAUCAAACUAUAAAUGGACCAACGCAACCAAAUAAAUAAAAGUAACCAAGCAAACUCAUACCAAACACAACUCAAAAGGAAAAAAUCUUCAAGAAAAAGACCUAAAGUCUCAAUUUCUUUGAAAGAAGCCUCAAGCUGCUAAGAGCAACAAAGAAAACCUCGAACUAUACCACUUAACGUCUGUUCACAUAAGACGAGAGCAAACUAGCUCAAUGAACAUAAAAUAUUAAGUUAAUACCAAAUAUGAUAAAUAACAACACGCCAAGAGACAACUUUUCAGACCUUAUGCCUCAUUCUAUUAAUUACCUGCAUUAAAAUGAAAAUCCAAUUGAGUUUAGUAUCUUAACGAGUGAUUUAGUGAAAGAUUAGGGCAUACACCACCUACUAAUAUACAAUCAUAGACGUUUGUAACUGAUUCCAAACAUCGAUCCAAUCGAGCUAUGAAAGAAUGUUUGAAAAUAUUAUCUCCAAAUAAAAAUAGAAAAAAAUAAAGAAAAGGUUAGAGCAAAGCCACUCUAAGUUGCCUAUUUGGACCUACAUUAUUAUCAUAAAGUAAGGGCCGUACAUAAUUAUAUUAACUUGUCAAUGUCAAUUGGACUAAGAUUAAUUAACUAAUCUUUACAUUAACUAAGAUUAUUUAAUUAAUCUUCAUAUUAACUAUCUCGAACAUGACAAAGAUUUUUGUACGGUACUCUUCAACAAAAGGGUGAUAUUCUUUUAUAUUAUAUGAAAUAGAUUUCAUAUAAUUAUUUCGAAUGGAACUCAUUUAUGAGAUAUAUUUUAUGUUUAUGAUUUCUGACUAGACUAUAGUCUUUCUACAAGAGAGACUCCAAAAUUACUUUUUAUUACUUUUAUGAAAAGCAAGGGAUUUAUAUUCUAAACAUUGAGAUAUAUUUGUUUACUAUAGUGAUUUGUGGUAAGGUUAUAUAUUAUUUAAUUUUACAUUAAAAUUAAAAAAAAAACAAUACAUUAUAGAUAUAUUUAAGUGGAACAAAAAAAAACAUUUUAAAAAAACUAUAGUUUCACGUUGAAAAACAAAUAUUUACGUUUAAAUAUAUUUUUUAAUUUAAUUUAAAUAUUAAAAUUUUCAUAUAUUUCGAACCAACGAAAACUUAGAAAUGUAGUGUAAUUUUUAAAAAUAGUAGAUUUUACACAAUAUUUAUAACUUAUAGCAAAUUCUAUCACUGAUAGUCGUUGAUAUGCUAUAGUGAUAAAAUCCAUAACUUUUAUCAUUAAAAAAUGAGGUAUUUUUAAAAAUAGUAAAAUAAAUUAAAAUAUUUAUCGGCUAUAAUAAAAUUUUGGAUUAUAUCACUGAUAAUCUUCUAUCACUAUAGCAUAUUAAUGACUAUUAAUGAUAAAAUCUGCUCUAAAUUGUAAAUAUUUUGUAAAAAAUUCUUUUAUAGUUGGUUUAAAAUUUGGUUAUUUUUAAUAUCUGAUUUCCAAAAUUUUUUAUUAAAAAAUUUCAAAUAAAUUAUUAGGGUACGAUUUGGUUAUCUCUAAUAAUUUGGAGAUUUAAUUUAAGAAAAAAUAUCAAUUUUAAAUUUCCUUAUAUUUAAUAAUUUCGAGAUUUGAUUUAGAUUAAAAUGAAUUAAAUUUUGAAUCUAAAUUAUGUUUAGAAUUGUUUGUAGUACGUUUGUUAUAUUUUUCCUUUAUAUUUUUACGUUUCAUUAUAUAUAUUUUUUCCUUUUGUAGCUCUUUGGAACAUAAGUUUUCUUUGUUUAUCUAAUCUAUUUAUUUUUCUGAUUUUUGUUUAUAUGAUCUCUUUAUCAACUUUGACUUUGUCAACGCUAUAAUAUAGAAGUUCUUUGAACGUAUUAAUGUUUUUUUUAUUAUAAAAGCAAACUUUUAACUAAGAUGUGGACUAUGUAUGUGAACUAAAAUUUAUCAUAUUAAUUAUUUUAUUAUAUUAUACUCUAUAUUAUGUGAUCUGAAACAUAUUCCUAGAUUUAUUAGAGUCCUUUAAUAAGAACUCUAGUUGUACUACUAUAUAAAGAGACGUAGAGCUACGAUUUUCAAUACAACAAAAUAAUAAGCUCUUGUAUUCCAUCAAGAUCCCACUAAGGACAUUUUCAUCCAUAAUUCACUAAAUACAUUCAGAGUUUAGGAAGACAAUAACCAUCUUAUAACUAUCGUCAAUUUAUUAUUGAAAUCAUUUAUGUAAUUUAUUAUUGACAAAUUGACGUUAAUGAUAUGAAGAGUUAAUUAAAUCUAUUAUAUGGACAUAAAGUAAUUAUGCUAACACUUACUUCGUCAAGUUUUAUAUCGGUGCGUUUUAUGUCACUACAUUUUCUAAAUUGCAAAAGUAACAAAUUUAGAAGCGAAUAGCUCUUUGAUAGUUGUCAUACAUCUAAUUACUUGUUAUAUUAGUCAUAUUUGCAAUAUGCAAAAAAAAAAAUGGUACUACGAGCUGUUUUUUUCUAAAUUUUGUUGUCAUCUGAUACAAUUUUUUUUUAAUUGUAGAAGCUUUGUGCAUGUGCACGUCGUUCCGACUAGUUGUAUAACAUGAGUCGGGGUGGAAAUAGAUUUAAUUUUUAAAAACUAAAAAAAAAAACAAAAAAGCAAGAUGAUUUGUCAUGUAAAAAUGUAGAAACUAAAGUGAAUAAUAUUUUUAAAAGGAAAGAUUCAUAUAAAAUUCUCAUCUAAGAUAUUCGUUUUCAAGCCGACGCAUAAGCCUUUAAAAGUUGCAUAAAAGAAGAAAAAGCAAAAAAAAAGUUGAAUAAAGAAAUAAUAUUAUGUAUAUUUUGUUUGUUUUAGAGAAGAAAAUAAAUAAAAAGUGAGUACAUAUAGUUGAGUUCCAACUCCAAGUAUAAACUUUUUUGGUAAGUUUGGGAUGUGACAAGGCAAAAUAUAACAAAAGAUGGUGGCCUUGAUGACGUGGAUUCCUGAUUUUCUAUUGGUUGUUUAAUUGAAUAAAUAGUUAAAAACUUUUUGAUAAAAAAAGAAAUGAAAAUCUUUUUAAUUCUCAUUUUCUUUAAUUCUUUAUCUGAGUCAUGUAGGACUCAGCAAAGGCAUUUUGUAUCUCACUUUUCUCCCUUUUUGGGAACUACCAUCUAAUGGCCCACUCGUUUUAAGAUCAUCAAAGUUUGGGAAGGGUCAACUUUUCAAAACCUCCAUUUUCCAUCUAUUUAAUCUUUUAGGUGUCAUUGUUAUAUAAAUUGUAUUUAAGCGUUGUAUGAAAAGUUUGAAUGUAAUCGAGAUUAGUGAAAACUAUAAAAGUAUUGUAAUGCGUGGAGAUUGUGGAAGAAAUAAGAAUUAGAUUAUGAAGUUUAAAAACAUUCAAAAGAGGGCUGAAUUGAAAACUAGGGAUGUAAAAAUAACUUGACUAACCAAACAACCCCAACUACACAACCCAUAUUAUAUGGAUUGGAUUGAAUUAGUUAAAAAGAUCUUUAACUAAGAUGACCUAAAACUGUAUACUAUAUUACAAGAUUGACCUAAAAUUGAAAUAAUAGUAAUUAUGUAUGAAAGUUGUUCAUGUUCACAAAAACAUGAAUGAGAAAAAACUAUGAUGAGUAUACAAUAUAUGUCAUUAAAAUAUUAGUUGUUCUCUAUUACAUGUAAUGUUGAGAAAAAUUAAAUAUGUUUGCAAUGUAGGGACUUAAAUAAAAGAAUUGAAGAUCUAGAGAAUUGUAUGAAAAAAGUAGUUGAAUGUUAAAUUGGUUUAUGAAUAGUAUAUAUGGAAGAAUACACAUUGUAUAUUUUAUAAAUGAAAGGUUAUGCUAUCAAAUUAUUAAACUGACUCAUGUAUUUUAUUUCAAAUAUUCAUAUUAUAUGUAUAGAUAAUAAGUUAUGUUUGAAACAAUAGUGAUUACGAGUAUAGAUUAUGAUUAAUUGUUAUGUACUGAAAUGUUAUAUGCAUAUAUUUUUAAUAGGAUGCAAUAUAUUAUCGUACUAUCGUGUUCAUUGUUCAUAGGAUUUUAUGAGAUAUUGGUUGAAUGGAGAUAAAAUGUUCAUUAUACUUCUUAUAAGUAUAUUUGAAUUAAAGUGUACAUUACACACAUAAAUAAUAAUGUUCACCAUAUAUUUGUAAUAAUCUGAUGUAUAUUAAAGAAUGUAAAUUUCUUAUAGUAGCAUGAAACACAAACGUUAAUGAUCAUAAACAGUGUUGUGAUUAAGGAGUAAUAUUGUAUUGAAGAACUAAUAGUUUAUGAUAAAUUGUUUACAAGAAUAUGGAUGAGACAAUUUUAUAAGGAAUAUAUUGAGAAUUUUACGAUGAGUAUAUUGAGACACUUUUAUGAUUAGACAAAGUGAGCUUAGCUUGAUGAAAUUGACUUAACCUUUGUCUGUAAGAUUGAAUCCUAAAAAAAGCAAGCAUGCAAAUUAGAUUAUUUAAAAUGGAAAUAGUUGUAAAUAUAAUAAUUAGAUUCAAAAUAAUUAAGUGUAUAACAACGAUUUAAAAAAUUUAUAAAUAUAGCAAAAUCUAUCAAAUUCUAUCACAGAUAGACCAUGUUGCAAAUAUUGAUCUAUCAGCAAUAGAAUUUUAUCACCGAUAGAUUUUGCUAUAUUUACAAAUUUUUUAAAUGUUGAUGUAUGCUUAAUAUUAUUUCUAAAAUUACGGUCUAUUAUAAUUAUGGUUUAAAAUAGACACUUUACAAAACUAUCCUUCCAUGGUAGACAUUUCCUACCAUUUCUUUUAUAAAAAGCAUCAAUAUAUUAGCUCACACCCAAAUAAUAGAAAGCCCAAAAGCCCAAUGCAUAGUCUCACUUCCAAGCCUUAAAGUAAUAACAUAUCUCUCUCUUUCACAAACUCACGUUGAAGAAUCUUGCUCUUCCCAUCCCUCUUUCUCUCCUUCAAGUUCACUCUCAGUUCUCUUCCUCCACAACAGCUAACCCCUACUGAUAUGUGCUCAGGAUCCAGAAGUCUAUGGCUUGAAUCUUCCGCCUCCAUUUGAUACUAUAAAAAAGCUUUCAAUUCUCUCUCCACCUCAACCGUUGCCGCCAACUUCUAGUGUUCGUUCUUCUCUUUCUAUCUCUAGACUCAUUGCCUCCAUCAUCUCUCCCUGAUGACCACAUACCAUAGUAGGUUUUUGUUUUUCAUCGUACAUUUGUUAUCAUUGUUGUUCAUUUUUGUCGUUCUUUGAAAAUUGCAUUCCUUAUUUUAUACCCUUAUUUUCUUAUCACUCUUUACUUCUUUAUACGCUACUCAUUUCAUUAUCUAUUAUUGUCUCACUCUUCGUUACCAUUCGUUUUAUUUUCAUCUUCUUCUACUUCUUUUUGUUCCGUUUGUGAAAACUUUGUUAAAAUUGAAAUGAACCGACUAUAAUCAAAACCAUUUGAUUCAAUUUUUAAAUGAAAUCGAGACUUUUUUUUCUUUUUCUCGAUUUAAAAUACUAUAGAAUUACUAGCAUGUUCAAUUUGGCCACUGGCGAUUUUGGGUAAAAUGAACUAAAUUGAACUUUGAACAACCAUAAUUUCUAUUCAAUUUGUAGAAAAACAAACAAUAAAAUGCAAUCGUAAAGUAAUUCGUUUUUAAGAAACUAAAAGAGAUAGUUGCAAAUUUAGCAAUUAGAUUUAAAAUAAUUAAGUAUAUAGCAACCUUUUAAAAAAUUUGUAAAUAUAGAAAAAUUUGUCAAAUUCUAUCACCGAUAGACCAUGUUAUAAAUAUUGAUCUAUCACUGAUAGACAUAACGAGUUUAUCGGCGAUACAAGUCUAUCAACGAUAGUUUUGCUAUAUUUGCAAUUUUUCUUAAAAGUUGUUAUAUCGUUAAUUAUUAUUUUUUAAAUGGUUAUCCAUUACAAUUACCCAAACAAAAACUAGUAAAAGUUACCGAAUAAGUCUUGGUUUUCUAUUCAUAAAAAGUAGGAAAGAAAAACAAUCAUUAUCCAUAAUUUGGCAAUAGUUUGGGGCCAUUUGGGGGAGUGAAAGGAAUAAGAGGGAAAAUGAAUAGAAAAAAUGGAGGAUUAAAUGGAGAAAAUAAUUAUUAUAAUCCUUAUUUGGGUUUAGGAUUAAGUGGAAGGAUUACGAGGAUUAUUAUAAUUGGAUUACGACAAAAAAUACUUUUUCAUUUGUGUUACUUUUCUUAUUUGUACGUCAACCACAAUAUGAGAAAAAUACAUAAUUACUUUUUUUAAAAAAAUAAAAUUCUUGUUUUUUCUGUGAACCCAAUACAAAAUAAAAAAUGUACUAAUAUUUUUUGGUAAAUUGUUCUUACCGUAAAUCUCUACAACCAAAAAUUGUAUUCAAAUUCAUUUUUUUAUUUAGGUUGUACUGUAAUCAAAGCGUUCACAACAAAAUUGUAUUAAUUUUUUUUUGUUGAUUUUGUAUAAAUAUUUUUUUUUUUACUUCUAACAUACACCUGAUACACUUUCAAAAGUAUUUUUUUUUUCAUUUGUACAUUUUUACAUUUGUUUUUUCUUUCUUUUUUAACAUCAAAUCCAGUACACAAAAUAAAGUGUAUUGAUUUUUUUUUUGUUGUGUAAAAUAUGUUUAUGGUAUUUAUAUCGUAAAUUCAAUUCACAUAGAAACUGUACUAUUUAAUUUUUUAUUUGUCUUCAAUUUAUAGCUCAUUUUGAUCCGUAAAUCCAAUACAUUAAAGGGAUAGUUGCAAAUUUAGCCAUUAAAUGUAAAAUAAUUAAGUAUAUCAAUAUUUUUAAAAAAUUGCAGAUAUAACAAAAUUUGCCAAAUUCUAUCAAUAGUAGAACUCUAUCACUACUGAUAGACCAUUAUAGCCACCUAUUUUUAUCCUUCCCAUAUAUUUUUUUUGAAAAAUAAUAUUACUAAUAAUGACAAAACUUUUAUUUAUUUAUUUUCUUAAAAAAUGUAAAAAAUUAGUAAUAACAUAAUAUAUUAUAAUAUCUUAUGUUUAUUAUUUUAGAAAUAAAAAAUUAAUCAAUUUAUUUUAAAUAAAAUAUUUUAAUUACAUUUAUCUUAUAGUUUUUUUUUUAAAAAAAUAGUAGAUUUUCCUAUAGCAAAUUCUAUCAUUGAUAGUCAUUAAUAUGCUAUAGCGAUAGAACACUAUCAGCGAUAGAAUCUAAAAUUUUGUCCUAACUUGUAAGUAUUUUAAUUUACUUUGCUAUUUUUAAAAAUGCCCCCUAUAUCUUAUUUAUUUUAGAAAUAAAUAAAUAAAUUUGUUAGAAUAAAAAUAUUCUAGUAUCACUUUUAACUUACUCAUAUCAUUUUAACAAAAAAAGAAAAUCAAUUUUAAAUAAAAAAAGCUUUUAAGAUCAUUUUAAUUUAUUAAUUUAUUUUCACAAAAUCUCAUAAAUAUCUCAUUUAAUUUAUUUUAAAAAAAUGAAAAUAUCUUUUAUUAACAUAAUAUCCAAUUUUGAUUUUAUUCUUAUUUGUUGUGUCCUAUUUUUGUUUUUGGUGUCCAUGUCGCCACGUGCUCGAGACGACGCGAAGCGGCCGACGUCCUCAAAAGAGUUAGUUUGAAAAGAAAAUAGGAGUCACCACCAAUCUUUUUUACAAUGUGAUUGAACACCGAAAUAAAGUAAACAAUUUUAAAAAAAAUGGUCUGUGAAAAAUAGAGUUGAGUUCGGGAGUCAUUUGUGUGUGGAAAAAGUAUUAGCACCCCACAACACCCAUUUAGAAAAACGGUGGCCAAAUUAAUAAUCUUGAAUUGAAAAUAUUUUAAAAUUUAUUUUAAAACUAAUGUCUUAUUUUACUCCUCAUUACUCCAAUAUUUAAAGCAAUGAUCUAUAUACUGAGAAAAGUUUUUUACCUUAAGAAAACGAGAAAUUAUUACAAUUUCUCAAAAUCUGGCUAGUCUUCAAAUAAAGUUUUUUUAAAAAAAACAUUGGUUAAAUUCAUUUUUUCUUAGGAUCAUAAAUAUUGGACUUCCAAAGAUAUGAUUCCACACCUUAAGAAUUCUAGAAGAUCAUACUCUCAAAUUUUCUAGAUUCCAUCGUAGGAUUUUGUUUAAGGAAAAAUAUACAAGUUUUUUUAGAAAAUACUGAUUUAGGAAAACCUUAUGAAAUGAUAGGUUAGUUUUGAAGGUUCUGAAAAACAAAAAACAUUUAUAACAUUAGAGACAAAUUUGCUAAAUGCUUAAAAAAAAGCAUUUAUUUUAAAACAUAAAGAAUUUUAAAUUAGAAAGAUUUUAAAACAUUAAAAAGAUUAAAUAGGAAGAGUUACCUUUAAGUGCAUAUAACAAUAAGUAUUAUGAUAGUAACGUGAAUAAAUAAAAGAAAAGAAACAUAAUAACAAAUAAAGAAAAAAAAUGGUAGAGGUGUGACGGCACCAUAAAAGAAAUAAAAAUAAUAAUCAUAAUAAAAAAAUAUUAAUUAUGAUAAUAAUAAUAAGAACCAUAAUAGUAAUAAAAUAUAAUAAUAAUAAUAAUAAUAAAAUGAUAAUAACAAUUAUAAUGGUAAUAAUGAUAAUAAUGAUAAAAUUUUCUUUAUCCUUAUUUUUUCCCUCUAUAUUUUAGAGAAAAGAAAAUAAAUGUUAAGAGUUGGGAUUUAAAAAAAAAAAAAGAAAUACGAACAUUUUAUUUAUGUCGUUUUCUUUCUCCCUAUUUUUUUACAAAGAAGAAAAAAACUAUCUUUUUUAAAAUGAUGCUAAAAGAAAAAAGUAGUAAAAAAAUACUAAAAUUUUCCUACAGUUUCUUUUCUUUCUCUUUAUCUUUUAAAAAGAGAAGAAAAGAAAAAUAAGGAUUUGAAUCCCAAAGCAAUUACUUGUUGUAUGAUAUGCGGAUCAUUGUGAUUAAAUCUUUACCAAAUGCAACCUCAUACUAAGUUUAUUUCAACGUGACAUUUGAUUUGCUUAAGAUAAAGUAAAAAGAAAAAAUAAAGACAAUAAAGUAACGAAAAGAAAUAAGAAAAAAACUCACCUUUUACUUAAUUUUUUCCGUAGAGUUUGGCUCUAAAUAAUAAAAGUUUUGCUAAGUACUCCCUCUAAAGAAGUUUUUUUUUUUUCCAAGAAAUUUUCUUCCCUCAAAGAAUUUUUUGUUUAAGAAAUUCUCCCCAAUUUCCAAAUGACAAGGGUCUCUCUACCACAAGUUAGGAAAAAAAUAAUAAGAAUAAUAUCAAAAUUUGAUAUUAUGUUAAUAAAACAAAAUUUCAUUUUUCUAAAAUAAAUUAAAUGAGAUAUUUUGAGAUUUUGUGAACAAUAAAUUAAUACAUCAAAUGGAUAUUAAAAUACUUUUAUUUAAAAUUAUUUUUUCUUUUUUCUAGAAUGAUUUAAGUAAGUCAAAAUUGAUAUUAGAAUUUUUUUAAAAACAAAUUCAUUUAUUUUUUCCUAAAAUAGUACAAAUAAGAUAAAUGUGAUAUUAAACUAUUUUAUUUAAAAUAAAUUGGUUUAUUUUUAUUUUCUAAAAUAAUAAAAAUGAGAUAUUAUAAGAUAUUAUUACUAUUCUUUUUUACCUUUUUUUUCAAAAAUAAAUAAAUAAAUAAAAGUUUAGCCAUUAUUAUUAAUAUUAUUUUUUUAAAAAAAUAUUGGUAGGAUAAAAUAGGUGGCUACAGUCCAUUCCAUAAAUAUUGAUCUAUCAAUGAUAGAUCAUACAAAUCUAUUAGCGAUACAAAUCAAUCAUCGAUAGUUUGGUAUAUUUGCAAUUUGUUUUAAAUGCUGCUAUAUCCUUAAUUAUUAUUUCUAAAAUGGUCAUGAAUUAUAAUUACCCUACAUUAAAAAAUAUGUUUUUUUCGUAAUUUACGAAAAAUAUUUGUUUUUUCUACCACAACCCAUAUGAGAAAAAAUUGAAUUACAAAUUUUUUCAUAUAAGAAAUGUUUAUGAAAUGUUUUUCCUAAACCAAAUACAAAUAAAAGUUGUAUUAAUUUUUUUUACGUUUGUCUAAACUUAUUUAUUUUGUUCAUACAUUUUUUUCCAAAAUGACGAAAAAUCAUAUUAAAAUAAUGUUUAUAUUUCUGUAACCCCAACACACGGCAAAUAUGUAUUAAUUUUUAAGUUGAUUUUGUAUAAAAAAAUUUUUGGAUCGUACACACAAUACACAAUAUAAAAAAAUUGUAUUAUUUUAUUUCAUUUAUGUAAAAUAUGUUUCUUCAAAUUGUAUAAAAAAUAGAAUAUAAAAAGAAAUUUGUAUUUUAAGUUUUUAUCAUCAAUCUUAUACAAUAAAAGAUUGUAUUUCGUCGUUUUUUAUUUUUUAUUUUCAUUUUCAAGAUUUCUUUUUCUUCAUGAGAACAAUAAACAACAUACUAGAGAGGAUGAUUAAUUCGUUUGGUGCCCAAUGAAUGAAGAAGAAGAGAAGAUGAUUAAUUCAUUUGAGAAAGAGAAGAAAUAAGAGGAUUAAUGUGGAGAGAAGAAAUAAAUGAAGAAAGAGAAUGAUUAUGUUGAGAAAUGAAAUGAUUAUAUUGAAAAAUGGCAUUGAGUAAAUAAAGAAAGUCGGGUAAUAAAUAAAGAAAGAGAAGAAAUAAUUAGAUUAAGUUUAAUAUUUACCCUUUCCUUUAUCCGUGUGCUAAACAAGAAAAUGACUAAGAUAAUUAUUUUCUUUCCUUUCAUUUUCUUCCCCCAAGUAGCGUUGUUGUUGUUAUUAUUAUUAUUUUGGUUUUGGAAAAGUAAUCCUACUUCUUCUCCUAUUUUCUCUUCCAAUUUUUUUAUCGUGAUUUCAAUCUUUCUUGAUAAAUUUGAACUCUUACCCAAAUUCAAAUAAUAAUAGUAAUAAAUAUAAAUAAAAAAUAAAAAACUACAUCAUUUUAGUUUUGGAAAUUUAGAUUUGUUUUCUAAAACAUUGGAAAACGGAGAUAAAAAGGUAAGAAAUUUAGAAUUGAAAUAAGUAUUUAUAAGUUUAAUCUUUUGGUUGUAAGUAGUUUUUAUUUGUUGAAUUUGACUAAAAUCUUAAUUUUCUACUAAAAAAUUGAUACAAACCAAAAAGUAAGAAGAAGAAAGAAAAUAAGUUAAAAUUUUAAAAUAAAAAAAUAAAACAACAAAAUGGUUACUAAACGAAACUUAAAUAGUAAUGUGAAUGCAUGACAGGUAUUGUAAUAAAAUUUCUAAAUAAAAAAAAUGAAUCUAUUUUAAAACUCAACACUUUUAAACAUAAUUUAAAUAUUAAAAAAAUAGGUCCAAGAUUUUCCGAUCUUAUAUUCGUCAUUAUUUUUAAAAGCUAUAUUAAUUCUACCAAAAAAAUCUAAUCAAUUUGAUUAUUUUGGUUGUGUUAUGGAAUCUUACUAAAACUUCACAUCCAAAUCUAUAAUAAAAUACCACAAUUCGAUUGAUGAGCAAUUGAGACUGUUCAAUUCAAAUAUGCUUGAGAAUUACGUCCUAUAUUGUUGUUGUUAUCGAUAUAUAGUUACCAUUACAACUAUAAUUAUUUGCUUUCGUUGCCGCUGAAAAAUUUUCAAUUCGACAUAUUUAUUGUUAUCGUUACCAAUAUUGAUAUCGCUUAGAGGUAGAGAUACAGUAACAAUAACAACAAAUUUUAUAGAAUUCAUAAUUUUAAAUAUAUGUGAUGAAAAAACAAUUUAAUUACGUUUACGAUUCAAGCUUAUUACCAUUGAUCCAUCCAUGAUAUUUCACUACGAUUACAUCACUUUCCUUUACAUUUUAGCCAACAUUGCCGAAAGGUAUAACCAUCAAUGGAGUUUUUUAGAGAAAAAAGAAGAAGUCAUAAUUCAACUUUUAGCUAUUUAAAGGAUUGUGAUCUUAUUUAUGAGCAUAUAACUUUAAUUUCCAUAUAGAAGUGUGAAUUGUUGAGUAGAAAUCCAACCCAUUGAUAAUAGGGGAAUUACAUAACUCUAGCAUCAACUUAUAAAAUAUAAGGUUAUGGUACCAAAUACUAUGCCUUUUUACCCUCCCAUUUCUAGUAAGGGUUAUUGCCCAUUCUAGUCUAGAAGUUGCAUACUUAAGGAUCGAAGACCACUAACUACAUCUCUUUAAUCUAUGUUUUUGAUAAUUCAACAUUUUAUAGGUUUUGGUUUUUUAUCCAUGUUUAGAUCUUAAAUAGAGUUACGAGUUUUUUCAACACCCACAAGUAAUUUUCUUUUAAAAAAUAGUUCUUAGUAAAUACUUGUCCAUGUAAAAAGCUAAUUACACUCUUCAAGUAAACAUACAAAAAGGAUAUAUCAACAAUUUCCAUAUGGGAAACAAGAUACAUAAAAAAAGUAACAACAUUUACUAGCUAGGCAACAAUUUUGUAUAAUAUUAUUGAAUAAUCCAAUUAGUUUAUGGAAAUACAAUCAAUUACAAAAUAAAUAAAUAGAUUUCAACAAACUAAAUAAAGGAAAGAAACAUGAAAAGAAAAGAGUACUAAUAUGAAAAGUACAAAUUAGAAAUAAAGCCUAAUUAAUUAUAUAGUUUAAAGUUUAAAUACUAAAAUAGCAUAGAUAUAAUUAUAUAGUUUGAAACUCUUGAUAAUCACACCAUCACAAAUCCUUGGUGUGUGUAAUAUCAAUUUUUAAGAAACUCAGUAACCCAAAGAUUAGCCACGAGACAUUGAAAUAUGACACGUUUAAAGCCAGCUUUGGCUGCAAGGGCCUUGAAUUCAUCUCUAGUUCUUUCUUUGCCUCCUUCAUAUAAAGUCAUCUCAACCAUAUCACAUUGGGCAACAGCUUUUGUUGCACUUGUGGUCUCGGGUAAUGUUGGAAGUAUUGAGUCCAUUACGAUUACCUUUCCAUCAUCUGGGAUUGCAUUGUAGCAAUUUUUCAACAACGUUAUGCAAUGAUCGUCACUCCAAUCAUGUAGUAUCCACUGUAAUACGACGUCGUGAUAUUGAGAUUAUAAAACGUAACUUGUUCUAGGUAAUUAGUAAAUGUCACAAGUUUAACUAUAUACUAUAUUAAUCCGAGAGUAUGUAUGUAUAUUAUAUAGCCCGGUGGAUAAGAUAUUAAACUAUAUAUGUCAUUUAAAACGUCGAUGUUGGUUGAAUUUCCUUAUCACACAACAUUGAAUUAAAAAAGAAAACAGGAACAUGCGAUUAUUACAUUUUAAAUGUGGAUGCCUUUUUCAACUUAUAAACAUCUCGACUAAUCGCAGGGAAUAAUCCUCCUCCUAAAACAUUUGCGUACUUCAAGAAAAAACCAUAGGAAACUCAUGACCCCUUAAUCCUUUACCAAAUUUAUUUUAAAUAUACUAAUCUAACCAAGUAGAAUAUGGUUAGAACUUUUACUUCCGAUCAAGAUAUUGUGUUUGAUUGUAACAAUUGUACAAUAUUUAAGGCCUUAAUCCUAAAAUUGUGUAAGUUUAGAGUGGGUGUUGGGUGUAAUUCAUUUAAAAGUUUAAAAUGUUUUCAUAAACAACAUGAUAGAUUAUAAAUAAUGUUAUGGGAUCAAAAUAUAAUGUUUCUUAAAAACAAGAAAGAAAAAACAAAAGUGAUUGCAAGAAAAUAACACAAACCAAUAAUUAAAACUAAACCAACCUUCAUGAAAACAGCAUCUCCAUUUGGAAUUUUCUCAAACAUGUCUCCUCCCACAUGCUCCACACCUGCCAAAUCAAAAUCAAAACCCUCUUAACAUCAUUUUUAAUUUUUAGUCUUAUAUCUCAAAAUGAAAAAAGAAUAUAUAUAUAUAUACUACCCCUCUCUAAUCCUCUUCACAAAUAUUUUGUUAUAUUUGAUUUUGAUCUAUGUUACUCGUCACUAGUAACAAAAACAUAAGAUGUCAAUCAUUAAUCAAUCUAAUUAAAAUACAACAUCAUCAACAAAUUAAAAACUUUUAAACGUAAAUGAAUCAGACAAUAUCUAAAGUUAAAACUCUUGAAAAAGUAGGUAAUAGUAUAUCUAUACCUGGAUAGGGAGGGGCAUUGCGAAUGACGUGAGGUAAGUCAUAGUUGAUGCCUUUGAUAUAAGGGUACGUAGAAGUGAUGAGUUGAAGGGUGAUCCCAAGGCCACCACCAACAUCAACUAGUUGCUUGAUGUUUGCAAAGCCUUUGUAGGCUUUGACAAUUUUUUUAAUGGGCAUAGUGGAAUGAUUUAUCAUUGCAAUGUUAAAAACUUGGUUAAAUCUUGAAUCCGUGCCAAGGUAUUGAAAGGCAUUCAAUCCCCCGUAAGCCCUUGUGAAAGUAGUACUUCCUCCUUCAAUAACCGUAUUUUUCAGUUCACUCCUGAAAUUUUAAAAUUUUUAUUUAUUUUCGUCUGACAUACGUACGUUAGUUUUUUUCUCUUUUAUUAUAUAUCUUUAAGUUUUGGAUUACGGUAACUUUUAAAAUAAUUGUUUGUAGCUAUACUUUUAGAAAAACCAACGGUUAAUUGAACUAAAAUAACGUUUAGUAAAUUUUAAUUUUAAACUAGAAAAAAACUAGUUACAAUGUUCGGUAAAAUUAAUAAUAAAUUGGUGUUCAAUUAUACUAGGUAGGAAAACGUGCAACGUAAAUGAUCACACACAAAUUAGUCUAUUGUAUAUUGUAAAUUGAAUAUACCUAUAUUUUGCUAUAUUUUGUUUUAGAAAAGGAUACUGGAUAUGAUCAGUAGGCGCACUCAAACAUCCCAUCAGAUAGGUACCCUAUUAGCCCUCGUUAUCCCAAAAUUAUAUUCAGUAAUGUAUUCCAUUAUAUUUUGCUAUAUUGAAUAAGAAUCUUAUAUUUUUCUCCUAUUUAUUUCUUCCACUAAUAUUCUCCUCUCUAAUAUCCAUUUAACUUGAAAACAAAAGUUUCAAUCUCUACUCUAUUGUCCUUAAUUACCAACAUAAUUUGAGUCCUUUGUUUCCAUUGAUUUACUUUAGUGGAUCUUAUCUUGGUUUUUUCUCUUAAAAGAAAAAAAAAAAAAGCUUUUCUACUUUAAACAUCUUCUCUUCCUAAUAUUUAUAUUUAUUUUUCUCUAAUAUUUUGUAAUUUUCUAUCUAAUGUUGCUAAUAGCAACUUGCUUUCUCCUUUUUAACCCUUUUUUCUGAUCUCUAACCUUUAUUUGUUCCAUAAUUAACUAUUUAAACACUUUUGUCUCUCUAAUGUCGCUCUUUUAACAUGUAUUUUUCUUUAAUUUAACAUGUAUAUAUUUUGCUUUCUUUUCACAUAUAUUUCUCUAUAUAAACGUAUAUAUAUUUUGUUAUCAAACAUAAACAAAACAAAAAUGUAUAACGAUAUAUAUGAAACAUGUAUGGGUGAUUUUCAUUGUUUAAAAGUAAAAAAAAAAAAAAAAAAAAGAUCAAAGAAGAAAAAGUAAAUUAACAAAAAACUAACAAUUGAAAUGGUUAUGUUGUUUGAGUUGCAUUUGACAGUGACUUCUGGUUUUGGUUUUGUUUUUGUUUUUCUUGAAAUCUAUGCCAACUUUAUCAUAUAUCUUAAGAAAGAAACUAGAAUUGGAAGCCAAAAUCUAUAAAUUAAAAAAAAAGGAGUGGUUGAAAUCUAUAAAUUUGACUUAAUUUUUCAAAGAAAAUAAAAGAAAACAUAAAAACUGAAGAGAAAAUUAGUGUUUACAAGUUUAAGUUUCUCAUCUUAAAAUCAACACACGUGUGAGUAAAAGAAAGCAAACCAUGUAUGCAGAAGGACUUUAUCUUGAAGCAGUGUUAAAAGUGGACCUAAAGAGACACCGUCUUCGUUACGAACAUAAUACUUAGAAACUGGCGUAAGGCUAUAAAGUCUUUGCACAUUCCCAUCUUCAUCAGAAGCCAAAGAGCAUCCCACGACAGCGUGGCUUGCUAGAAGCCUCAAUAUUCUAUCAAUCAUCAACGACGCUUCAGGGUUUGUUGUGGUUAUUUUAGCCGCUAUCUCUGUCGAAGAGAGCUCGGCCCCGUUCCCGGCCUUAGCCAAGAUCUCAAACACGCCGAGUUCAAAGGCUGCUUGGAGUGUCAUCGGCACCACCGCUAAGGUAGCCAGUUCCAUAGCAUAAGCAUAGUGUUGUUGUUCCAUGACGGUGUCGUCGUCUUCGCUGUAGGAAGUGAUGGUUGUUUCCUCUGUCGUGGAAGCCAUUUCUUGCCGGAGUUGUUUGAUGAUGAAAAGAGGGCAGUUGAGGAUGUGCCAAAUUUUUUGGUGGAUGAAGUUAGAGAAAAUGAGUAGUAUUGUAUUUAUAAAGGCAAUAUAAUGGUUUUGUUAGUUGAUUGUUUCACAUCUCAACUAUUUGAUAGUAUGAAGUUCCAAAUCAAAAUUAAUUGAUAAUGAGAGAAAUAAAUCAUCUAUCUUAUAAAGAGUUUAAGUCUCUCGUUGAUUUUUCAAUAAUGUUGAAUUUUUAACAUGCAUGCUUCCUCAAGAAGAUGUCUAUUUUGGGUUUAUCAACGUUGAAACAAGAAUAGGAGAAGUGCGCUAAGCAUCAGAUCAUAUCUCAAUUUCAUUUUAUUGGACCGAAUACCCGUUUGGGCUUUAUGGACUAUGAUAUUGUAUUUGAUAACAUGAGAUUCUAUCUCGAAAUCCAUUGGCAAUAAGAGAAGUAACUCUUUUAUCUUAUAGAGAGUUUAUACUAAAUUUGCUCUCACUCACUAGCUUAAACUUUUUGGUCAAUUGAUGAUUUAAUAUGAUAUCAUAGAAGGUGGUCUAGGAAAGUCCUUAUGCUCAAGUCUCUAUUGUUUCCCUCUCCCAUUAACAUAAUAUUCAUUUUUGCUUGUUUUGAUCUUUCUCAUAUUUCGAACCCACGCGAGAAAAAAAUGUUAAAUAUUAUAUUAAAUUUGUUUGUUUAAACUUCUAGGUCAAUCAAUGAUUUAAGAUCAAUAAAAUUUACUAAAUUUUCUAUAAGUAAAAAUGUAAAAGAUAAAAAAGAGAAACGCCCGAAAGAGACACUCAACUCCCAAUUUGGUUCAAAAUCAUUUCAAAAGUUUUAGUUAGGUCAUUUCUCAUGUAAUAUAUUGAUCAUAAAUCUAUACUAUAUUAGGAGGCGCACCAAAAAAUAUACUUUUUCUCUUCUUUUUUGCCUCGUAAAUAAAUCAAGACCUCAAAUUUCCUCAUGAAGUUCAGUCUCUAAUUGUAAAUUAAUUGUCAUCAUACUUUACCAUAUUCAAUCUCAUUGUAUUAUAUAUAAAUAUUUACAUCUAUCAAUGAGAAAAGCAAGCAAAGUUUAAUACAAUUUCGUUAGAUUUCUUUCAUGACCCACAACCAUUGGUAGCUAUUUUAAUGACAAGUCGUAUUUUGCCUCCAUCACACCUCAAAACUAUACAUCUCCAAAAGAAAAAAGAAGGGACAUCACACAUCCAACAAAAGUUUUCAACUUUUUAAAAAGGAAAAGGCCAAAAGAAAGAAAGAGAGGAAAUAUUAGAAAUGGACACAUUCAAUUGUUAAUUGGCUCUCAAUAAUUUAAUUUCUAAAUGAGAAAUCAUUAAUCCAUCCCCCAUCUUUUCUAUAGCUAAUAAAAAUAUUUUACAAAAAAGUCAAUUAUUUUUCAUAAAAUCUAACAUGAAACACAUUUUUAUUGGGUUCACGAACCACACAAAGAUGAAUGCAUCUUGCACUAAAAUCUUUUUCUUUCAAAAUUUUCAACUAACAAUUAUUUUAUAUUGAGUAAAACUUACCAAGUCUUGAUACACAAUCCACUAUAGUUGUACCAAUCUUUUUCUUGUUUUAAUUAUUUUUUCUAACAACAUUAUGAUAAAUCUUAUUAUAUUUGUAAUUUUUAAAAUUUGAUUACUAUAUUUGCAAUUAUUCCUUAAAACAAUAAGAUUAGAAAUACGUUCUAUAGCUUAUAACCACCGACUACCUAGGGUUUAAAAGGAAAUUUAAUUUUUUUGUUAUACAAUUUUUGGUCAUCAUCUGUAUGAUAUAUUUAUUUUCAAGUAACCAAAUUAAAUAUUAAGAAGAUCCAGAGAAUAUCUAAACUAAAUUUUCUUUAUUUUAUAAAAUAAUUCCUUAAACAAUAUUAAUUCAAUUGUUUAUUAUAUAUUUUAAAUCGGAUUAGUUGAAAAGUUUACUACAAUGUACUAUAUAUUAUAAGAAAUAAAUAAGCACGUGGAACAUCAUUAAAAUUAGAACAAUUCAAUUGUCUUUUUAAUAAAGGAAGAAUCAUAGAAUUAAAUCUCUAAUAUAAAUUAUUAAUUCUUUUACCUAAAAAAGAUUUGAUGAGAUUUAAGUUGAAUUAUUAAUUUUUUCUGGAGGGGUCAGUGAAAAAGUUGAUGGAAUGGAUUGUCUGACCCGAAAAGAAGAAGAACAGAUUUUCCAUUCAUUUUAUUUUAUUUUUGUUUUGUUUUUUAAAUUUUGUUCUACGUUGUAUUGUAUAUGAAUCCAUAAAAUACAAAUAAACAACAAUAUAUCAUUGUUAUUGAUGAAAUUUAUUUAUAUUUAAUAGUUUCUAUUCUUUUAGUUGAAAAAUUGUUUCUACACAUUGCACAACAAUAGUUUAUUAUAUGUUCUCUUAAUUUUUUAAAACAAAAUAUUUCAAAACAAAGAAAACAACAACCUAUUUUUUUGUUUCUUUUUCAAAUGAGAUAUAUUUCAAGAAUUGUUUUUGAAAUUAAUCACUUCUACAAGUAAGUAUAUCAAAUAUGUCGGUAUUAUUUGUUUUCCUUAUAUUUUAUAUUUUUGGUUCAUCUUUCUCUAUCUUUUCUCCAACAUUAUCUCUUUCUUCGUUCUUCUUCAUUCGACUUCCUCGAGUAGAAUGAGUAGUUGACAUCUCUUCUUUGUUGUUUUUUACUAGUAGAAAAGUUGUUGUAUGUUCUUAUUUUUUCAUACUCUCUUUCGAUUUUCUAACAAAUGGGUCUUUUAAAGUCAAGUUGUUUAUUUGAAUUACAACUACCCAAAACAUUUCUAGGUCACUAACAAUAAAAAUAGAGAAUGAUAGGAUAGAUUUUGAUAUACACUUCAAUUAUUAAGUUUAGAAAUGUCAUCCAUUUUGUAAUUAUUGAGCAUAAAAUACUUAUUUAGACGUAAAGGAGAAGUGGAAAGAUUAGGAAAACGAUAAAAGGUUUGAAGGUUGGUGAUGUGAGUCAUGGUGGGGAAUCUUUCCAUUUUGAAAGUAAACCAUAUCAAUUGAAGGAAUGAUGAUGGCUGGACCCUGUUUUCCUUUUCCAUUGAGUUGUACAAUUAACUAUCUCAAACUUGAUUAGAGCCGAACAAGUUAUCAAUUAUAAGAUAUAACAAUUAAGGAUUAUGAGAAUAGAAAAAGAGAGUAAUGCAUUAUGUGUCAUUGAAAGCUCUAAUAUGAUUGAGAUUACAAUAAACUUUUAAACUUUUCCUACAAAUCUCUUCCAAUAGACCAACACAAACUAUUUGAUUUCUUAUACUAUCCUAACUAAUUAUUUUUAUCCUAUACAUAUAUAUUUUUUAAAUAAUAAUAUUAGUAAUAAUGUCUAAUUUUUUAUUAAAAAAAGAUAAAAAUGUAGUAAUAACAUAAUAUUUUAUAAUAUCUUAUUUAAUUUAUUUUUAUCAUUUUAGAAAUAAAAAUAAAUUUAUUUAUUUAUGGUACAUUUCGAUUUAUAAAUAGAGACCUUUGUCAUUUGAAAAAAGGGAGAAAAUCGUUUAGAGAAAAAAUUCUUUAAAUUCGUAGGGAAAAAAAUUCGAAAGAAAAUUUUAGAGAGAAUCUCUACGAAAAAAUUAUUGUAAGAAUUUUUUUUUUGCAAAAUGUGAGUUUUUCAUUUUCAUUUUAUUACUCUAUUGUCUUUUUUUAAAAUCUUAAACAACUCAAUUUCAUGUUAAAAUAAACUUAGUUGGAGGUUGGAUUUGAGAGAGAUUUACUCUCAGGAUCCAUACCUCAACCAACAACUAAUUUUUUUCCGAUUUGAAAUCUUAUUUUUCUUUUCUUCUCUUUUUUAAAAGAUAGAGAGAAAGAAAAAAAAAAUAUAUAAGAAAAUUUUUAUUAGUUUCUUGUUAUUUUUUUCUUUGCCUUUUUCUUUUCUUUAAAAAGUUGGGAGAAAGAAAAAGACAAGUACGACAUUUGAUCUCAAGAAAAAAUGAAUUUAAUCGAUAUUUUAACAAAAAACUUUAUUUGAAGACUAGCUUAUGAUUCAUUUCGAAAAAUUGUAAUAAUUUCUCAUUUUCUUAAGAUGAAUUUUUUUUCUCAAUAUAUAGUCUAAUUAAUGGAAUAUUAUUCUACUUAUUUUAUGAGAUCAUUACUUCAAAUAUUUCGGUAAUAAAUGAUAAAUUAAAAAAAAAUAUUUUCAAUUCAAGAUUUGAAAUUUGGUCACGAUUUUAAAAAUGAGUGUUGUAAGGUGCUAAUACCUUCUCUAUACACAGAUUCCCGAAUUCAACUCUAUUUUUUGCAGACUAUUUUUUUAAAAAAAAUUACUUUAUUUUGGUGCUCAAUCACACCGUAAAAAAGAUUGGUAGCUACUCCUAUUUUUUUAUAAAACUAACUCUUUUGAAGACGUCGGCCGCUUUGCGUCGUCUCAGGGCGACAGCUUGGCGACUCCGCUAUAGACAUGAGGCUCUACCUCGAGAGUUUGACCAUUUUCUCCUUUAUCUUGAAUUAUUUUAUUCUUUACUUUUGUUUAAAUUUUUUGCGUGUUGUUAUUGUUCAUUUUAUUAUUACACACACAAUCACAAGCCUUCUACCCGAGCCUUACCUCAUAAGAGUACAAUUGAGGACGAAGUAGUGUUGAUCUUCGAGGAGCUUAUGCUCCCGUGUAGGCACACGAAAAAUUCUCACUCAAGUUAGUCAUUGUCAUAUAUGACUUUUGACCAAUUUGAGGACUUUAGAGCAAACCUCACUUUGUUUGGAGCCUUUUAUUUUGACUUUGUAAACUAUUAUUUUUCUUCACCCACUAUCACAAGCCUCCUGUCCGGGCUUUACUUCAUAAGAUUAUAAUUGAGGACGGAGUAGUAUUGAACUUCGAGAAGCUUAUGCUUCCGUGCAUGCAUAUUUAGGUUACUUCAUAAAUCUUAUUAUAUAUUUGUAAUUUUUUAAAUUUUGUAUGCAUUAUCCUAGUGUAUUACAACGUGCAUUUUCAAAUGUAUUUCUUUUUAAUUUCAUUGAUUGAUUUUUUUUACUUAUGUUGGUUCAAUUAUUACAAUUGAAUAAUUUUUUUAAUAAAAGUUAACAAUAUUUCAUUUGCCAAUUUUGAUUUUUCUUAAUCAAUUGACAUCUGGGUAAUUUUUAUAGAGUUUUUUUCAUAUUUCAAAUUUUUUUUAAAAGAGAAUUCAACCACAAUUCUUCAUAUAUUUUGAAGUUUGAGCAUUAUUUUUUAAAAAGUUUUUGAAAAACAUAUUUAUCUAACUUUUUUUUUUCUCUAGAAAGAAUAUAUAUUCAGUAAUAUUUAAUAUCAUUUAAUAUUUGUUUAAUAUAUUAACUAUUUAAAUCUAAAUAAAAAGUUGAUUUACAUUACAGUCAUAAUAAUUAUUUAUUGAUAUAGUUAAAUGUGUUUUCUUACGUUUUACAUUGAAUUUAUUUAACAAUAUUACAGCAUUAUUUUACAUUAGUUAAUUGUUUUUUUUUACAUCAAUAUUUUCUUUACAUUUUAUCCUUUAAAUUUUUUAAAAAUCUCGACAAUGAAAUUAGAAAUAUUUGAGAGUGCCUUAUUUCUAAAUUCUUAAGGUGAGGGGGUCAGUUCUUUAGAAGUUCAAGAUCGAUCCCCUAUAUUAAUUUAAAAAAUAAAAUUUUAUCUUAUUUGUUUAAUUUAUUGGAUGAUGUGUCUGAUUCUAUAUUGUGCAUUAUUUCCUAUUUUUUUUAAAAUUUUCUUUUUUAACUAUUUAAAAAUUUUGGUUGUAAAACUAUAUUUUUUUAGUGUUCUUUUUAAAGUUUAGAAUAUAAAUCUAUAUUUCACGAGGUUUUCUAAUCAACUUUUUUUUAAAAAGUAAUUCAUAUCUAUUUCGCUAAAAAAAAAUUUACAAUAGAAUCUAGAACUUUCUGGGAGUCCGUAAUUUCUAGAUUCUUGAAGUGAGUGAUCAAUAUAUUUGAAAGUUUAAGAUUUGAUUCUAAGAAAAAAUGAAUUUAAUCAAUGUUUUAAAAAUAAAAUAUUUAUUAGAAGCGUGUGAUAGAUUUGGGGAAAUGGUAAUAAUUUUUCAUUUUCUUAAGCUGAUAAAUUUUUCUCGGUAUAUAGUUUAAUUAAUGAAAUAUUAUUACAAUUAUUUUGUGAGAUGAUUGCUUCAAAUAUUGGAGUAAUGAUUUAGUUUUAAAAUAAAAUUUAAAAAUAUUUUCAAUUCAAGAUUUAAAAUUUGACCACCGUUUUUCUAAAUGGGUGUUGUAGGGUGCUAAUACUUUUCCCAUACAAAAUGACUCACAAACUCAACUCUAUUUUUUGUAGACUAUUAUUUUUAAAAUUGUUUACUUUAUUUCGGUAUCCAAUCACACCGUGAAAAAAAUUGGUGACGACUCUUAUUUUUUUGUAAAACUAACUCCUUUGAGAAUGACGGUCGCUCCACGUCGUCUCGAGUAUGUGGUGAUAAAGUGAUAUUGAUGAUAGUGAUAGAAGUUUAUCAGUUUCUAUCAUUGAUUAAAGCCAAAUUUUUGCUAUAUCGUGUAAGUAUUUUAAUUUAUUUUGCUAUUUUUAGAAAUGUCCCAUUUGAAAAGUGAGUUUAUAAUAAUUUUAAUUAGGAUAAACACUCUGGUCACCCUUUCGGAUGAACGCCUCUAGCCAACCUCCAGCGACCAUUUGCGAUGAUUUCUAUCGUUCGGCCAACCUUCGACCACCAUUGGCCACCUCUGACCACAAUCUUUAGUUAUAUUGGCCAACUCUUUAUAGUAAUUUGAAAUUAACAAAAAAAAACCUUUUUAGUGUAUAAAAACUUUCUUUUUUCUUUUUUUACAAAGAGUUGUGAAAUAAACUUGGGUUAUUAUUUUAAAGAUUUUUCUAUGUUUUAUCUAAAGUCUUUAAAUAAAAUUGUAUUUUUGAAAAACGUUCAUUUCAAGCAACUCCACUCAAGUAAGCCAACUUUUCACUUAUUUUGUUGGAGCAGUUGCAAAUUUAGUAAUUAGAUUCAAAAUAAUUAAAUAUAUAACAUCUUAAAUUUUUUUGCAAAUAUAGCAAAAUUUAUCAAAUUCUAUCGAUGAUAUAAGUCUAUCAUCGAUAGACCAUGUUACAAAUAUUGAUUUAUCACUGAUAGACCAUACGAAAUCUACUAGUGAUAGUUUUGCUAUAUUUACAAUUUUUUUAAAAUGUUGCUAUAUCCUUAAUUAUUAUUGCUAAAAUGGUCAUCAAUUGCAAUUUUCCUAAUUUCCACCUACAAAUUAACCAAUUAAAAAUGUUUGCCUAUAAAUGUUUAACCAACUAAAAAAUGUUUGCCUAUAAAUGUUUAACCAACUAAAAAAAGAAAAAGAAUUUCACAAAUAAAAAUUUAAUUAAAUCCAACAUGACCAUGUGGAUAUAUCUAACCAUUUGUCCAAUUCUUUUGAUGAAAUUCUAUUUUGGGCACCACACAAACCUUACUUUCAAGUCUCUAUAAAAUUGUAUUACUAAAGGAAAUUCAAGUGUCAUGCAUAUAUACCAACUUCCAAAGUUGCAUUUAUUUCUUCAAAUUUAAAUCUUUAUAUAUAUAUAUAUAUAUAUGUUAUUUUAAUCUUUAUAUAUAUGUUUAUGUCAAAAGGUAUUGAAUCAAUUGAAAAUAUGAGUGAUAUGAGCUCUAUCAUCAUAAAUUUUGUUUUGUUAUUUUUUACAAACUCUUGUGUAGGUUUACCUCUUAUAAAUAUAUUUGAUUAUGUAUUUUUCAAAAUACAAAUUUAUAGCCAUUGUCAGGUGGAAGUUAAAUACCUUUUUUCUUAAAAUUUAGCAUGAACGAGUUCAAAGUCACUUAAAUCCUAACUAUACCUUAGUCAUUUAUUAUUUUCUAUAUUUCUCGUUAUAAAAAUAAGUAUAAUUGAGUAAAUGAGAUCUUGAAGUACAAAUAAAAUAUAUGAACAAAACAUGUACCUACAAUCAAACAAAGCCAUAACUAUAACAACAAUAACAACUUUUUUAUUCAACCUUUUGGAGGGCAGAAAGUUCAGCAACCAAAAGGACAUAGAAACAUAGAAACAUAGAAAUUCAAUGACAAUACAGUAGUAACUAAACCAUCAAUAAGUUUGGUGCAUGCAAUAUAUAAAAGUUAAUUUUUAAGUAACUCUAUAACCCAAAGAUUAGCAACAAAACAUUCGAACAUGACAUGUUUAAACCCAGCUUUGGUUGCUAGGCUCUUAAAUUCAUCUCUAGUUCUUUCCUUUCCUCCUGGAUUUUGAGUCAUCAUAAGCACAUCACCUUGAGUUGUUGCCUUUGUUACAUUGGUGAUUUCAGGCUUCGUGGGAAUCACACUCUCUACUAUGAUUAUCUUUCCAUCAUCUGGAAUUGCAUUAUAGCAAUUUUUCAAUAACUUUGUGCAAUGAUCGUCGCUCCAAUCAUGUAGUAUCCACUAUAAUAACAAUAAAAUAAAAGAAUUUUGUCAUUUCAAGUAUGACUUAGUCCAUAAAAUACUAAUUGUACAAUCUUAAAUGUUGACGGUUUUCAAAGGGCAGAGUGACCUAUAUCUCUCAACUAUAGGUUAAUUAUUAUUGGUUAAAUUACAAAUUCAAAAGUUAAAGGUUAGAUUCUUUUUUAUAUAUAAAAUCUUAUGAAUAGUCUCUAAAAUUCGAUAAAGUCCUAAAAAAAAUAGUCUCUAGCAUAGGAACUAUUGUUUAUGAAUGUUUUUGUUUAUGAAAAUGAAAAGAAAACUAACCUUCAUGAAAAUAGCAUCUCCAUUUGGAACACUCUCAAACAUGUCUCCUCCCACAUGUUGAACCCCUGCCAAUUCAUAAUCAAAAUUCAGCUUUGUAAACUUUUUCAAAUUAAAUGAUUGGAACUACUUACCAUUAUAAGCAGGGGCAUCACGGAUGACAUGAGGUAAGUCGAAAUUGAUGCCUUUGAUGGAAGGAUAGGUAGAAGUGAUGAUUUGAAGGGUGACCCCAAGGCCACCACCAACAUCAACUAAUUGCUUGAUGUUUGCAAAACCUUUGUAUGAUUCCACAAUUUUCUUUAUGGACAUUGUAGUGUGAUUUACCAUUGCAAUGUUAAAUACUUGGUUGAAUCUUGGAUCUAACUUAGGGUAUUCAAAUGCAUUAACUCCUCCAUGAGCUCGGUCAAAAGGAACUCCUCCUUCAGUUACUGCAUUCUUCAACUCACUCCUACAAUUUCAAAAAAACUCAGUUAUGUUUGGUUCACAAUCCAAGUUAAUUUGUUCACGUGAUUUUAAAAUUUAGAAUAUUUCCUCUCCAUUUUUUAUAAUGAUUUACAUUUUUUCUCAAGUACAUCGUUAAAUUAUUAGUCAAAUUAAAAAAAAAAAAAAACUAAGUUUUUAGAAGUGUUUUUUUAGUUGUUAAAAUUUGGUUUAAUUUUUUAAACAAUAGGUAAGUACAAGAUGACAAAUAAAGAAAUUGAGAGGUAGAAAUAAUAUCUAUAGAUUUAAUUAAAAAAAAAAAAAGAAGAUUACCAAACAAAGUCUUAGUUUGUAUGAUUUGAUAUAACUUCAUAUAACUUAGUUUCUUAUGGUUGGUUAAAUCAUCUUGAAUAGUCCAUACAAUAGGUACUACUUAAUUAUGAAGUUUCUAUCAAACCUAAUGAGAUUAAUUUUAAUUAUAAAGCAUGAGACAUAAAUUUUAACUUAGUUCAAACCAUAUAUGCGCUUGAUUUCUCCUCUCUCCUCUCUCCAAGAAUCCCAUCCGUCGCAACAGUAAACUCCCCCGUCCAAACUUCCAGUGAAGCAGCCAUUGAUAUUGAAAAAUGACGACGUUUCACAAUUACUAUUCAACAACUAAGGGCAUUUACUCCUCUCAUGAUGACACAAAACUCCAUGCAUCUGCUUUAAAAGGUACACACACUACUUCUACUUCUUCUUCUCAUCAAAGACAAGAAUGAAAACACCAACUUCUUUUAUCGUAUUUGUUCGGUAAAUCAAAAGAGGAAUUUCAUUUCUGAAUUCAAAGACGAGACAGGUACCUCCCAUACGACUAACGAAAAAAUUGCAGAUACUUUCAUCAGAUUCUUUUGAGCUCUCUUUAAUGGAGAUAAAAAAAGACUUGAUCUUUAUUGAAAAUCUAGACUGGAAGUCAAUCCACGAUUUUGUCCAUUACUUCCUUUGUCACCCUCCCGAGAUUAUACGCUCUCUCUCAAGCCAAAAACAAUUCAGUAAAAGAGAUAUGGAACCUAGUGGAUAAGAAUUGGGACUUAAAGCCGUGUGGCUGCUAAAUGAUAGAGAAAUUGAGCUCUGGAAUCAAAUCUCUUCAGAGUUCCCUUAUUCGAAUGUAGACGAAGGUAUGUGCAAACCGAUUUGGAAGCUGGAAAACAACAAGGUAUUCACCACGAUUUCAUUUGAAAAGUCCAUCCAAAUUUCCCCUCCCGAUGGGAAUAAUGAAGUCGAUCGUCAGAUUUUCAAAGCUCUUUGGAAAUCUUCUAUUCUAAAGAAAUGCAAAUUCUUCCUUUGGUCCAUUCUUCAUAAAGGUAUCAACACAAUGGAAGUUCUUCGAAGAAGACCGCCAAAAACUUGUUUAAAUCCAAAUUGGUGUGUCAUGUGCCACUCUCAUUGUGAAAGAAGUGAUCAUUUACUUGUAAACUGUAGAGCGACAAACUUCAUUUGGGAUACCUUACGGGCUUAAAUUGGGUAUCAACACUCGUUCAACGAUCUAAAGUCAGUUGUGUUGUCCCUUUAACAUUAGAAUUUUUCAACCACAAGAAACAUUAUUAUCACAAAUGCAACGGUAGCUGUCUUUGGAGCAUUUGGACCGAAAGAAAUUGAAGAAUAUUCCUUAAUAAACAAAACAGCUUACUUAAUCUCUAGGAAGAUUGUUGUAACUACAUAGGUUUGUGGUGUAGUCGCCAUCACCUAUAUUCAAAGACUAUUCUUCUAAUUCGUUAGCUCUCAACUUCACCGCUCUUUUUCACUAAGAGCAUCUGGGCUUCUCUCUAGCCAUUUGUACUCUCUUGGCUUUUUAAUAAAUUCGGUGGUGGGACUUUCAUACUCUUGACACUAGUCUCUUUCUCUAAAAAAAACCAUAUGGGGUCCAAAGUUUCCAUUUUAAUAUAAGCUAUAGAAUAUUACAAAACAAUAAAUAUGCAUUUUUUUUAAUAUAAAACAUGUUAUGUAAAUAAAUUAAUAAUAAUUUACUGUCAACUAAAUUUAAUAGUUAACUACAAAUAGUUUACAAUUAUUUAAAUUGGAAUCCAAUUUUUGAAUUCUCUGCUACGAUACAAACAUGCCUACCAAACAUGCCUUAAUUAGUUUUUUUUCUCUUUUAACAAUAUUUAAUUUUCUUCUUUAAAAAAAUUCUCAAAAUUUUCAAUCAUAAAAUUUUAACAUUCCUAUAAAAGAAAUCCUUAAAGUCUGUUUAUAUAACCAUUUUAUUCCUCUUUUUAAUUUAAUUUUUUUCUCAAACAUAUGUAUAUAUAUCCACAAAUGAUUACUUUUAAUAACAAAACUGUAAAAAAUAAUUACACAAAAUGUAUCACAUUCUAUGGAUGGACCGCAAUGGAUAGUAUCUUUAAUACAGUCUCCAUAUAUUACUUUACUAUAUUUAAAAAUAUUAUAUUUCAUUUUUCUAUCUUUGAAAACAAUAUUAUGUUAUAAUAUUUUUUUUUAUUAUUUUUCGACUCUCCAUAUUUCUCAAAUUGUUGGAAAAAAAACUUCAUCUAAAAUUUUCUAACUGUCCUAAUUAGAAAACUAUUCCUUCUACCAUAUUUUUCUCACUAAGCUUUUGGUACUUUUCUAACUUUCUUUUUUAAUUUCAAAAUUAAAUAUCCACUCUUAUAACUCAAUUUUUAUCCGCCCUAUUUUGUACCAUCUAAGUCUCUAAUUUCUCAAACAUAGCUGUACUUACAUAAUUUCUCACUAAUAUAACAUAUCUCCAUUUAUAUUUUAUCUUCGCUAUUCCUACUAAUUUCCCUUCUAUUAAACGAAAAAAAUAUAUAUUAAAAAGCAUAAAGAAAUUAAGGAGAGCAAACCAGCUUUGCAGAAACACUUUAUCUUGAAUCAAUGAUAACAUUGGACCCAACGAAACACCAUCUUCAUUUCGAACAUAACAUUUAGAAAUCGGAGUAAGGCUAUAAAGCCUUUGCACAUUCCCAUCUUUAUCAGAAACUAUAGAGCAUCCCACCACCGAGUGGCAUGCCAAAAGCCUCAACAUCCGAUCAAGCAUCAAUGCUGCGUUGGGGUUUGUAGUGGUUAUCUCAGCCGCUAUCUCUGCUGGAGAGAGGUUGGCCCCAUCCCCAGCCUUUGCCAAGAUCUCGAACACACCAAGCUCGAACACUGCUUGGAGUGUCAUGGGUAGGACUGAUAAGGUAACGAGGUGUCCUGCGUAAGCAUAAUGUUGUUGCUGUUCGACGGCGGUGUCGUUGUCGGAGGAAGCCAUUUUCUAGCCGGAGGUGUGGCAACCUUUUCUGGUGGGAGGAGAAUGAUUUUGGUAGGGUGAUUGUUUUGCAUAUCAACAAAAGUUUGUUGUAUUUUUAUAAGCAGGUAAAAAGAAGAUGGGAAGGAAAAUACUUGAAAUGGAUACCAACAAAUAGAUACGAACACCGACAAAAGGAUACGAAGACUAACAUACGGAUGUAUGUUGAGUUGAACUGAUUAUAUUAACAAGCUAAGGAACUUUUUGGAUUGAAUUAAGAACAAAAUGUUUUUCAAUAAUAAACUUUCUUAGGUUGAAGACCAAAAUUUAUUUGGUUUGUCUUAAAUAAAUUUUUAUAAUUAUUUAAUAAUUAUUUAUAAUUAUUUAUAAUUAUUUAUAAUUAUUUAAUAAUUAUUUAUAAUUAAUUAUUUAUAAAAAUUAAUAAUUUAUUAUACUUAAUGGCUCACAACGAUCAAGUCAGUCAUAUUUAUUGCAAACACAAUUGAGCCGACGAUAAAAUGAGUCAUAUUUAUUGCAAACACAAUUAAGAUGGAUGGGCUCCGACCUGUUUUCUGUUCUUUUUUUUUUUCUCUCUUUCUCUCCCUUGAAUUCCCAUUUCAAUGGACUUGAAGGAGUGUGCGUGGACAUUUUUGAUCCACAUUUUUGCUUUUUCUUCAAACCAGUCAUAUUUUAUCCACACGUUUUAGGCAUGGUUUUGAUUAUAACUCCUAAUUUCUUUCAAUGGAUUCUACUUCAGGUUUUGGCCCCAAAAUCCCAUUUUUGUUUAUAGCUCUAUGAGUUUUAAUAAUGCAUUUACCCUUUUCUUAAUCUGGCUUUUGCUUCGAAACUCUGGUUUGUUCAACUAUUCCUUCUGAUGGAAAUGUGUUUAUUGUCAAGUGGGUUUUGCUUAUAACCUCUGUUUUUGCAAGAAAAAAUGCUAACGUUUCCCUUGUUGAGAAAACCUCUUCUUUUUUUCGUACCAAAAUGGAGCUGUUGCUGUUGACAUGUUAUAACGACAAAUUUUACUUUUUGCCCAUUUGGGUUUAAAGACCCAUUUCUUCUAUGGAGAUUUUUCAGCAGAAGAGAACUUUGGAGGACAGAUUUUUGCAUCUAGGUCAAAAAUGGGGAGGAGAUGAGAGGAAAGACUUAGUAUGAAAAACAGUUUUGUAAUUUUCAUGUAAGAUUGAAAAUUUUCCCAAAUUCCCAGUCAAUCACCUAAAUGAAUUUUGUAAGAAUCUAGUUUUUAAAAAUUUCUUUAAAAUAGAUUAUUUUAUAAAUAAAAUUUUAAAAAUACAUUAUUUUAAUUUGUCAUACUACCAUUUUUUUCAUAAUAGUUCUUUCAUAAAAUUAAACGCUUUAUAAUCUCAAUGAAACACAUCUUAUAUAUAUAUGAAGUUAUAUCAAAUUCUACAAAUGAAUACUCUCUUUCAUAACUAUUUUGUUUUUGUUUUAUUUUUUUAAUAUAUAUAUAUAUAUAUUACAUCUUUCUAAAUUUCUUCCUUCUGUCAUCUUCUUCUUAGUAGUUUAAAAAAUUAAGUCAAAAUUUCAUAACUAAAAAAGUCCCACAUUUAAAAUCUGAUUUUGAAUUUGGAUAAGAAUUUAAUAAUUGUAAUAAAAAAAUGUAAAUGAACGAGGAGGAUAUAAAUUUAAUUUUGAAUAAUAAAAAACAUGAUGGUACUUAAACCAAACAUAAAUUCUAAAUUUUAAAAUCACAUAAACUAACUAACUUUAUCCAAUCCAUUGAGACGAAGCUUGGAAUUUGACGAAAUAAUUUAACUUAUAAUACAUAAUUUAAUUUUAAAAUAAUUGAAUUGGAUUUACAAUAUCUCUAAAUAUUUUAUCUUUAUUUAAUAUAAUUUUACAUUUUAAAUCUUAAGAUUCAAAGUACGGAUAAAAAUUAGAAAAGUACAUGAGAAUGUUGUUAUCAAUAACAUUGUUGGUUUGGAUAACAUAAUCUGAAAACAAAAAUUCAGCAAAGAACAAAAUUUAAAUUGUGAACAAAAAACCUUGAGUGUUUUUUUAAAUUAUAGGAGUGAAUUGAUAAAAAAAAAUGCAGCUAUGGAAGGAGGAGUUCCUUAUAACCGGACUCAUGAAGGAGUUCAUGCAUUUGAAUACCCUAUGUUGGAUCCAUGACUCAACCAAAGGGUGAUUUUAAAAAAACUUUGGAAAAAGGGAUGUGUUCAAAACAAUUUAGGAAAAAUUGGUAUUUUUUUUGUCGGUGAGUUCCACUGGCUAUAAAUUAUUGUUGUUGUUGGUUUAUUAUUAUUAUUUUUAUUGUUCUUGUUUACUAUUAUUGUUGUUGUUUUAUUAUUAUUAUUUAAAAAUCACCCCCUCAACCAAGUAUUCAACGUUGCAAUGUCCAUUAAAAAAAAUGGUCAAAUCAUUUGAAUACCCUUAGGGUCACCCUUCAAAUCAUCACUUCUACCCAUCCUUCCAUCAAAGGCAUCAAUUUCGACUUACCUCAUGCCAUCGGUGAUGCCCCUUCUUAUCAUGGUAAAUAGUUCCAAUCAUUUAAUUUUAAAUAGUUUUGUUCAAUUUCUAGUGGUCUUUAUAGAUUGAUUAAUUAGAAAUUUAAGUUUAAAUUAGGUUCAUCUUUUUAAACGUAACCCAAACUCAAUUCAAUUUAAAAAAGAAAAACAUACAAAAAAAUAAUAAUAUAAUAAAAGAUAUAACAACUUUUUAGGAGUCAUUUUCGAAAAUGGCAAAACUAUAUUUUUUAAAUUUUAGCAAAGAAUUUUUUUUAAAAUAAUACAUUUUACAAAAUAUUUACAACCUAUACGAAAUUCUAUCACUGAUAAUUAUUGAUAUGUUACCGUGAUAGAAUCUAAAAUUUUGUUAUAUCUAACAAAUAUUUUGAUUUAUUUUACUAUUUUAAAAAUGUUCCUUAUUCAAUCUUACUAACUUCAAAAUAAUUCAAUUGAGUUUGAAUUUCAAAAUAACAAAAUUAUUAUUUUUUAGAAUUUGAGAAUCUUAACCGUAAAUUUUGUAUCAAAAUAACCUUAAUUGAAUUUCAAAAUUAAAAAAAUAUUAACUUGUUUGCUGCCAAAGUAAAAUAUCAAAAUAACAAAAUUAUUAUUUUGAAAUGGAAAGAAUCUCAACAUUAAUUUUAUUUUAAAAUAAAUUUCAAAUAACCAAACUAUUAAUUUUCGAAUGGGACAAUCUCAACUAUUGAUUUCAAAAUAACACAAUUAUUAUUUUAAAUUUAGGAAAAUUUUAAACAUUGAAUUAACUUAUUCUAGAGAUAUAACAUUAUAUAUAUACAAUUAUGUAAAUGAAUUAAAAUUUAAAAAUAAUUACAUUAAUUAUAUUUAGAAAAACUUUUAAACUAUAUUCAUUUGAUAUAACAUUAAUUAAAUUAUAAUGUCUACCAAUAUUGAUUUGAAAGUGUAAUUAAUAUACUUAUUUUAAUAUAUUGUGUUCUUAUAAAAAAAUCUUUAUGUAUAAUUUAUUGUUAUGAGUUUAUCAAAGUCUCUAAAGUAUAAUUAAUUUGAGAUAUGUAAUUAUCAGUAGGUAAUUAAUUUCAAAGCAUUAAUAAAGAACCCUAUCAUAACCUCUUUCUAAUAUCUUGGGAUUUAAAAGAUAUAGAUAACUUUAUUCAUUUUUUUAUUUCACGAUCGUGUUAAGAUUUUAACAACUUUAUUCAUUUUUUAUUUCAAAAUAAUCAUAUUAUUAAUUUUUAUUGGCUAAGUCUCAACUUUUUUAUUUCAAAAUAGGCUGAAUCUUUUCGUCAACCUUUGAUAACUUUAAAUUAAAAUUAGUUUUCGUAUUAGAUCUUAAUUUAUUUUUAAAUUUUGAAAAAUUAAAAUUAGUUUUCAUAUUAUAAUUUAUUUUUAAAUUUUAAAUUAAAAUUAGUUUUUGUAUUAAGAUCUCAACUUUUUUUUAUUUGAAAAUUAAAUCUCAACUCUUUUUUAUUUCAAAAAUAAGUUUUUGAUUGAACAAGUAUGUAUUCAAGAUUUAUUAAAGUGUAUUUAUUCUAUUUUACUUUAAGGAAGUAGCUUACACUUUAUGUAUAUAGGGGUAUUUUGGGCUUUUGUAAAUUUUUAUUUAUUGUAUUUUUUUCAUUUUGCCAUUAGAAAAAAAAAAUUGUUUUGCUAUGUUUCAAAAUGACAACUUUAAAAUUGCUAUUCUUCUAGUUGACCCGAAAAAAUUCAACCCAACCCAAAUGGUAAGUAUUGAGUUGGGUAGUUCACGAUCUUAGAUUAUUUGAACACCUCCGGUUCACCAUUGGAAUAAUUUGGCCCAAAAACUCACCCAACCUAAAUAUAAUUGGUUUCGUUUUCAAAGUUCCCCAUACUCCUAGAAGCCUCUCAAUAUAAAUACAUUUAAAUCAUUUUUUAAGUUUAGGUAAAAAUUUGAACUCAAAACACUUAACCAUUUGUGGCAAUGAUUGUAAUAACCACCUCUAGCUUUUGUUAAUACUAUUAAAACUUCUCAAUUAGCCACCGUAAACAUUAUUUUAAAACCUCAAAUGUACUACCACACUUACUAUAGUGUUUACUAUUUUCUUCUCAAACUAAAAUAAUAUACACCACAAUAUGCAUACUGUUAAUUCAAACUAAAAUAAUCUACAUCCCAAACAUAAACUAUUAUAACUCAAUAAUAAUAACCUAGAAUUAUAAUAAUUCAAUCAUUAGCCGAGAGGGUGUUUGGGGUCAAAGAGUUAUAUAAGUUAUAAUAACGACCUCUUUGCUAAAGUAAAUACUAUUUAAAAAAUUUAUAGCUACCGUUUUAAACACUAUUUUACAUUUCUUUUAAUUCUUUGCUACAAUGUUUACUAUUUUCUUCUCAAAUUAAAUAACUUCACACCUCAAACACAUACUAUUAUAACUUAAACUAAAAUAAUCUACAUCCAAAAUACAAACUUAACUAAAAUAACCUAGAACUACAAUAACUCACUCAUUGCUCCAAACACCUUGAAAUACUUAUAGAAUAUCAUAAAACUCUCUAAAGCUCACAAAGACGAAAGACUCUAAAACUUUUGAAGAUUAAAAAUACCUUGAAGACUUUAAAAAUCAAUUUUCUUUAAACGCACAUGAAAACUUUGAAAACAAGCUGAAAACACUUGAAGCACUCAAGACUUUAAAGCUUUGAUCUAAAUGUACAAGAACAAGAACUCCAAAGACUUAUCUCGAGUAUAAGAUCACAACAGAUCCAAGUUUGAUCGAGAGCAAAAGCUCUAGCCUUCAGGAGUAAUAUACAAAUGAGCUAGAGAACAAAUAAAGAUUGUAUAUAAAUACUUCUUAUACAUAAAAUUUAUGAAAAAAAAUCAAUAUUGAAUGUUAUGUUUCUCAAUAUUGGUUGAUUUUUUAUAACAACUUCAUUGAGUCCAUGUUAAUUAGUUCCCUCAAUGUUGGUUGACCAAGGUUACUUUUAACAUCUUUGGCCAUCCUUGGCCAACCUUGCCUUUCCCUUAGAAGGGAAGUAUAGGAAAUUUGCAAUUACCUUUUAUAUUUUGGAUAUGAUAUUCUCUAUCCUGCUCUUUAUUCUUUUUCCAUUAUUCUCAAAUUGCUUUAGAACCAACCCACCAUCUUUGUUUUUUAACCUCAAGGAUAUAUUAUGAAACUUUGUUUGUUGAGUUGAGGAGUAAUUUUGAAACAAAACUUUAAUAAUUUUCAUCCAAAAUUAACGGUAAGAAUAAUUUUGAACAUUUUUAAAAAGUUUAAAGGUAUUUUCGAAACUUUUGAAACUUUAAGGGUUUUUCUUACACAAACUAUAAAGUUCAUGACCUAUUUUAUAACUUAGCUUUUCUUUCUUCUUCAAGCUCUUUUCAAAUUGACAGCUUGGAGUUGGUCGUCCCCUGACGACACGCCCACAGUCCUUUAAUUUUCAAAUAAAAUUAUGCUAUCUACACUACAGACAUGGUAUAAAUGGCAAGAUCGGGUCAUCUCAAUAGGGAACACAUAGGACAAUAUUUCUUAACUCUUAGAUUCAAUAAUUUGAAAAUAAAGUUAAAUGUUCAAUAUUCAUUAUUGUUGUGGGUCGUUUCUCUCUCUUUCAAAGUUAUAGUUGAGUUUGUAUUAAUUCUAAAUUUGGGUGGGUAACUGUAAACUAGGUGAGAAAAGGGAAUAGGGUAACCUGUAAAAGUGGGUUGUGUUAGGUGUAAGCUUGGAUGUGGAAGUUGGGGCUUGAGUUUGAAUGGGAACUUGCGGUGAGUUUUGAGAGAUAAGCUAGGCGUGGAGUGUAAUCCCACCUAGGGAUGCUAACACUUCUUUCGUCCAUUGCAUCCUUUCUCGACACACUAUUAAAAAGUUUCUUAGUUGCCCAUUACAAUUAAUGGUGUCACACACACUAUUCAAUUAGAUAACCAAAAAGCUACAACGAUAAGUUUAAAAGUAAAUAAAAGAAAUAAACAAAUGUUAGAAUGAUUAAAUUAAAAUAAAACGUGCCAUCAAUUUUUUAUAAUCACUUUUGAUUACAUGAAAAUCAUUUUUUAAUAUUCAAUUGGUAUUUAACGAUUGGUCGAUGAUGGUCAUUAUUGAUUGUUGAAGGUCACCCAUGACCAAAUUAAAUUACAAGAGCUAUAAAAUGAACAAAGGUUAAGCAAUGAUAGAGAGAAUUCGGUUUAAUAAUUAUCUCUAAAAUUUUGAUUCUAGGAACUCAAGUAUAGUAGUGGUUCAAAGAGAUUUUUUUUUAAAUAAUGUAAAUUUUGAAAUAUGGGUAAAAAAUAGAAUGAAUGUAAAACUACUAACAAAAAUAGGUUAAGUCGAAAAAUAGGUUAAGUUGUGUACAUAUAGCGGGCUCCAUAUAUUUUAUUUUCUUGAAAAUAUUUUAAUAUAAUGUACGUAGUUUUCAACCUAUUUUAAACUUCAGACAUGAGAGGUAAAUUAAUUACAAUAAAUAUUUUAUAAUAUAUUUUUUUCUCAAAGUAAAUUAUUUUAAAAAUCUUUUGAAUUUUUCUGUACACAAUCAACUAUCAAGUCUAAAUUAAUCUAAUUUAAUUAUAGCCUUAUUUUUAAAAAAAUAUUAUCUUUUGAAAUAUAUGAAAUUUAAAUAAAGCAUCUAGCAUGAUAAAAAAAUAUAACGCCCUCCAUUUUUUUUUUAAAGAAAAAAUUGUAUCAGAUGACAAAAAAUAUUUAAAAAAAACAGGUUAUAACACUUUUAUCAUGGAUUUUAUUAUUCUUUCUUUCUUUUUCUUUCUUUUUUUUGUUUUUUUACUAUUUUUGCCCACGUCCCUGCUCCUAAAAACAAAUUAUUAAUAAUUGAAGGCAUAACAUAUUAUUUUUUAAAAAAUUAUACAAUGUGGUAAAAUGAUUCUCCACUUAAUAACUAAAAAAUACAAACAAUUCAUUUUCUUUUAAAAUAAAGUAUUUACGCAUUAGCUUUGAGAAAUUCCAAAGUAAAGUCGUCAGGACCAAGGGAUCUAUUACUUAAGAAGGAAUUAAGUGUGCUAUAAAUCUCCUUUUCCAAAAACAUAGUGCAGAGGUCCUCUUGUGCAAUCGUUUUGAUGGGGAUCCUGGGAAGACUGUCAAUCAGUCAGAGUUCUCUUUCCUUAUCAAUAUAGAUGUCUCUUAAAUGAUCGAGGAAAGUUUUUUCAAUCUCUUCAUCAAUAGUACAAAGAAUUCCUUGUGCAGUGGAAAUACUUGUGAUGAAACUUCUACAAUGCCUUGCAGAGCAAAUUUUGUGGAAAAAGGGAGUCUUUUCACCCCCUUCCAAAUUCCAUAACCUUUUACAUUUUUGGACCCAUGUUUGUGCAUCUUUUAGAGCAAGCUGAUUCGGGUCAGCUUUGAUGAAGUUCUACGAGAGAUGUGAAUGUCAAUAAUAUUGUUGUCGGCUUCCAUUUUAUCAAUGAGCUCAAGCUCUUUUGUCCAGGCCUUCCUUUCCUCUUCAUUUGAUUCCUUUUAAGGCCUUUACUCCAUCUUCUAAUAGUGUUUGAUAACUGUUUGAGCCUCCACAUAAAAGAAUAACCUGGGUGACCAUCUUCAGUAGUUAUUGUUCCACCAGACCUCAAUGUUUUGAUUAAAAGAAGCCUCUUUGAUGAGAAUGUUCAUGAAUUUGAAAGGUGGGAGACUCCAUUUUAAGCUAUUUGACUCAAGAGCAAUGAGAAAAUGGUUUGAAGUGACUCUAGGAAGAGUUUUGGAGAAAUGAGGGGCAAAAAGAAUUUUUCAGUCUGGUGUGUAUAGAAAUCUAUCAAGUCUGGAUAAGAUGGGCUAUAUUAUGAGAUUGGACCAAGUAUAUUUUGCAUUUGAUAAAGGAGGAUCAUUGAAUCUAUCAAGUCUUGAUAAGAUGGGUUGUAUUCUGAGUUGGACCAAGUAUAUUUUGCAUUUGAUAAAGGGGGAUCGAUGAAUUCACAGCCAAUGAUAAAAGCAUUGAAUUUCUUCAUACUUGAAGUUGCUAAGUUUUUUUGCAGUAGUUUCGGAAUGCCAUCUAACUACAUUAAAAUUUCCUUCCAUGAUCCUAGUAAGCAGAUAGAUUUAAUCUCAUCAAACUCGGCCCAAAAAUCUCCUCUGUUUUCUCUCUUUGUCGGCCCAUAAACUGCAGUGAGCCACCAAUUAGUGUUAUUGAUGUCAACAGGGUAGGAUACUUCAAUGGGAAGGGAGUAAUUCUUUACAAUAUGAUCAAACAUUUUGUAUCUGGUGUCAUCCCACAUAAUAAUAAUCCCACCCGAACUACCAAUAGCCAGAGAAAAGUGCCAUUUAAUACUGAUUGAACUCUAGAGAGAUUUUAUGAUUUGUUUUGCGAUCCUUUGUAAUUUAGUUUCAACAAAAAUCACAAAGUCGGGAAUUUAAACAGAAAGCAAACGUUUUAUUUGUGCUCUUUUUGAGGGAGAGCUUAACCCUCUAGUGUUCCAACAUACAACUUUCAUGGAUAACUUGUUUGUCCUAUUUGAUACAAAUUCACAGCAUUAAAAACAACAUUUACAUUCCUAUCAUUGUUUUUAAUUUCAACAUUAGCAUUUGCAGCAAGUUUCAAGUUGUUGUUCUUCAACCAUGCCAUAAGUUUCUUCUUAAAAGCUUCUUCUUCAUUUUCCUAUUCUAUGUCUUUCAUUUCGAAUUCUUCUUUGUCACUGAUCAUCAUGGGACCAACACUAUCGUUGACGAUAUCAGAUUGAGUUGGUGAAGGAGGAUGGCUCAUUGGGGAAAAACUUUCUGGGCUUGAGAUAGCCACAUGAGACCAAAGCGAUUAAAAGGUUAAUUCCUGUCAUGUCAAAGAUUUCAGUCUUAGUUUGUACGUUAUUUCCACUGUUCUUUUCUGGGCUUGUUUUAGUUGUGCCCGUUUGUUUUUGUGGAUUCAUCACUUGGUAAAUAUGUUUCCCCUUUUUCUUCAGGAUAACUGGGUUGCUCGGGCAUCCUUUUUGUGUAUUCUCAAAUGGGCUCCUUAUCCUGAUGGGCUUAAGAGUCACACUUCUUGGGUCAAAGAAAUACAUUUUAGAGAUAGUUGCAAAUUUAGCAAUUAAAUUCAAAAUAAUUAAGUAUAUAGCAACAUUUUUAAAAAAAUGCAAAUAUAGCAAAAUUUGUCAAAUUCUAUCAAUGAUAUAGUCUAUCACCGAUAGACCAUGUUGUAAAAAUUGGUCUAUCACCGAUAGAUCAUAUGAGUCUAUCAGUGAUACAAGUCUAUCAGCGAUAGUUUUGCUAUAUUCGCAAUUUUUUUUAAAUGUUGUUAUAUCUUUAAUUAUUAUUUUUCAAAUGGUCAUCCAUUACAAUUACCCUACAUUUUAUUCAUUGGGAGAGUAAAUGAAAUUUUCCUUUUUGAAUUGAUGGAAGACCGUUCCUUUGAAGUUUCCCCUCUAUAACUUCUUUUUCUUUUUUCUUUUAAAAUGAGUCUUUGUCUUGUCAUUUGAUUUGUCUUGUCUUCUCCCACUGCUGUUACUACCGCCGUCAUAAUUUAAAUUUUUCAUUAAUGAAUUCAAUUUUUUAACUAUUUUUGGAAGGGAACUAUUUUGAUGAACUUUUUUUUGUUUUCCUUCUUUUUGAGUAUUUUUCGUUGAAACCCAGCUUGCAGGAACUACCACAUUUUCAAUAAAUUGAUACUGUUCACAAUCUAGUUUGAAUUCAUCAAAGUUUUUUACUGCUUCAUUGGUGUAAGUGCCAUGGAUUUUUGGGUUGCUUUCCUUGAUCCAUUUCCCUUCAGCUUGGACUAUGGUCUGUAUCGUUAAAUGGUUGCCUUCCUCAUCAACAAUUUUAAUAAAAGCUGGUACAAAUCCCAUGUAGUUGUACUUUAUUUUAAUUUUUGCUUCAAGAAGAUCAUAUCUAUCUCUGGUUACUCUAGCAACUUCCACGAAACCACCACAUGCUUCCCCAAUUUGAUAGAAAGACAAAUAAUUCCAGGCAUGGAGGGGAUACCUUUGAAUUUGACCCAUUCGCCAUAGCUCGUCAGGAGCUUUGGUGUAGCAUGCUUGGUUUUGUUUCAUGCCUCAAAUUUGACAUAUAAUUUCCCUACCCUUGUCCACCCUCUGCUCUUACAUAAAAGGUUAACCAGAUUUUUUUCUUCAAGAAAAACCACUGCCUCUUCUGCAUGAAAAUGUUUAUACGUAAUAUUCAGGUCCAGCUGUUCUUGGAGUUUGUCCAUAAUUUUCUUACAGUCGUCAUGGAAGCAUCUCAUUGUGAUCACCAUAUUCUUGAUGUAGUUAAAAUUUUCAAUUUUCCCGGUAUCUGUAUCUUCCUUCUUUUUUCCUUUUAUAUCAGUAUUAUAUGAUUUGGCGGAGUCAGAGUCGAAUGAACUACCUUUAGACAACACUCCAAUAUAUGUGUGACGAGGGCUAUUAGAAUCAAUUGAUGAAUCACAAGAGUGUGCUUUUAGACCCCUGAUAUUUGGAUUUGUUAGUGGCCUUCUUUUUUGAGGUGCUUCCUUCCUUAACGACAAUAUUUUUGUGAACUAGGCCCAUCCAUGUUUGUCUGUUCUUUCACGGACUAAAAUGCAGCAUUUUCGCCCUCUGUUGUCCACUCGGAAAAAUUCAGCUAAAUAUUCUUUCCUAUUGUGUGUCUUUUGGACCCACAAGCAGUAUUCAUCGAAUCUCUUUUCCUAGAAGAACCUUGUCGUUCUAGGCGUAUCCAGCAGUGUGUUGAAUGUAGUCUUUAGCCAGUCUAAAGAUUCUAGCGUGACAACGAUAGACAAGGAUUUAUAGGGUCCCAUUUCUGUUAUGAGAAUUUUCAGCUCUUUGGACCGGUAAACAAUAGUAAUCACAAAGUCCUUGUUUUGAAUGGAGCAUGAGCGAGGGAGUUGUCGAAGAAGAGCCAUAUUGUUGUGAAGAUAGCACAAGAGAUUGAAUCAGAGAGAUAUGAAGAGUAAAGAAAGGGAAGAGUUAGAAGUACCUUUAUGAGUUAGUAAGUAAAUUUGACUGGGGGUGGAAGAUCUGGUGAAGUAAAUGCAGUAAUUAUAGUGUAGUUUUGCAGAAGAAGAUCAACAUGUGUUCAAAGGUGGAGUUGUUCUUCUGGGGGAUCGUAAACGACAGUGCGGUGGCCAUGGAAUUUUAGAGAGAGACUCUCAUCUUAUGACUUAAGGUAUUCUCUCUUUGAUUUUUGAACAUCAUUUGUUAACGUUAUGCUUUAAACAAAUUAAAAUAAACUUGAAAGGCUAAGUUUAAAAAAGUAAAGAAAAUUAGUAGUGAUGUUGAAGAAGUUGAUAAGAAUUUAGAAGUUUCAUAGAGUAAAAAAUAUAUAGAAGUUGGAAAUUUUGUGUAUUAAUUGAAGUUCUUAAGAGUAUAAAAUUUUUGUUAUUAUUAUAUAUAUUGGUUUAUUGUUAUUAUUAAAAAAUUUAUUUAAAAUAACCAAACUUCUAAAAAAUAUUUACAAAUAUAGUAAAAUAUCAUAAUCUAUCUAUGAUAUAUAUAGAUAAAAAUAAACUAGUGUGUUUGCAUCUAUCAUGAUACAGAUAGACAAAAUUAGAAGUCUAUUUUUGUCUAUCACAGUCCAUUAUUGCAAAUAGAAUACUUUGCUAUAUUAUGUAAAUAUUUCAAUUGAUUCAUUUUUUGUUAUAUUAGAAUAUAUCAUUUUAUUAUUGUCGUUAUUAUUAUUACGUUUAAAUCCUAUUUUGGUUCCUACUAACUUUGUAUAUUGUUCUAUUUUGAUCUAUAUUUUUUUUAGUCAUCUCUAAACUUAAAAAAAAACAUAUUCGGGUGAUCAUAGUCAUUAAGAUUCCAUUGACUUUAUAAUGAAAUGACAACAUAAAUUUUAUUUUGGAUGAUUAUGCUUCUAAAUAAAGUAAUUGAUCUUAAAUAUAGACUAAAUCAUUCAAAUAUAAAAGUUUCGUUGACUUAGAAUAAACGUAGAUGCUUUUAAAAGUUUACUAAACGAAAAUAGAAAAUAAGUUUAGGAUUGAAAGAAAGAUUUAGACAAAAGACCUAAAUUAACUAUGAAAUUUCAUAAAUGUCUUAAACUAAAAUUUAUUUUCUUAAAUAGAAAUUCCUAUAUUUUUUUUGGACAAUUAUGAUCUUAUCAUCAUUAUUAAUUAUAUAUAAUAUUCGAAAUUAAAUUUAAAAUAUUUCCUUAUUCACGUUACAUUCAAUUUACUAUGAUUUUGAUAACUUCCUUAUUUAAAUGUGUACCUUUAUUGCAUAAAUAAAUUAGAAAUAUUUCUUUUAAUUAAGUAAAAAGUACAUCUUUUCUAAUAUGGAAUAAUAUACUAAUUAAUUAUAAUUGUAUAAUCGUAUAAAAUAAGAUUUUUUAAUUUUCAUUCUUAUAUGUAAACAACUUCAUUUCUUCCAAAAUUGACUUUGAAAUGUAUGUUUAUUUAGUAAAUAUCAUUAAAACAGUAGUAAACUAUAAAAUUCUUACUUACUUAUUAUCACUUUAUAUAUUUUUUAAAUUAACAAAUAUAUAAUUUAAUAUACGCAUAAAAUAUAAUAGUUCUUUUAUGGGAUUUAUUAAUAUAUAUAUUUCAUAUUAAUUACAAUAAAUAUACGGUAAACUACAUGAUUAUGAUAGAAUUUUGGAUUAAAAUAUAUGUUUACAUAGUAAACAUUACUAAAAGAGUAGUAAACUACAUGGUGACAAUGUAUCUAUAAUAUAUGGUGUGAAUACAUACAUAUUAUUAUAUUUUACGGGUAUACAAUUAUGUACAGUAAGAAGUCUAAAUUUAUAUAUGUUAUUUAGUAUAUAUACCUCAUAUUGUAUACAAUAAUACCUUAUACAUAAUUCCUACAGAAUUUGUAUUUAAAUGUUUUGUUUGUAUAGUAAAUAUUACUAAAACAGUAGUAAACGAUAUGAUGAUACAUACAUAUUUUUUCUUUAUAAAUGUAUUUGAUUACAUUAUACUUUAAUAUAUCCGCAAUCCAUAAUAGUUAUGUUCUGUGUUUUAGUAUAUAUAUACCUCAUAUUAUAUACAAUAAUACUAUAUACUGACAUAUAGUUUUAUUAUUUUUUGAUAGGAUGGCCAAAAUGUAUUUCUUCUUGAAUUCUCAAUAAACUCUAGAAUUUAACACAUUCAAAACUAGAUUUUCGUUUGUUUGCCUAUUUAAUCGAAUAUCAAAAAUAUACAUAAUAUACCAAAUGUUUCAUAUGUUAUCUAAAGUAUACCUAAUAUACCAAAUGUUUCAUAUGUUUUGAAUAUAAUCUAAAAUAUACUUAAUAUACCAAAUAUUUCAUAUGUUAUCUAAAAUAUACUUAAUAUACCAAAUGUUUCAUAUGUUUUGAAUAUACUCCAAAAUAUAUCUAAUAUACCAAAUGUUUCAUAUGUUAUCUAAAAUAUAUCUAACAUACCAAAUGUUUCAUAUGUUUUGAAUAUAAUAUAAAAUAUACCUAAUAUACCAAAUGUUUCAUAUGUUUGGAUUAUAGUCUAAAAUAUACCUAAUAUACCAAAUGUUUCAUAUGUUUUGAAUAUAAUCUAAAAUAUACCUAAUAUACCAAAUGUUUCACAUGUUUUGAAUAUAAUUUAAAAUAUACCUAAUAUACCAAAUGUUCCAUAUGUUUUGAAUAUAUACAAUAUUAAACACAAAAUUUCUAGAUAGAUUAUGUCGGAUAAGUUUUGUAUUUGUCGGUCAUCGAAAGUUUUCUUAUUCAUCGUCGAAAUCUCAAUAAACCAUAAAAUGUAUCACAUUCCAAGUUACAUUUUUAUUUGAUUAAUUAUUUAAUUGAAUAUCUAAAAUAUAUCUAAUAUACCUAAUGUUUCAUAUGUGUUGAAUAUAAACAAUACUAACCUCGAAAAUUUUAACUAGAUUAUGUUCGAGAAGUUUUCUAUUUGUCAGCCGUCGAAUGUCUUAUUCUUCACCUCCGAACUCUAAAAUUUCAAAAUAAAAACCGUAAUCCACAUUGGAAGAAGUAGACAACCAUUUUCGUAGAAGGAAAGCAUGAAAAUUGAUAUUAAAUUAAUUUGGGCCCCACUUAUUUUCAAAACCUACGACUAUUUUUUUCAUUUAGAUAUUUGUUAUAAAUCAGUUAAAUAAUAAAAAUUGAUAUUAAAUUAAUUUGAGUCCAUCUUUUCUCCAAAACUAUAUCCUACGAUUUUUUUUAUUUAGAUAUUUAUUAUAAAUCUAUUAAAUAAUAGAAAUAGGUAUUAAAGUAAUUUGAGCUCUACAUUUAUAUAUUAUACUAAUCCAUUUAGAACUUUAAUAAAAUUUAUUAAUAAUUUGGAUCGUUCAACUAAUAUCAUAUAUAAGAAUUUAGGUUAUAUGAGUCCACCAUACUUACUAUUAAGUGAAAAGAUGAGCCAUCAAUCCCAUGAACUUUCUCUUCUAAUUUAAUCAUUCUUUUUAUGUAAGUGGAAGAAUAACGCAAGUGGAUAUACUGUGGGCUGCACCACAUUCCUCCACUCAACCAUCUACUUUUUAUUUAUUUAUUUAUUUAUCUAUUUAUGUUUUUAUGUUAUUUUUAGCUAUAUUUUAAGUAUAUUAUGAUAAUAUUUUUAAUUGUUACUUUUUGUAUUUUCAUAACUUCAAUUUUAAAGUACAUAUGUUUGUUGAUGUAAAGAUUUUUCUGUUCUUUUUCCUUAUAGUUCUUUUUUUUUUUAUGUAUGACCUUUUUCUUUUAAGAAAUUCUAACAUAACAUCUAGCUAAUAAUUCUAAGAUCCUGAUUUUACAUAAUUCUUGGAGGGAAGGAUAUUGUAAAUUUGGAAGAAAAAAUAAAUUUAGUUAGUUUCUUUUUUUAAAAAAAUAUCUUUAUUAAAAUAUUAAAAUGAUAAUAUUUUCUUGAGUUGCUUAAAGUCAAAUUUUAAAAAAAUUAAAAUAAAAGAAUGUCAUAAUGGAUGAAUUGUUCUAUUUAUUUUAUGAAAUUGUGACUCUAAAUAUGGGACAAAUGCAGUGUAAAAUAAAACAGUAUUUUAAAAGUCUUAAUUUGUCAAGUUAAUUUGGAUAUGUAUGUUAGCCUUACUAUCUUCUAAUGGAAUUUUGUUCAAAGAAUGAUUUCAAUUCAAAAUAUAAAAUUUUGUCCAAGCACGAUUUACACUUUUUUUAAACACAAACGAUUCUAACUUAAGUUUAGUUUUUGCUAUUUCUAUUAAAACAUUGUUAAAACUUUAUUUCGGAGUCGAAUGGCAUCUAAAUAAAAAUUUGUGUUAAUUCUUUUUUUUAAUACAAAAUUAAUCUUAUUCAAAGGAUAGUCAUUAUCACGCAUGGUCACAAGCACAUGGCCUCAUUGUUAGUUUAAUAUUGUUUUUUAAAUAAAAAAAAUGAAAAUCACAGACAUUCAUUUUUAAGAAACAAGAAAAACAAAAGCAAUAGUAAACAAACUCGGCAAUAAUUUAAUGCAAUUUAAAUUGCAUCAAAUUAAUUAAUGCAAUUUAAACAAAGUCGGGCAAUAGCUAUACUUUUGAAAAGUGAAUUUGAUUAAUCAUGGAAUUGGCUUUAGUUAGUGUGUAGUGGGUGGAUUUUUAUGAAUUAGUCAUAAAACAAUAAUUUAAUGACAUAGUUGAAAAUUUGAAAUAUAUGAAUGAAAACAAAAUUGAGAGAAUUAUUGAAUAAUGUCUCCAUUUCAAGUAUUUUCCUUUCCAUCUUCUUUUUGCCUGCUUCUUAUAAAAAUACCAAAAAACUUUUGUUGGUAUGCAAAACAAUCAACCUAUCAAAAUCAUUAUCCUCUCUUUUCUCCUCCCCUCAGAAAAGCUUGCCACAUCUCCGGCUAGAAAAUGGCUUCCUCCGACAACAACACCGCCGUCGAACAGCAACAAAAUUAUGCUUACGCAGCACAGCUCGUUACCUUAUCAGUCCUACCCAUGACACUCCAAGCAGUGUUCGAGCUUGGUGUGUUCGAGAUCUUGGCAAAGGCUGGGGAUGGGGCCAACCUCUCUCCAGCAGAGAUAGCGGCUGAGAUAACCACGACAAACCCCGACGCAGCAUUGAUGCUUGAUCGGAUGUUGAGGCUUUUGGCGUGCCACUCGGUGGUGGGAUGCUCUAUAGCGUCUGAUAAAGAUGGGAAUGUGCAAAGGCUUUAUAGCCUUACUCCGAUUUCUAAAUAUUAUGUUCGAAAUGAAGAUGGUGUUUCGUUGGGUCCAACUUUAUCGUUGAUUCAAGAUAAAGUGUUUCUGCAAAGCUGGUUUGCUCUCCUUAAUUUCUUUAUGCUUUUUAAUAUAUAUUUUUUUCUUUUAAUAGAAGGGAAAUUAGUAGGAAUAGCGAAGAUAAAAUAUAAAUGGAGAUAUGUUAUAUUAGUGAGAAAUUAUAUAAGUACAGCUAUGUUUGAGAAAUUAGAGAGUUAAAUGGUACAAAAUAGAGCGGAAAAAAAUUGAGUUAUAAGAGUGGAUAUUUAAUUUUGAUAUUAAAAAAGAAAGUUAGAAAAGUACUAAAAGCUUAGAGAGAAAAAUAUGGUAGAAGGAAAAGUUUUCUAAUUAGGACAUUUAGAAAAUUUUAGAUGGAGUUUUUUUUUCCAACAAUUUGAGAAAUAUGGAGAGUCGAAAAAUAAUAAAAAAAUAUUAUAACACAGUAUUCUUUUCAAACAUAGAAAAAUGAAAUAUAAUACUUUUAAAUAUAGUAAAGUAAUAUAUACAGACGGUAUCAAAGAUACUAUCUAUUGUGGUCCAUCAAUAGAAUGUGAUACAUCUUGGGUAAUUAUUUUUUAUAGUUUUGUUAUUAAAAAUAAUUAUGUCGUAGAUAUAUAUAUACAUAUUGAGAAAAAAACUUAAAUUAAAAAGAGGAAUAAAGUAGUUACAUAAACAGACUUUAAGGAUUUCUUUGAUAAGAAUAUUAAAAUUUUGGGAUAGUUGCAAAUUUAAUAUUAGAUGCAAAAUAAUUAAGUAUAUAGUAAUAUUUUAAAAAAAAUGUUAGAAUUUUAGAAUUUUGAGAAGGAUACCCUAAGAAACUAAAGGAAAUUUUAAAAACUGAAAAAAUAUCAAGAGUGGGAAAUUUUUUAAAGAAGAAAAUUAAAUAUUGUUAGAAGAAAAAAAAAACUAAUUAAGGCACGUUUGGUAGUUAAUCGAAAAAGCAAAGGGUUAAAUGAACUAGAGUUGGUAUAUCAUGUUCUCAUCAUGCAUAAAUGUGUUUCGUGGUAGAGAAUUCAAAAAUUGGAUUCCAAUUUAAAUAAUUGUAAACAUCAAAUUUAGUUGACAGUAAAUUAUUAUUAGUUUAUUUACAUAACAUUUUUUAUGUUAAAAAACGUAUAUUUAUUGUUUUGUAAUACUCUAUAGAUUAUAUAUUAAAAUUAAAACUUUGGACCAUAUCUGGUUUUUUUUAGAGAAGGAGACUAGUGUCAAGACUAUGAAACUUUUAAUACCGAAUUUAUUAAAAAGCCAAGAGAGUACAAAAGACUUAGAGAGAAGCCCAAAUGCUCUUAGUGAAAAAGAAUGGUGAAGUUAAGAGCUAACGAACUAGAAGAACAGUCUUUAAAUAUAGGUGAUGGCGACUACACCACAAACCUAUGUAGUUACAACAAUCUUCCCAGAGAUUAAGUAAGCUAUUUUAUUUAUUAAGGAAUAUUCUUCUAUUUCUUUUAGUCCAAAUGCUCCAAAGACAGUUACCGUUGCAUUCGUGAUAAUAAUGUUUCUUGUGGUUGAAAAAUUCUAAUGUAAAACGGACAACACAACUGAGUUUAGAUUGUUGAACGAGUGUUGAUACCCAGUUUGAGCCUGCAUUAAGGUAUCCCAAAGGAAGUUAGUCGCUCUAUAGUUUACAAGUAAAUGAUAACUUGUUUCGCAACGAGAGUGGCACAACACAUACCAAUUUGGAUUUAAACAAGAUUUGGGUUGUCCUAUUUCAAGAACUUCCAUUAUGUUGAUACCUUCGUAAGAAAGGACCAAAGGAAGAAUUUGCAUUUCUUUGGAAUAGACGAUUUCCACAGAGCUUUGAAAAUCUGAAGGUCGACUCCAUUAUUCCCAUUGGGAGGGAAAUUUUGGAUGGACUUUUUAACUGAAGCGUGGUGAAGACCUUGUUGUUUUCCAACUUCCAAAUCGAUUUUCACGUACUUUUGUUUACAUUUUCGGAUAAGGGAACUCUGAAGAGAUUUGAUUUUAGAGGUCAAUUUCUCUUUCGUUUAGCAGUCUUCGCGGCUUCAAGUCCCAAUUCUUAUCCACUGGGUUCCACAUCUCGUUUACUGAAUUGUUUUGGCUUGAGAGAGAGCGUAUAAUCUCGAGAAAGCAGUGGCUAGAGGACCAUUUGUACUCUAUUUGUUAAGCCAGAAAGAAAUACUUUCUCCAUUAUUUAUUUUCCAAGAAAUGUUCGUUCCAAACCAAUCUAGGCAUUUAACAAUACUCUUCCAAGGAGCUUUGGCAGUACUGAACUUACCCAACAUUGGAAUUUUUCCUAAAAGGCUUUCUUUGUAUUUAGCUAAAAUGAUUUUCCUCCCGAGAGCAUUUGACUCAUUAUGAAAUCUCCACAGCCAUUUGGAAAGAAGGAAAAAAUUUGUGUCCUGAAUCUUUGAUACCCCAAGCCCUCCUUUUGUCUUCGGAGUAGUUAUUUUGGCCCAACUAAUUAAAUGUGAACCUUUUGUCACACUAGACCCUUUCCACAGAAAAUCUCUCUAGUAUUUUUCAGUCUUUUUGUGUACAACAACUAGAGUUUGGAAAACAGACAGUUUGUAUGUUGGCAAGCUAGUUAAAGAGAAAUUAAUUAUUGUGAGUUUUCCACCUUUCAAAACCUGGGAGUACUAGUUUCAGUUAUUGAUCUUCUUGUUGAUUUUGAUAUCAACCUUUUCCAAAAAGGAGGUUGAUUUUGGGUUGCCUCCUAGAGGGACUCCAAGAUAAAGGAUCGACAUGUGAUAAAUAGAAAUAUCCCAAUUAUCAACAAAGAGAAGGAUAUCAUAUGCAAAAAGAAUGUGGGUUAAGCUAUAAUUGUUGUUGAAGUUGACACCCUUUAUCGAGUUGCUUUUUUCCAGCUAGGAUAACAAUCUACUUAGAUAGUCCAUGGCAAGAACAAAAAUAAAGGAAGAAAUGAGAUCACCUUGACGAAUGCCUCUGUGAGCAGGGAUUCGCCCAUGGGGCUUGCCAUUGAUGGGGAUGGAGUAAACCACAUUGCUAAUACAAGCUUUGAUCCACUUUCUCCAUUUGAAAAGGAAAUUUUUUACACACAUCAUGUAGUUAAUAGUACUCCAACUUAUCUUGUCGAAAGCCUUUUCAAUGUCUAGUUUUAUGACAAAUCCUUUUGUUUCGCUAGCUUUCCAUAAAUCAACCGCUUCAUUGGCCAUAAGAAUAGCGUCUGUUAUUUGACGGCCUUUAACAAAUGCAAGCUGAUUCUCGAAAAUUGUAUAUGGCAUAGUGGACUUCAGCCUGUUAACUAAUGUUUUAGCUAUGAUCUUGUAGAGAGAAGUUGUGAGACUUAUAGGCCUAAAAUCUUUAGGCAUAUUGCAAUCAUUCUGUUUUGGGAUUAGAGCAAGGAAGGUGUUGAUGUUUUUGUUGAUGAUCCCUUUUGAAUGAAAAUCAUCGAAAACUUUCAUGAGAUCGUUCUUUAUAGAUUGCCAGUAAUCUUAGUAGAACUGCAAAGGAAAACCAUAUGGCCUUGGAGAUUUGUUGCUAUUGCAAGAGAAAACGAUGUUUUUUAUUUCUUCCUCAUUGAAAGGGUAACAAAGGGAGUAAUGGAAAGAAUCGUUGAUUGGAUUCUAGUCUAGAUUUUCAAUAAAGAUCAAGUCUUUUUUACUUCUAUUAAAGAGAGCUCCGAAGAAUCUGAUGAAAAUAUCUGCAAUUGUUUUAUCAGUCGUAUGGGAGGUACCUGUCUCGUCUUUGAUUUUAUAAAUGAAAUUUCUCUUUUGAUUUGAGAAACAAAUACGAUAAAAGAAGUUGGUGUUUUCAUCCUCGUCUUUGAUCCAUAACUUUUUCGCUCUCUAAGCCCAAAAUUGGGCUUCCUUGACAAUGAUAUGUGAGAGAUCUGACUUAAGAGACAGUCUUCUUAAGCUGUCAUUUGGAUUCAUAGACCUUGAUUCUUCUCUGAAAUCGAUUGCAUCAAUUUCCUUUAAUAUCAUAGUUUUGUCUUUGACCAUGGAGUUCAUUUUGCCAGUUUGCCAAGAAUUAAUGUUUUUUGUUAAAGCCUUGAGGCUCUAAAUGAAAGCGAAACCUCGAUGACCAUCCUCUUUAGCAUUAUUCCACCACAUAUCUAGGUUUCUUUUAAAAUCAGCUUCUUUUAUAAAGUUGGUAUUAAGCCUGAAGGGAGAAGGGCCCCAUCUGAUAUCUGUCGAUUCAAGGACUAUAGAGUGGUGAUCAUAAAUAAUUCUGAAAAGCGAUCUUGAAAAAUUAAAGUUGAAAGCUCGAUCUCAAUAAGGGUUGAAAAGAAAUCUAUUGAUCCGGGAGAGCACUGGAUUAGUUCUGAGAUUGGACCAAGUGAACUUGAUGUUGGACAGAGGAGGGUCAAUUAAGUUAUUGAACUGUAUGAAAUUGUUGGAACUUUUUCAUACUUAACUUAGACGAACUGAUUGCAGUAGUUUCCUUCUUCCAUCUUAUGACAAUUGAAAUCUCCCCUCAAAAGCUAAAGAGAGUUAUUUAGAGAAUUAAGCUUGUGAAGGUUUUCCCAGAAAAGAUCACGAUUUCUUCUUCUUGCAGGGUCAUAAAUAGUAGUUAGCCACCAACUGAUGCCUUUUGAAACUGCCUUAGCAUAGGAGCGUCUUGGGGUGCUAUCUAAGGUACCUUUUGGGGUGAAUGAGGGUGUAGUUUUGGCUUCAACUUCAACUUUUGGCGUGAUCGUUGAAAGAAAGGAAACUCAAUCACUUUUGUCGAUGCCCUCUGGGACAAGAAUGCAUGCCUUUCUUCCGACAUAAUCAACUCUAUACAUCUUCGUUGUGUAACCUUUUCUGUUUUUUGUUUUUCUGAUCCAAAGACAGUGGUCUUCAUUUCUUGUUUCCAGGAAGAACCGUAUUAUACUUGGAGUAGCAAUCAGAUUUUUGAGUGUGUUCCUAACCCAUUCUAGUUCCGAGGUUACUUCCAUAGAGAAUGUCUUAUGUGCUCCCACUUCAGUUAGCCAGUACAACAUAGAUUUUGAAUAUUUGUCUAGGAGAGAGGAGAUAUUCUUUUCUUUCUAUUUUGCAUGAACAAGGAAGAUUCUUGAAGAACGCCAUAAUUGAGAGUUGUUGCAGGUCUAAAAGUAGUAACAGGUUGAAGAGAAAGGUGAGAAGAAGAAGUAGUGUGUGUACCUUUUAAAGCGGAUGCAUGGCGUUGUGUCAUGAUGAAAGUUCCGAGAGGGGGUAUUACUAUUGCGACGGAUGGGAUUCUUGGAGAGAGGAGAGGGAAGAUAUGGAGCGCAUAUAUGGUUUGGACUAAGUUAAAAUUUAUGUCUCAUGGUUUAUAAUUAAAAUUAAUCUCAUUAGGUUUGGUAAAAACUUCAUAACUAAGUACCUUAUUGUAUGGACUAUUUAAGAGAAUUUAACCAACCAUAAGAAACUAAGUUAUAUGGAGUAGUAUGAAAUCAUAGAAACUAAGACUUUGGUAGCAUUAUUAUUAUUAUUAUUAAAUUAAGUCUAUAGAUACUAGUCCUACCUCUAAAUUUCUUCAUUUGUCGUCUUCUAUUUACUUAUUGUUUAAAAAAUUAAACCAUAUUUUGACAACGAAAAAAAGUACUUUUAAAAUUUUGAUUUUUUUUUUUAAUUUGGCUAAGAAUUUAACUAUCUAUUUGAGAAAAAUGUAAAUCAUUAUAAGAAAUGGGGAGGAAAUCAACUUAAGUUUUUUUAAAAAAAAAACAAAAUGAUACUGAAACAAAAACUAAAUUCUAAAUUUUAAAAUCACAUUGACAAAUUAACUUUAUCCAACCAUAGAGACCAAAACUUGAAAUUUAACGGAAUUUAACUUAUAAUAAAUAUUUUUAAUUUAAAAAUAUUUGAAUUCGAUUAACAAAUGCUUCUAAAUAUUUCUAUCUUUAUCUAAUAUAAUUUUAAAAUUCAAAUUAUGGAUACAAAUUAACUUAAGGUGACAUUUUUUUGGAUGUUGGCGGACGUUUUUUUCAUGAGUAAAAGUGAACAUUCUUAUAGUGUUGGAUGGUUAGUUUGGAUUAUAACAUAAUCUGGAAAAGAAAAAAAAAGCUUUCAUUAAAGAGAACAAAAUUUGGAUUGUGAACCAAACAUAACCGAGUUUUUUAAAAUUGCAGGAGUGAGUUGAAGAAUGCAGUGAUUGAAGGAGGAGUUCCUUUUGACCGAGCUCAUGGAGGAGUUCAUGCAUUUGAAUACCCUAAGUUAGAUCCAAGAUUCAACCAAGUAUUUAACAUUGCAAUGAUAAAUCACACUACAGUGUCCAUAAAGAAAAUUGUGGAAUCAUACAAAGGUUUUGCAAACAUCAAGCAAUUAGUUGAUGUUGGUGGUGGCCUUGGGGUCACCCUUCAAAUCAUCACUUCUACCUAUCCUUCCAUCAAAGGCAUCAAUUUCGACUUACCUCAUGUCAUCCGUGAUGCCCUGCUUAUAAUGGUAAGUAGUUCCAAUCAUUUAAUUUGAAAAAGUUUACAAAGCUGAAUUUUGAUUAUGAAUUGGCAGGGGUUCAACAUGUGGGAGGAGACAUGUUUGAGAGUGUUCCAAAUGGAGAUGCUAUUUUCAUGAAGGUUAGUUUUCUUUUCAUUUUCAUAAACAAAAACAUUCAUAAACAAUAGUUCCUAUGCUAGAGACUAUUUUUUUUUAGGACUUUAUCGAAUUUUAGAGACUAUUCAUAAGAUUUUAUAUAUAAAAAAGAAUCUAACUUUUAACUUUUGAAUUUGUAAUUUAACCAAUAAUAAUUAACCUAUAGUUGAGAGAUAUAGGCCACUUUGUCCUUUGAAAACCGUCAACAUUUAACAUUGUACAAUUAGUAUUUUAUGGACUAAGUCAUACUUGAAAUGACAAAAUUCUUUUACUUUAUUGUUAUUAUAGUGGAUAUUACAUGAUUGGAGCGACGAUCAUUGCACAAAGUUAUUGAAAAAUUGCUAUAAUGCAAUUCCAGAUGAUGGAAAGAUAAUUAUAGUAGACAGUGUGAUUCCCAUGGAGCCUGAAACCACAAAUGUAACAAAGGCAACAGCCCAAGCUGAUGUGCUUAUGAUGACUCAAAAUCCAGGAGGAAAGGAAAGAACUAGAGAUGAAUUUAAGAGCCUAGCAACCAAAGCUGGGUUUAAACAUGUCAUAUUCCAAUGUUUUGUAUCUAAUCUUUGGGUUAUAGAGUUUCUUAAAAAUUAAUUUAUAUAUAUUGUAAUUGAAUUUCUAUGUUUCUAUGUCCUUUUGGUUGCUAAACUUUCUGCACUCCAAAACGUUGAAUAAAAAAGUUGUUAUUGUUGUUAUAAUUAUGGCUUUGUUUGAUUGAAGGUACAUGUUUUGUUCAUAUAUUUUAUUUGUACUUCAAGAUCUCAUUUACUGAAUUAUACUUAUUUUUAUAACGAGAAAUAUAGAAAAUAAUAAAUGACUAAGGUAUAGUUAGAAUUUAAGUGACCUUGAACUCGUUCAUGUUAAAUUUUAAGAAAAAAGGUAUUUGACUUCUACGUGACAAUGACUAUAAAUUUGCAUUUUGAAAAAUACAUAAUUAAAUAUAUUUAUAAGAGGUAAACAUACACGAUAGUUUGCAAAAAAUAGCAAAAGAAUAUUUAUGAUGAUAGAGCUCAUGUCACUCAUAUUUUCAAUUGAUUCAAUACCUUUUAACAUAAACACAUCACUUUCAUCUCCUAUAUUUUUCACUGAUCUAAUCUCUCUCACUCUAAGAACAAGUGAGAGACAUCAAUUCCUAUAUUUUUCACUGAUAUAAUCUCUCACUCUAAGAACAAGUGAGAGACAUCGUAGUCAGCUAAUGAAUAUAGUUUGUAUUUUCUAAAAAUUAUAUUGAGUUAAAGUUGUGGUUGGGGUUGUUUCCCUUGACCUUUAGGUUCUCCUACUUGCUAGAAAAACACUUCACAAAGAGAGAAUGGGAAUUUAUUUUAUCAAAUUGCUUGUUCAUGAUGCUGUUUGUAACUGAUUCAACAUGUCUCGACAUAGCUAGCAGGAUGAAUGAAAGUUAGAGAUGAUUUGUUAGGUCACAAGUCUCAAAUUAGUUCAGUGUUGAGAAGAUUACUCACAGUGGUUUCGGGGAUGGAAGAUUUAAUUUUGUUACAUUUUUACAAAUAAUGUAUAUAGUUUCUCUUUAUUUAAAACAAGAUCAAAUAUCAAAGAAAAGAUAAAAGAUUCUACUUAUCUUUAGCAAUCUUUUUAAAUAUCUUUUAUGCUUGUGCUUUGCUUAAUUUUAUUAAAGAAGAUCUACCAGUCUUCGGUGCUUUUUCUCACUAUAAAAGAAGAAGAUCCUUGGCAUUGAUCAGAAUUAUUUUCCGACUGCAGUUUCUGAAGAAUUUGUAUGAUGGUAAACGAUUUACCGUCUUUGAUAUUUUACGAAGAGUUCUUGAUAUAUCUUCAUUAUUGGUUCAAGUGUAUUUGAGAGAAGAGAUAUAAAGAAGAUUAAGUUAGUUGAUUUUGGGUCAUCUACUUCAAGAGAGUCUAGUUUAUCUUCAUUAGAUUCAAACACAAUUCAGAAGAGUUGGAUUAUUUUUAGUUUCUAUUCAUAACUAAAAAGAGUUCUUAUACUAGAAGGAAUCUCUUCUGGGUUAUUAAAAAUUGUUUAGUACUCACUUGAAUAACUGCAAGAAAUAUCAGUUACGAUAGCAUCAAAACAACGCUAUUGUUGACUUUCGAUAGCGUUUUCGUAAUGUUGUCAUACCCGAUGUUAUUGAAAGUCCAUUACUUUCCAUAGCGUUUUUACAACGCUGUACAAAACGCUAUAAUAUGUCUCUAUUGAUUGCACAUAUAUGAUGCUAUAAAUGCUUUUUAUAACGUGAAAAAAAUGCUAUUAAAAAUUGGAUAGGGUUUUUUAUUGCGUUGGAAAAAUCAUUAUCAAAAUGAUUCAAUAGCGUUUUCAAUAACAUUGGAAAAAUGCUAUAAAAUACAUUUUAUAGCGUUUUUUAUUGCGUUCGAAAAACGUUAUCAAAACAUUUCAAUAGCUAUUUUAAUAACAUUGGAAAAAUGUUAUAAAAGACUUUUUGUAGCUUUUUUAUUGCGUUCAGAAAAACGUUAUAAAAACCAUUCAACAACUAUUUUAAUAACAUACAAAAAACGCUAUAAACCAUUUUUUUAGCGUUUUAUAAAUGUUGUAGUAGCAGAAAGUCUUUGACUUUUAAUAGCGGUUUUUGUAGAGCUAUUAAUAACAAUAUAAAAAUUGAUAUAUUAUAGUUUUAAUUCACUGUUAUGAAAACGUUUCAUGAUAUUGAAAAAGUAUCAUACAAAAUGUUAUAACAAUAAAAAGACUAGAUAUGUUAUUGAAGGUCUCUUAUUUUUAUUAGCAUUAUUUAUUGUAAUGGAAAAAAGUUAUAAAUACCCCAUUUUUACACAAACUUUAUUGGUGAUUGAUCCUCUAUAGCAUUUUUUUUGUAAUAGUACAAACAUAACUACAAUUCAUCUAAGAGCACCUAUCCAAUAUUAUUAUUAUAAAAUCAAAUUAAAAUCAUGUAGAUAUUUAUAGAUCAAGUUGUAAUUUGUUAUCAAUAAAACUCGUCGAUGUCUUUGUUUAUAUUUAUCUUUGAAUUGAAACAUGUGGUGUAAAACGUGUACAAUUAUACACAUAAAAGAUAUCAAUUUUCUAUCACCGAUAAAAAUAUAUCAAUUUUCUAUCACCGAUAGAAAGAUAUCAUUUUGUGUGUUGAGUAUGAAAAGAAAAUUUUGUGAUUACAUUUUGGGAUUUAGGUUUUCAAGGGUAUUUUUUUUAUAUUUUACAAUCUGUUUUGGAUUUGGGGUUAAAAAGUUUAUAUGAACCGUAAAUAUUUUGUCUAAUUAUUCUAUUUUAAAAAAUUUGGUUGCAGGUAGAAUCAGAAUCUUACAAUUUAUGGCCUAGAUUUUAUGUUAGAAUUUUUUGAAAGAAAAACGUCAUACAAAACUAUUCUUUAUAAAGAAAAAUAUUAGAAAAAAAUGUAUUUUCAACAAACAUGUGUACUGUAAAAUUAAAGUGAUGAAAAUACAAAAAGUAACAAUUAAAAAGAUUAUCAUAAUAUACUUUAACGUGGUGCAGCCCACAGUGUCAACUAUCCCAGUUGGACCUUCACUGACCUAACCUCAAUGAAAAGUUGAUGGGGCGGAUGGCUAUCUUUUCGUUUAAUAAAGUAACAAUAAUAAUUCAGAGAUAAAAAUAUACAAAGUUUUUUCUUUUUUUACUUUUGAAAACAAACCUUCAAUAACUGUGUGAUUGGGGUUUUUCAUUAACUUCACAACUUAUCCUUACUUCAACACAUAUCAGCUGAGAGCAAGAAAUGGGUUCCAAUAUGGGGGAGCAAACAUCUGACGUAGUCACCGACGAUGAACAACAAAAUUACGCUUAUGCUGGACAACUGAUUACCUUAACGGUGCUACCGAUGACGCUUCAAGCAGUGUUUGAGCUAGACGUGUUUGAUAUCAUAGCGAAGGCCGGGGAUGGGGCCGAGCUCUCCGCCACACAGAUAGCCAAUGAGAUAACACAUAAAAAUCCGGACGCAGUGUCGAUGAUUGAUCGAAUGCUGAGGCUUCUUGCGAGCCACUCGGUUGUGGGAUGCUCUGUGGGGUUUGAUGAAGAUGGAAAAAUGCAAAGACUUUACAGCCUUAAUCCAAUUUCUAAGUAUUAUGUUCGUAAUAAAGAUGGGGUAUCUGAUGCUUUUAACUUAUCAUUCAUUCAAGAUAAAGUCUUCCUCCACAGCUGGUUUGUUCUCUUCUUCUUUACAUUUAUUUUUCACUAUUCUUUUUAAUUCAUAAAUUUGACCUAACCAUCCGAUACUACUAAAAUUAAAUUAUAGAAAUUUGAAUAUGCAUAUAUACAUUGAAAACGUAAAAGAUACAAAGUUAAAAAAUGUUUUGAUACACAUAUUUUCAAAUCUAUUUAAAAAUAGUUAAUUUCGAAUAUAGCAAAUUAAAUUUAAAUGUUUACGAAAUAUAACAAAAUUUUAGAUCUAUUGCUAUGACUAUUUGUAACACAGAUAAACUCUUGUCACGGAUAGAAUCUUAAAUUUUGUUAUAUUAUAUUUUGUAAAUAUUUUCUAAUAUUUUUUCCAUUUUCAAUCAUUUUUCUUAGAAAAAGUUAAAAAAUAAAUUAUAUAUUUUAUAAUAAAUAACAAGAUGUUGUGUGGAUUGCCUUUUAGUUUACUUUUCAAAAUUUUGAAACAAGGGAUACAACAAUAUUUAGAAAAAUUAAGGGAGGCUUCGGUAAAUUAGUCAUGACUCGUUAAUUAUUUUAGUAUUAAAAAUAGAUUUUAUCAAAAACAUGUAUUUAUCUUUUGGUAAAUUGACUUAAAUGGUAAAAUUGUUGAAAAUAUUUUCAUACUAAAUCUUUAAAAAAUAAAAAAACAAGAUGGUUACUAGGUCUUAAUUUUAAACUCAAAACCUAAAUUCUAAAUAGGUUGAAAUUAAAAUUGUAGGAGUGAGCUAAAGAACGCGGUUAUGGAAGGAGGGGUUCCUUUCAAGAGGGCUCAUGGAGUAUAUUGUUUUGAAUAUUGUGGAUUGGAUCCAAGAUUUAACCAAAUUUUAAACGCUGCAAUGAAAAAUCACUCUACGAAAUUCAUCAACGAAAUUGUCAAAUCUUACAAAGGAUUUGCAAACAUCAAGCAACUAGUUGAUGUUGGUGGUGGCCUUGGUGUAUGUCUCCAAAUCAUCACUUCUACGUACCCUUCAAUCAAAGGUAUCAAUUUCGACUUGCCACAUGUCCUUCAGAAUGCCCCAUCUUAUCCCGGUACGUGAUUAUCAUUCAAGAAUUAUUUUACAUUUAAAAGUUUCCACUGUUGUUAUAUAUAAUCAUCUCAUAGAUAUUAAAUUUAAUAACAUGUGAAUGAAUAUUCUACUUAUGAUUAUUUUGGGGUGUGCAUACUGUUAUCCUAUUUUUCACAUGUUAUACUUAAGAGUGUGUUGAUGUUAUUUAACCUUAACUUUGAGUUGAUUGAUAAUUGAAGAAUAAAGUUAUAAAAAGGAAAGAGUGUCAAGAAGGGAAAUAUUGAAUGUGGUAUUGGCAGGGGUAGAACAUGUGGAAGGAGACAUGUUUGAGCAUGUUCCAAAGGGAGAUGCUAUUUUCAUGAAGGUUAGUUUUGCUUUAUAUUUUCUUGCCAUGUGGCCUUUUUCUUUGUCAUUUAUAUAUGUAACGUGUGUGUCUAUAUAUAUAUAAAUAAAGUUUAAUCUUCAACCUCAACGUGAUAUUCACUUCAAUAAGAAACAUAUAUAUUAUGAUAGUAUUUAUUCACUUUCAUUUAUAUAUGUAACGUAGAUUUUGAAAUUUUUGGUAUAUUAAAUAUCUUAAUUCGUUUUUGUAAAUAUUUGAAAAUGCUUUCAAUAACUAUGUAAAGGAGACUACGGUUUGAAUGAAAAUAUAAUGGUGGGAAUAGCAACAAACAAGUUUGUGGUCUGUCAUAAAUAGUCAGAAGCAACUCUAACUAUUCCUAAUGCUUACAUUAAUAUACAAUAUAAUAUAUAUAUAUAUAUAUAUAUAUAUAUAUAUAUAUAACUAAAUAUUUGAACUCACUUAAUUAGACUGUAAUAAAUUGUUUAGUAUCUAUUAUAUUGAAUAAGUAUUUUAAAUUAUAAUAUUUUAGAUGAUAUAUGAUAUUAAAUUUACGUUCACGUAUCAAUUUAAGCUUUUGGAUCAAUCGGAGUCUAACAUAGUAUAAAAAACAUGUGGCUUAAAUAUGUUAGGGUAUAUGUUAGACUCUUUCAAUUUUGAAUUAAUAUUGAUUUUCACUUAUUGGAUGUUUUUAACAUAAAUUAUUACAGUGGAUACUACAUGAUUGGAAUGAUGAUAAAUGUGUGAAGCUAUUGAAAAAUUGCUACGAUGCAAUUCCAAAUGAUGGAAAGGUAAUAGUAGUUGAUGCAGUUCAUACAAUGGUGCCUGAAACCACAUGUGCAGCAAGAGUUGUUGCUCAAGGUGAUGUGUUUAUGAUGACUCAAAAUCGAGGAGGAAAAGAGAGAAGUAGGGAUGAAUUCAAGGCCCUAGCAACCAAAGCUGGUUUUGAACAUAUUAAUUUUCACUCUUGUGUAUAUAAUCUUUGGGUUAUAGAGCUUUUUAAAAUCUCCCAACUAGAAGGUUGAUCCAUCGUUCUAAUGCUUUUUGCGGUGUGUUUGAUGAAUAAGGGUUUGUUUUUUUUAGAGGAAAUAUAUUAUGUUUCAUGUGACUCUCAAUGAAGGCAUUUGAGAGAGAUGCUUCUUAAUUUGAUUUGGAACUAUGUAAUAUGAAUGGUGAAAAUUUUGAAAAUUCUAAAGUUUGUAUGUUCUUAAGUGUAUUCAUACCUAGCUUUUAUUUUUCUAAAAGUAUAACAAUAAUGAUAACCAUAAUUACUCAAAUCUAAACCAUAAUAAUAUCGGUACGACGUAAUGUUCGAAUGCAAUCAGAUUGAUCAUCCCGCACUACAAAUCUAAACCAUAAUAAUAUCGGUACGACGUAAUGUUCGAAUGCAAUCAGAUUGAUCAUUCCACACUACAAGAACUUGGGUGUCUCCAGAUGUUGUCCAACAUCGAUGUAUAUACCCAAAAGCGUUGGAAAAUGAUCUUUUGACGUACAUGGUGUGUCAGGAAAGAAGUUAACAAUAGUGCGUUGGAGGAGGCAUUUCUGAAACAAAAAGGCGUCGUGUAAGCUUUCUUUCAUUUUCCUUUUAUUUGUAUUAAAAUUUUACAAGUUAAGAAAAUCAAGUUUAAAUCCAAUUUUAAAUUAUCUCAAGGUUAAGUUUUUGUGAUCAUGAUGAAAUCUUAGAAUCAAUUCUACUUUUGUGAUGGCUAACCAAAUUUUUUUAAGUGUUGAAAAAAAAAAGAGCCAAAUUUAGUUUGGUUUUAAGUCGAGGACAUAAACGUAAUUUCAUUUUCUUUCUAUUAAAUCAAUAAAAUAAGAAACAAUAAGAAAGAAAAGAAAGAAGUAUCAAUAAGAAAGAUAUAUAUAUACCCACCCUUGCGGCGCUUCACUCGUCGGACGACGACCAAACCGCCACUCCUCGUCGAUCACUCAUGCCAUGUCAUAUCUUAUGGUAUUCAUGUGUAGGAGACAUUGUGCUCAAGAGUCCUAGCUUGCAUGCCACCGUUCGUCGUCGUUACACCAAACCCACAAAUCUGAUACUAGCUUAGUUAUUCGCUUGUGUUGCUGAACUUCGAUUCAAGUUAACGUGGAGUACUUGUCUCAUAUUUUUUAUUGUACCACAGUUGUGAUUACUUGUAAGAUUGUUUCAAUGAUCUAUAUGUUAGAAAUGUUUUCAAAUAUGAUUUUUGGACUUCCAUGAAUCUUGUAUUUCAGAACUAUGGUUGAACCCAAACUUACUAAGUAAGUUUUAGAUGACAACUGGUUUCUAAAACAUUCAUUGAUUUAUAACUAGACUUGAAGGAGUUCUAAAAGUAUAUGUAUUGGUGGCUAAGGAUCGAAAAUAAUUUGAAAAUAUGUUUCUAAUCAUGUUUGGUUUAAUCUUUAAACAUAUGAUGUUUAUGAAAUAAUGUUAGAGAUUUCCCGAAAGGCUACGUGAAUGUGUUUUUGUAACGUCACCUAUGGUUGUCAGGGGGUUUCAGGGCUGAAAAAGGUCGUGACUAGAGAUUCGAAAACUUGAGCCUAGGUGAGGACGUGGAUGGAGGAUGUGAUUUUGGCUUCGGCCUAGCUUAACCUGUGGUGGGUGGCUCUAUGUGCACAUAGGAGCGGAUAUAAAGAUUGUUACUAUGGUAGGUGCUAAGUAUGCGUGAGCUCAGUUUGGUUGUGUGUUUCCUUGUGGCUAUGGAUCACGUGUGAGCUAUUCUCGAUCGUGUAUUUAAUAUUCUACCAUGGUCGGAUUGGAUUAAGCUAUUAUAUCUCUCGACAUUUUAUUGAAAGGGUCGAGAUAUAAUGAAAAUCCUGACACCUUCAACAAAACGUCGGGAGUUCUCUUAUGUCUCCUGACGCUUUGGUCACGGUGUUCGAAUUUCCAUUAUAUUUUCUGACGCUUUCAACAAAACGUCGGGAGUUCUCUAAUUUCUCCUGACGCUUCAAGGUAUGCGUUAGGAGAUUGUGCAUUUCUCGAUGCUUCGAUUAUUGUGUCGGGAGAUACCAUAUUUUAUUUUUAAAUUUUAUUUUAUUUUUAUUUAAGAUGACAAAUAUUUUAUUAGAAAUUUAAAUUAAAAAAUUAUUAUUAUUAUUAGAUACACAAGAUUUAAAUAAAAAAAGAAAGUAAAAAUAUGAUCUUCAUACAUCAAUAUUAAAAGAAAUUAACAUUAGAUAAAUUCAUAAUAAUACACUUGAAGUUUUAAUUUAUAUAUAUAUAUAAAUAUAUAUAUAUAUAUAAGAAAAUUUUAAAAAUAGUAAAUUUUGCAAAAUAUUUACCACCUAUAUCAAAUUCUAUCAUUGAUAGUCAUUGAUAUAUGCUAUUAGUGAUAUAAUCUAAAAUUUUGUUAUGGCUCGUAAAUAUUUUAAUUUAUUUUGCAUUGUAUAAGGUAUUUUAUAAAUGUUUUAUAAAUAGAAUUUCGCCAACAUGAACUUAGCUCAAGUAGCACUUGUAUGUUCAAAAAAAAAUUAUUAAUUUUUUUUUAUUGUAAUAAGUUGGAGUGGGGAUUUGAACUUGGGGCCUCCUGUCCACAAGAACAUACUUGUGUCAAUUGAGCUAAACUCAUGAAAUACAUGUGUCAAUUGAGCAAAGGUCAUCUUGACAACCAAUCAUGUUUUUCUAUUCUCUUUUUUUAAAAAAAUUUGUUGUCUAUUUUUUAAAAAAUAGAAUUAUGUUGGUGUAUAUUUCAUUCUUUUUAGUACACAACCAAAAUUGAGGAAACUUAAACCAUAAACUUCUGGUUGUUCGUGGUUGACAUGUACAUAUGUUUAUGCUCUUUAUGUUUUUUCAAUAUAUAUAUAUAUUAUUUAAUAAAAAAAAUUACGUAUAUAAACUUUGAAUUUAUUGUAUGAAAAUUUGAAUAUGUAUAUUUGAAAUUUAAAUGUAACAAUUUUGAACUUUUAUAACCACCAGAAACUAGAAACGAAACAAAAUGAGAAAAAGAAAAUUAUAACCCGACAACCCAACUCAACCCAACCCAUAUUUUAGGAGUUGGGUUGGAAACUAAAUUCUGGUUAUUCCAGUUCUCAACCCAAAUAACCCAAAACCAACUAGAUUUCACCCCUAGUAUAUUAUGAUAUUUCUAAAUCUACUAUUCACUUUCCACUCAUUAUAGUAUGAAUGUAAAAAGGAUAUAAAUAUAAAAAUGUUGAAAGACUAUUUCAAUUUUAUAAAGUUAAAUUAAAACUAUAAUUUGUUUAUGUGUGAUUUUUAGGUGCAUUUCAUGCGUUGUUUACUAGUUUUAAAAAAAAUUUAAAAAAUUAUCAUUUCAAUUUGAAGUCAUUGUGUUUCUAGUUUCUUUUCAUUUUCAAUAGUAUCAUUUUAAAAAAACUAAACAAAAUAAUCUUAUUGGUUUUUUAAAAUUUAGUUCCUUUUGGUUUAAAGAAAAAAAAUAUAUAUUUAUUCAAUAUUUGCAUAUAUACUAUGUUAUUUAAAAUAUGAAAAUUGUGUUCAUAUGGUCUUACCUACUCAGCAUUUAACGUAAAAGGUGUGUUUGGAUUGAUUUUUGAAGUGUUUAAUUUUUAAAAUAAUUCAUUUUAAGAUAAAUUGAAAUAUUUGGCAUUGGUUUAAAAUAACUUUUUAAAAAAUGAGAUCAUGAAAUUUUAGAGAAAAAACAUUCAACCAAAUUUUAAAACAAAUUUUUAUCUGGGGUUUAAUGAGAAAUUCCUUCCAAAUAUCUAUUUUUCUUCGUCUAUUUUUUCUAUCUAUUUUCCAUCGUCGUUCUUUUUAACUUUGAAUAUUUUUUCAAUGCGUGUUCAUAUACAUUUAAAUAUAGGGAUUUGUAAAUUUUUCUAUUUCAGUCAAAUCUACUUCGCCUUAACAUCUUUGAAAGAAAUCAUAAGGAUUUCAAUGAAGAACAUUAUCAUUCAGUUCAUGUGUUGGCUUUUUGGCCCUUAAUCUCAAAUUAAUUUAUUUUAAUUAUUCAAUUAAUUUAUGUUUUGAUGAUAACAAAUCUGAUUUUUUUUAUUGACAAUUUUAUUAAUUUGAAUAGACCAUAUCGUAGAGCUUGGAAAAAUGAUUCUAACGCCUCUUGAAUCACCCAAAUCGAAGUUCAAAUGAAGAAAAUGUUGCUAAAAGAAGCUUAACGAAAAAAUACCCGAGAUGGUGACGUGGCGACCAAGCAUUCAAUUUGAACCAAUUAGAGAAAGCCACUUGGAGCAAUGAAGGAGUAACAAAUGUGGCUUUUUGUUAUGUUUUAUUGGCUUUUAUAAAGAAAAUGAAUUUAAAAGAAAAAUGAUUUUAAUAUUAUUAUUAUUUCUUGUGUCUAACGGCUAGUUUUUUUAAAAGAGGGUGAAGUUGCUUUAUUGAUUUCUUUUUAAACAAAAUAUUUUGAAAAGACAUAUUAUUAUAUUAUUAUUUGUAUUGUGUCUAACGGCUAAUUAAGUUUAAAUCUCAACCAUUCAUUUUUCUUUUACCUAUAUCUAAUGACCCAAAUGAUUUUGAAUUUAUCUUUCCUCUCUUUUUAAAUACUUCACAUUUACACAAGAUCACAACAUUUUUACAAUCCUCAAGCAAAAAGCCAACAUUGUUAUUCUCUCUAAAGCUUCCAAUUUUUAUUCUUUUCAUCUUAUUCUUGAGAGCUUCUUAUUGUAUUGUGAGGAUUAAAUUUGUGAGCUUCAAAUUGUAUACUCACUCUUUUAGAGAGUUUUCUUUUGUGUGAUUUAAAAAUUUCAUCAUAUUGUAACGGUUGGAUCCUAACCCGUGGAAAGGAUCGGGUUUGCUCUUGAACCCGAAAAAGGAGCAAGAAUCAGUUCGGCUCAAAUCCGUGGAAAGAGUCCAAAGAAGAUUUUCAAUCAAAAUCCCAAGGGGUGCUUGGGAAAGUGGAUGUAGGUUGAGUUUAACCGAACCACUAUAAAAUUACGGUGUCUUCUUCUCUAACUCUUUUCUAAUUAUUUUUUAAUUUAAUUUUAGUUACAUAUUCUUAUUGGUUGAGUUUGAUUGCAUACUUCCAUUCAUAUCUUUUUAUCAAUCUUGUUAUUUAACAAAGUUUACAAAGUUCUUUAUUUAAAUUUUAGAAAAUAUCUAAUUAGUUGAUUUUACUUUUUAUUUGUCAAAAAGUUUAUUUAAACCCUAUUCACCCCCCUCUAGGGUUGCCAUACCGAUCCAACAUCAUGAAAUGAAGAUGAAUGAGAAACAUGAUCAAAUUGCACAUAUGUGAAAGAAAUUAUAUUGUUUUGGAAAAAUUAUUGUUCUUAUUUAUAUUGUCGUUGUUGAAAAUCAAUAAAUUUUUUAUGGUUAUGUAUUUACAUUUUAAGAUAUUUGUGCUUCUAAAAAUCGAAUUGUCCAACAAAAUUAAUAACAAGUAACUAAAAAAUUAAUAAUUUCAAGAUAACCAACAAUUAAUUUUAAAAUAUAUUUAUGAAAAAAUGAUUCAAAAUGUAUGAAUUUCUUUAUAGAAUCAGUUCAUAACGUUUAAUAACCUUUUAUGGUAGUUUGACAUAAGUAUAAACAUUGUUAGUUCAGAACAAACCAAACAUAAUUUUACAUUUAAACAUUUAUAAAGAGAUCAAACCAAACACGUGAGUGUUUAAAAUUUAAACUCAUUUUAUAAAAAAAAAAAUAUUAAAAAUUGCAUUCUUAAUAAAACAUUUUGUUUCGUAGGCAAUUCAAACUCACUCAAAAUAAAUACACCAACUAUAUACUUUAGAGUAAAAGAGUAAGAAGGAUGUAACAAUUUAUAGUACUAAACCACCUUUCAAAAGCCAUAAACCCAAAAACAUCUUCUUUAAAAUAAAUGUAUUAAAAAUGUUCGAAGAUAGAAAAUAAAAAUGUUUUAAAAUACGAAAAAUAAAAAUAGUCAAAAAUAACAAAUUUGACAAAAUAUUUACAAUAGCAAAAUUUCAGAUUUUAUCAAUAACAAAUAUUUGAUAGACAUUGAUAUCAUUCUAUCAGUGACAUUGAUAAUCAGUGAUAAAAAUAUAAAAAUCUAUCAAUUUUUAUCAUUGAUAGAAUCCAAAAAUUUUGCUAUGACCAGUAAAUAUUUUAAUUUAUUUUGCUAUUUUUUAAAAUACACCUUUAAAAUAUCUUAAUUUAAGAAAAAUAAACUGUAAAUACUUAUAUAUGUGAUAAUAUGACGAUAAAUUUGCUACAUUUGCAAUUUUGAAAAUGUAAGUGAUAUAAAUUCUAAUAAUAUUUGCUAUUUUUCAAACUUCCCUCUAUAUAUACACAAAACUGGAAAACCCAAAAUACACACAACGGAAUCUAAACAAAAAAAAAUAUUAGGUUUAACUUAAAAAUCUUCAACUUCCUCGCAAUGUACUGCAUGUCCUUGACAUUUUCUUCCAUGUAACUAAUGUUUUCAAAUAUAACAAUACGAAUUAAAAUAUGUACGCUAUAUUUUAUUUUGUAAAUAUUUCAUCAAUUUUGUUCUUAACUAAUAAUUUUCUUUCAUGGGUAUAAUUGGUAUUUAAAGAAAAGAAUCUUCACUCUCCCAAUUCCAUAUAAUUACACAUUUUUGCAACGUUACUCAUUAAACAUUUCUUAACAUCAAAUAAUUUAGUUAACCAUUUCUUAUAAUUUGUCAUUUAUGUGCAUACGUUUACUUUUGAACUCAAAUAAAUACAUCGACCACAUCUCAUAGCUCAAUUGGACCAAAACUACCUCAUUGAAUCAAAUGAUGGUGAUAAAGACACAUAGCAUGUUGUCAAAUUUGUCAUUUCUUUGUUUUCCAUUUGAAUUGAAACACAUCAUUUCCAUCUUUCAUAAAUUCUUGAUUAACUUACAAGAGCAAAACCUAACCAUUUGUUAUUGGCCAAAAUUUCUCACUCAAAGACUUGAUGCAACCAUAAUGUCUUGAGUUGGAAAAUGGAAUAUAAACGAACAUCGAAAUUGUUUGAUUGAAGUUUUAGGAACGUUUUAGAGAACGUUAGCAUUGUUUUUGUUUUAGGAAGAUUCUUGAAUAGUUUGGAAGGCAGAAAUAAUAAUAAGUGAGAGUUGAGAUUGGAAGAAAAAGUAUCUUAGCUUUAACAUUCAAUGGGCCGAUGGGAUGGUUCAUAAGUUUAACGCAAAACAACUCAAACAAAACAAUGGGCUAACGUGGCCUCGCCAUAACCUCCUCGAAGAACGUUCUAGCAACAAAUGCCAAUUACCGCCACUCAGUUCUUAACAACUGUUCCUCAUUUUUGCCUUCCUCCUCAAGAAAAUUACAACAAUCAAACGCCUUUAUAUAUAUAUAUAAGCGAUUCAACUACCCUUCUUCUUCAUACCCAAGUCAGAAGAGAAAAAAAAAACGCUUUACAUCUCUCUCUUUGUCCUCUUCUUCAACUUUUUCCCUUUUUCUUGUAAAUGGGGUUGAAGUGGAUUCUGAAUUCUGCCUUUACUCAAGUUCUGGGUCUCACAGAGAAGCAACAACAGAAUCAGAAGGAGGCAGGAGGAGAAGGAAUCAAGAACGUGGAGCAAGUGAAGGAGGGGCGAGAUUGUUUUUAUGGUGGAGAUUUGAACUUUCAAAGUGGGUUUCAAAUGCCCCUUCAUUAUCCUAGGUAUACCAAGAGGGAUUAUGAGGAAAUGGAGGAAGGUAAGUUGGAUUUGCUUCUCAAACAAUAUGGGCUCUGUUUUGAUGGUACCCUUGAGGAGAAAAGGGCGUUUGCUAUUGGGACGUUCAUAUGGCCUGACCAACUUUGAAUUUAUCCACAGUGCGUUUGAUGAAAUUCCUCAAAGAAAAAAUGACCCAGUUUUUAAGGUGUUUGUAUAGCUAGGUUAUGAAUGAAUGUGAUGUUGGUUUAAGAUGCAGAAAUAUUAGUAGCUGUGUCUUUUUUGUUAUAUAUUUUUUUCUUUUUCGACAAAGCUUUUGUUUUGCUGAUCUUGAUGUGAUUCUAAUGAAUCUUGUAAAAACCUUAUCACAUAUAAUGGUAUAUUAAAAAUACCCUAUUACUUACUUUCUUGCUUUAAACAACUUUACUUCACAAAAAAAUGGUAAAUUUCUAGUAUAAGAAACCAGAAGAAUUUGGUAUUGUUCUUCAAGAAAUAAGGAAAGAAACCAUUGCAUUCAUAUAUUGAGUGAAUGGUUCAUAGUUUCUAAAUUUAAUCUUAUUCAAAACUCUUACAUAACCGUACAACAUCUCUGAAAAUUAUUUUGGUUUCCGUCAAGAAAUUGAUUAUCAGGUUGCGGCCAUCCCGGCCACAUCAUUGGCCAUGACACAGGUUGGGGCUGCGGCUGUGGUAGCAUUAAUUGCCAAGGAUAUGGCUGCGGCCGCUGUAGGUUGGGGUAACAUCUGUCAAACCAAUGAGAUUGUUCAUUAUAGCUCUGGUAAGGGUUGGAGUAUGAAGAAUGAUUGGAAGCAUCGUCUCCAAAAGAAGGGUAAUAUCUUCUAUCUCCAGCUUCACCAUCAAAUCUUAUACUUCUCACCUCUGCAUGUUUGCCUGAUUUUUCAAUCACUUUCAAGAAUGUUCUUGGAUUCACUCUUCCACAGAUUCUGACUGAUCCAUCAUCAGAGUCCAUUGUGAUUGUGUAAAUACCUAAUUAAAAAACAACAAGAAAUAAGAAACAGAGGGAAAGAGAAGUAGAUAAGGAGGGGAGGAGAGUAAAGGAGAGAAACCAUAGAUGUUUUGUAGAAUUUCUUGGAUUUUUGCUUUGCAUGCUUCACAUUGAACACUUGCAUUAAGAACACAACUCUGCAAAUAAGUGAAAAAUGUUCAGCUUUAAUGGAAAUAAAUGGAGAAAGGGAAAGAAAAGAAAACGAAGUGUGUUUUUUAGAGUGUGAACCAUUUCUGCAACAGAGUAAUCCAUUGAAUUCAUUAAUGGAGAUCGUUGAAAAGUUUGAAGGAGCUAGGGGUUUCUUAUAAGUUGUGUUUUUGCAGCAGUUUGAUGAAGAAGAGAACAAGGGAGAUUAUAAAGAGGAGGGAUAUUGUGUCAUCUUUUCUCAAGUUGACUAUUUUUUGAACUGACAGUGUCACCAACUUCAAUUUCUCCUAAUAUUUCUCUCUUUCAAAUGUUGAAAUUUAAAUGGAAAGAUUCCAUGAUUAGAGAUUUCAGAUCAAUUGAAAUCCUUUUUCUUUCUUUUGUGAAAAUCAAAUUUUAACCAUUUGUAGGAGUUUCAACUUUCAAUUUUCACUCUCAGCAUGUGUUUGAUUGUUACCCUCUUGUUCUUAAAAAGACUUUUACCUUCCUUAUUUAAUGCUAUGGUCGACCAAUAAUUUUCACCAAAAAAAACAAAUUACUAAUCUUUUACAUUAUGUGUAACUCAAUUUGUAUCGUGUUUGUGUUAUCUACCGUUCAAUUUUUGUGUUCGUUCAGACGGGUAGGUCUUGGUGAGUCGAAAGCAUUGGUUUCAAUGUUUAUUCUUUUAAGGAAAUUGUAUCAAAUGACAAAAAUAUUUAGAAAAAAAAUCGUCCAUGACAAUAAUUUUUUAUUUUUGCAUAUUACGAAUAUGAAAAAAUUAGUGAUAUCAAACGAUAAUCAUAGAGCUAUCGGUAAUCACAGGUUAUCCAUUUUUAAAUUCGAUACUUUACUUUAGCAAAUGUAAUGACGUAGGCUUUAUUGUUAUAAAUUUUUUUGUUAUUUUUGCAAAUGCUCAUUCUUUUAUGUGCUAAAAUUGAUUCUCUCGUCUUUUAAAAUCUAAUACAAAAACUUCACAUUAUUCCUCCAUCUUUUGAAACUUUCCAACCAUGCAAUUCAGCUCUAAACCUUUGUUUGUUUUCACCAUGUCUAGAGCAUUAUAGCAUCAAAGUUGCAACUAUGAAGUUCGUGCUAGAAAUAUUUUCAAAUAUAUGGAACAAAGCAUAGUAUCACAAUGUUAUUAUCUAUUAGUAUUAGUGUAUGGUGGGUUCUACAAAAGUUUUGAAUUUUGAUCGGAGUUUUUAAUUAUUAUGAAUUAUGUAUAGAUAAAAUAGCCUACUUCCUUAAAUUGUUCACUUAUAUUUAGCCAAAAUUAGAGAUAUAAUCUUAAUCAAUUAUGGAAUUACCCAUAAUGAUAGCAACAUUAUUAUCCAUCCCUUAAAUAAAAACAGGAUAUAUGUAUGUAUGUAUGUAUAUAUAUUAGUAUGAAUAGAUGAUAAUAUUCUUUAGAUCAUCUAAUAUUCCUUUUCUGUGGACUUGAUACCUUUUUAAUAACUAUCGUUAAUAUAAUCUCGUAGCUAAAACAAUAAGUUUUCAUGGUUAAAUUUAGCUUGAAUGAAUACUUUGCUAAAUAUAUUUUUAGUUUGAUUUAGAUUAAUCAUUAACUUGACAAUUUUUUAAUUUACUUUAUGUGCAGGUAAAAGUUUAAAGGAAAAAAGAAAGAUAACUUUUAUCUUAAAUUAUUCAAAUAUUGCCAUCUCGAAAAAAUAAGAUUUUGUUUGAAAACUCAUUUUUUUAAAAAAAUAUUUUUAAAACUGAGGAAUUGAUAACAAAUAAAUUAAAACUAUUUAGAAAAUAGUGAAAAGAUUUUGUUAUUUUUGGUAUAUUUGAAAAUUGCCUUUUUUAAUAUAUUCAAUUAUAAACAUAUUUUUGGGCAAAAUUAAUAUGAUUUUAUAGGCUAGUAUUUGUUUUCCUUCUUUUUUAAGAAAGUUUUUUAGGGUGGAUUUUGUUUUUAGGCAAUUUUAAUCUUCCCAAUAGCUUGACUUAAAAAAAUAUAAAUUAUAAAAAAUAUAUAUAGUUUUGAGAUUUUCGUUUUUGUUUUCAGAUUUUUUACAGAAAAAUUUUAAAUCUUUCAAGUAAAACAUAUAUGUAUAUAUAUAAUUGAGAAAGUUGAUGAUUUAAAAGAGAAUUGUUUUCAAAUAUUUAUAGCAAAAUAGACCAAAACGUUUGAAUGGAGAUAGGUUGUUGAUAGAUGUGAAAUUUUGUUUUUUGUCUUUUUUUUUUCUGAGGUUGAAGAGAAAAAUAGAGGAGUUAUGGAGUUGAUAUUAUUGUAUAAUAGUUUCCUUAUAUCUUGAAAUUGUUGGUUGCAUGAAAGGAAAGGAAAAUGAGAGUUUGAAAGAAAGAAAUUGAUAUAAUUUGUUGAACAUUUUGUAGGUUGAAAAGUAAAAUAUGUAAAUAUUUUGAUUUAUAAUAUUGAAAAGAAUUUAGAAAAAGAAAAACGAAUGGUUGUUGGACCCCACAAAAGAAAAGAAGCCCAUAACAUUAACGUUCAACAAAUCUCGUCCACACGAUGUUCCAACAGAGCAUCCGAAUCUCAUCCUAUCGCCCAUCAUUAUUUAUCGUAUCUCACAUUCACCUCAAUUAUCAAGCACAUUUAAAACCCUAAACUCUCUCUCUCUCUCUCAUAUAUAUAUAUAUAUAUAAUAACUAGGUUUUUGUUUAGACCUUCCCUUCUCAAAAAAAAAAAAAAAAAAAAAAAAACUGAGAAUAUGUACUUUCCAUCCUUUGAUUUUUAAAAUAUACAUUUUUAGUCUAUUUGAUCCCUAGAUUUUUAGAAAUGGGUUUUAAUUAAGUUAAAAUUAUUUUUCUAAUUUAAACCAAAAGUAUAAAAGCUAUUUGAUGAACUUUUUAAGAUUUUUUUUUAAAUAUAUAUAUACAAACUAUUUACUACCCAUAUAUAAAAAAAAACACUCCUUUAUGACAUAUAAUUUUUUUUUUUUACAAUUUCUCAAAUGUUUAAACCUAUUUUUAAAAACUUGGACAUUCAAAAGAUAUAUUUAAAAAUUGAAAGAUAAAAUGUAUCUUUCUUACAAAUUUAGAGUCUAAAAUGGUACGUUUUUAAAGCUUAGAAAUCUAACUUUUAUAUAGAAUUAAAAAGGUAAUUUUCUUUUUAUAUAUAUAACUAAAUAAUAAUAAUAAUUUAAUUAAAAAAAAUGUCAAAAAUAUAACAUAUGAUAAAAUAUUUAUCUUUAAAUGUAAUGAUUUUUUUUUUCUUUUGUUAUAUAGAGUGUAAAUGGUUUAUCAUUAAAAAAAAAAGGCAUAAUAAUAAUAAUGCAAGUGAGCUAAAAUUAAAAGAAAAGAAAAGAAAGAAAAAUUAAAAUAAAGAUCCCAAAAAUAUUUUGAGUUAUAAUUUUGGUCAUCAACAUCCCCUGCCUUAAUUUUCGUCAUACUUAUACUAAUGUAAAUAUUUUGAAAGUGUCCCUUUUAGAAAAGGAUUUUAAUUUUUUAAAGAAAAGUGCAAAAUUAUAAUGAGUUUAAUUAUAAUAUAUCAAAUUUAGCAAUAUUAAAAAAGAAAAACCCAUCCGUACGUACAAAUUAUUAAACGCUAAUCCCAUAAAUUUAACCCCAAAAGAAAAAGAACAAACACAUCAAAUUUCCCCUUUCACUCUCCAAGUCGAUUCAGCACAACCUUUCACUUCAUCUUCUUAUCGAAAUUCAUCGAAUCAUCAAUCGAAAUUCAUAACCAGCAGAAACAAAACAAAAAAACCACAUAGCGAUUCAUCUAAACACACACUACCAGUAAUGGAUCUCAAGAAAUUAAAUUACAAAAAGUACAAAACAGAGACAUAUAUAUGUUCAUAUUCAUGACAUCAGAUCGGAGAUUUGGAGGGGAAUGGAUUAGAGAAAAAGCGGUUAUUAAGUAAAAGAAAAAUUAGAGUAAUUAAUAAUAAUUGAUUUACGAGGAUUUAGAUUGAGAAGUAGUAAGUAGUAAGUAGUAGAGAAAGAAGAGAAAAAGAACCGUGUAUGAUGGAUUUGAUUGACUUAAUCGGAUUUGAGAGAGGAGGAGUCGAGGUCGUGGUGGCCGGCGACAUAGCUGAGAAGACCUUCGGCUGCUUUAUCAGGUGACGGAAGGGAGGUGUUGGCGAAGAGGAGAACGGCAAGGAGGAAGAGAGCAGUGGAGAGGAAGAGAGGCCAGAAGUAAGCGAGAAGGGAGAGGAAACUUGGAGCAAGGAGGAAGAGGGAGAAGAGAGUUAGGGAUAAGAUUAGGGUUACCAGAAUGUGGAAUCUGAACUUCAUUACUUUGCUUGGGAUCUCCAUGGAUGGAUCAAAUUGAAAUCAAAUCAAGAAUCAAGACGAUGAUCAACAAAACCCGAACUCAAUUUCACCUUUUUUUGUUCUUUUUUCUUUUCCCGUUCAGAGAUUCCCUGACUGAGGGUUGAGGCUAAAAUGUUAUGUUUUGUUUAGGAAAGGGAGAAAUGGGUAAUUCUCUUUUUCUUCUUUUCUUUUUUACUCUUUAUUAUAUUAUACCUUCUUUAAUAUUUUAUACCGUACUUCCAAAUUACCUUUAAUUUUAUGUCACUUGAUUAGGUAUAGUUUAGGUUACGAUCAUGUACGUACCUAUAUAUAUCUUUCUAUAUUUUUUAUUUAUCAUAUGAUAAGAAAGUGAUCAUUUAUUUAUUUUAAUAAAAAUGAAAGUUUACAUCGCAUAACGAUUCUAAAUUAAACAAUAAGUGUGUGGGGGUGGACUACAUCUUAAUAUUUUUCUAUAAAUAUUUUGAACUAUUGUACAUAAUUAGAAGUUUUUUUUAAUAUUUUUAAAGGCUAUAUAUGAAGCGAAAUUGUAAAACAUUAUAUUUAAGGAUCAUGUUUAUUACAAAAUUUAUAUUUAAUAGGCUAUUAAACUUUUUUAUUAGGAUAUAGAUCCAUGACAACUUUGAUUUUAAAAACGAUGACUGAUAAUUGAUUUGAGAGAUAUAAAUUUGAAAUUAGGUUCAAUGGAAUCCUAAAUCUUCACGUUUUGUUGAAUAGAUUAGUUUUUUGUUUUUUGUUUUUUUGUCAAAUAGAUCAAUGAUAUAUUAAAUAAAAGAAAAUCAAUAAUUAUCGAAACUUCAAAUAUUUACUAAAUAUUUUUUUGAAAUUAGAAACUAAUGGACAUAAACAACAAGUUUUAGACACGUUUUAGAGAAAUAAUAUGUAUUUGACUCGAAAUAGAAAGUUUAAAAUAACUCAUUUGACAUUUUUUAAAAUGCAAGGAUUAAGUAAACACAAAUAAAUAUAUUUAUUAAAUACAAACUUGAAAGUUAGGUUAUGGAGGAUGAAGAUCGAUAAUUUAAUAUUUAAUUAAAAAAAUAAAGUAAAAUAGUAAGUUAUAGAUAUGAUGGUUGAGAUUGAUGUAUAGCUUUUUAAAAAAGAUUUGAGUUUCAAAGUGAUGGUAGAUUUGGAGUAAAGUAAGUCAAAGGGACAGAGGAUUGAGUGAGUCCAACUAAAUUUAUAUAAUUUAAAGUAUUGAUAACAUUCUUUACAUAUAAAAAACAAAGUGGUUCAAAAUCACCUACUCACAUUUGUUGUUAUUGUAUAUUGAUGAAAUUGAAACUAUGGUUUUAUUUUAUUAAAAUAAAUCUUAAACAUGCAUGUUCGAUAAUCUAGGUAGCAUGUGCCUCUGGCACAAGAUGAUCAUAUUAAUAAAGUGAAAUGCGUGUCAAAUCAGCCAAUCGGGUAUAAUUUGUACUAACAAUAUAUUAUUAUUUAGAAAAUUUGUAGUUCAAAUUUUUUAAAAAGUAAAAAUAAACCAUCAAUAUAAUUAAUUUCCUAUCAAAUUACAUUUGAAAUAAUUAAAUAAAGGAAAAGCAAUGAAUAUAAAGAAGUAAUGUUAAAAGAUAAAAAAGAUAAUCGCAAAUUAGUUAUUCAUGAGUUUAUAGAUUAAACUCAACCGUAAUUGAUAUUAUCCUUCAUCUUAAAAAUUUAAAAGACUUAAACAAAUCCAUCAACUGGCUCAUAGUCGAUUAGUACGCCUCUAUGAGCAGUUGCUAAAUUGAUCCAUUAAUGUUGGAGCUCACCCCUCUUAAUUUGUCGUUGAAAAAAAAUACAUUAAUAAUUAAUCUUAUCCUUUUUUAAAAAAAUAAUUGAUUAUCAGGAUGUUGUAAUUAAUUAAAUAAUUAAAGGUUAAGAAAGGAGAGAUUUUGGUGUAUUUAGGACACAACGAAAUUAAUGCAUUGAAGAUGGAAUCUUUGCAUUUAAUCUAAUGUCAUGUGCCUAUAAUUCUUUUAUUCUACCUUUUACUCAUUUUAAACUCCCAUUCAUUCAAUUUAUUAGUCAUUCAAUCUUACCUAUCUAUAUUUAAUAUUCAAUAAUCUUUACCCCUUUUCCAUCCACCAAAAUUGUUCCAAUUAUUUACCUUAGUGCAAAAAUUAAAAGAAAAAAAAUUCUAUAAUAAUCAAUUGAGUUAGGCCAUUCACAUUUCUUAAAUAACUUUUAUAUUUCAAUUACAACAUUUAAUCCAAAAUCAAUCGUAAUAAUACCUAAAGAUUAAUAAAAUAAACAUAAUUAUAUAUCAAAUUUGUACGUUAAACAAUUAAUUUAAAGUUGUAGUUUUGUAUUUGCAUGUGAGUACAACAAUAUUUAAGUCAAAUUAAAUAGUAUCUUCAAUUUAAUUACCUUGAGGAGUGACAAAUUCAAAUAAUUCAAGAUAAGAUUUUGAAGAAAAGUAAAUAAAAUAAAAUAGUGGAGAGUGGAAAAUUAAAAUGAGUGGAAAUGGAAAAAAUUUCCCAUUCUUGUCUAACCCUUUUUUAUUUGAAAUGAUGGAAAUCAUAGGUCCUUCUUCCAAGUGGAAUUCUCUUUUCUUUAAAUACAAAAUUGUUUUGAAAUAUUUACAAAAAUAUUUAUGGUUUAAUUAUGAUGAAAUUGAAAAGUAUAGGAGAUGAAAAUUCAUUAAUACUAAUCAAAGUUUAAGAGUAAGAAUUGAUUUUUUUUCUUGCUUUUCUUUAUUAAUCAAAGUUUAGGAGUAAAAAUUGAUUUUUUUUUAUCCCUCACCAACAACUUGGACAAAUGUUUGUGGCCAAUCUCUUACCAUCACCUCUGUCAAUGACUACUACUGUACAAAUUCUUUUACAGUAACUUGAAUUGGUAAAAACAUUUUUAAUAUACAGAAAUUUGCAAAAAUAGCAAAAAAAUUAUGAUAACAGAGUCUAUGUUAUCUACAUUUUAUAAAUUUCAAAAAUGAUAAAUUUAAAAAGAUGUUAUUGUUAAUUACUAGUCAUAUUUGCCAAAUUUGCAAUAUGCAAAAAAGAGAUGUUAUGAACUGUUUUUUUCUAAUUUUUUUUUGUCAUCUAAUGGAGUUUUCCUCUAAUAUAUAUAACAAAACUUUUACAUAAAAACACUAUUUGAAGGUCAAACAUGUGUGAUUAUUUUAUUUUUAUUUAUUUUGAGGAGUUGAUAUCAAAAUUAUUCAAACAAAAAUAAAUCUUUUGAAAAAUAUUAAUUUUAUAGGUUGAAAUUAUAAACCGAGUAAAAACCAAGCUAACAAUUUUAAUUAGUAGAGAUUAAAAAGAAAAAUGUAGUUUAUUUAAGAAAAGAAAAGAGAAUUUGUAAACUUUGUAGACAAAAAAACUUAGAGGUAAAAGUUGAAAAUUAAGAAAAAUUGGAAGGCUACCUAAAGGGUAUAGGGUAAAGGGGGAUGAAUAAUAAUGGAGAAUUUGGUAUAUUGUUGACAUUAACCAAAGUUUUUGUUUGUUUAUGGGGGAAAAUAGCAUCUAACACAUCAUCCAUAUUUCCAAUUUCACAUCCUUUUUCCUAAAUUUAAUUAUUUCAUUUCAAAUCCCUCACCUUUUUCAAGAUUCAAACCAUUUUUCUUUUCUAAAAAAAUAUCAACCUUUUGGAAAUAUGUUUUGGUAACUAUUUUCUAUUUUUAUUGAAAACUCAACAACAUGCCCUCUUGACAUUGCUAAUUAGUUUAUCAAAACUCCAUGAGAUUGAAUUAACUUUUAAGAGGGUUUAGGGGUAAGAAAACCCGUACAAAAAAAAAUAAAAGAAAUUAUAAUGUCAAAUAAUAAAUAUCGUAACAAAUUAGUAGAUUUUAAAUAGUAUUUACUAUAGUUAAUUGGAGAUUUUUGUAAAUAUAGUAUGAAGUAGUUAUUAUAGUCCUAUUUAAUCCUCGCCUCAAAUGCCUCUUAAAACUUUAAAAUUUCUUAUUCCUUAUAGUUUCACCCCUUACACACAUGUUAGGAACUCUCGAUACAUCCUCUAUUUUUUUAAAAAAAAAUUACCUUCCAUUAAUUUCUAAAUUUAAUUUUAACUUUAAAGUCAACUUCAACACUUCAAAUUUAAAUUCUUAAGACUAAUUCAAAAUCCUAACAAUACUUCAAAUUCAAUUUCAAUACUAAAACCUAAAACUAAUUCAAAAUCUAAAUACUAAAACUAAUUAACUAAAACUAAACAAUAACUAAACCACUUACGGAUAUGCAGUGACGAAUGCUCUCUUCUUCUCGAUCUUCCUCUCGGUCACCCUCUCCCUCUCUCGGUUUUCUUUCUCUUUUUUGAUGUCCUACGAAAACGUCGAAAAUAGCACCCUAUUCCUAAUGCGAUUAGUGACACGUCGGAAAUUCCUAAACCUAUUCCCGACGUUGUUGAUGUCUUCCUCCAACACAACACUGUAGACGUCAGGAAUAGGAAUAGGUACCCAUUUCCUAAUGCACUUGACACCAGGUCGAAAGAAAUGUCAAACAGUACAAUUAAUUGUCUGCUCUCUUCCGAUGCUACACUUUCCACGUUGGGAAUAGGGGUCCAUUUUCUGACGUACCUGACACCACGUUGGAGGAACCCUAAACCAUUCUCGCUAGUUUCGACGCUCAUGUGUCUGCGUUGGGGGGAAUGUCUUCCCUCGACGUGCACCUAGAUGUAUCAUAAAACACCAGCUGCUUCUACCAACGUCAUAUUUUUCGAUGAUUUUUCCUGCAUAAAAAAACUCCCGAUUUCUUGUAGUAUUUACAAUUUAUAGACAAUAUUAGGCUGUGAAAAAUAAAUAUAAAACUACAAAAUAAAACAUACCUGCUAGUCUCAAAAUUGAUAGACUAAUAAUUAAUUUAUAUAACUCUGAAAUCUUAUUAUAUUUUGGUUCAUUUGUAAAUAUCUCAAUUAAUAGAUAUAUAACUUAAUAAUUAAUAUGAACAGAUUGAGGCCCCUUGCACACAACAUCUUACUAAGAAGGAUAUGAUCAAUAAACCACUCACAGUGAUGAAUUUAACCGUUGGAUUUGCUUAAUGACAAUUUUUCUUCUAACUAUAAACAGAAAGGGGAUAUCCAGAGUUGUCAAACCAUUCCAAAGUUUCUUUCUAAAGAGAGCUUUGCAUUUCUUAAUAAGUUUAUAUAAAUCCUAUUUUAUACAGUGAAAUUCUUCUUUCUUGCUCAUGGCGUUUCAUGUAAAAUUAUUGCACAUUAUUCUCCCCCUUUUUCUUCUUCUAUCAUCAUUAUUUUCCAUAUCUUUUCACAAUUUAAGAUCACCAACUUAAAAUAUAUAUAAAAUAAAUUAUAUUUUUUAAAAUAUAAUAAAACAAUAUGUUCUUUUUUCUUUUCCAUUUUUACAUUCUAGUAAGAAUAAACUUUGGAAGUUUUAAUAUUCAUAUCUUGUAAAGUAACAUAAUUUUGUUGCUAGCAAAUAUGAAAUCUUUUUUAUAUGAAAAAAACGGUAUCUCAUCAAUCUUAGACUUAUUAUCUCAAAUAUGUUUAAAAUCGUCAAUAAUUUUUUUAUUUCUUGAUUUAAUUUACUUUCUGGUAACAAAGAAAAACUCUUUGAAUGAAUCACAUAGUAAGACAUGACACUAAAAAUUAAAAAGCCACAAAAGAACAAAAGUUUCUCUCUCUCUUUCUGCUCCAAACAACCCCUCCAUUUCUCAACUUCUCUCCAACCUUUCCUAUAUGAAUCUUAAAAAUUAUAUUAUUCUUUUUAACUAUCUGUUAGAAUAAAAUUUAAUUUAAAAACAAAUAAAUAUAUAUAAUCAAUAAAAAUAUAUUGGACUUUUGUUUGAAGGGUAAAAAAAAAACAAAUGUAAGAAGAUAAACUAAAAGGGAACAACAAAAGAAAAAAAAAAAAAGAAGAAAAUAAUGGUUAUUUUUUUAGUAAUAUUGUUAAUAUAAUCAAAGUAAAGGUAAAAAAUAACAAAAUAGGUAAAAUACUUAGGAUUUGUAGCAAAAUGGAGUAUAGUAAAUUUUCGUCUAGUUUAUUACUAUUAUUAAUUGAAAGAUACAUAGACAAAAGAACUUGAACUUGCACUUCGUCUCUUCAAAUACCAUGAUCUAUUCGUUCACUUCUUAUGUUAUAUAUUCUAUUGAUUUUAGAGACGAUGGUGAAUUACAUAUAUACAUUACACUAUUUGAAUAAUAAAUUUUGCAAUAGCUGUAUUUUUUUUCAAAAUUGGGUAUAGAAGAAGUCCCACAUGCCUAUAUUAUGAUAAUUAAAAAAAUGGGUCCACCAAGAAAAUAUGAGAUCCUUUCUAAAAAAUUUAGGGGUAGUUAUAAAUUUAGUUAUUAGAUUUAAAAUAAUUAAGUAUAUAACAAUAUUUUUAAAAAAAUUACAAAUAUAGCAAAAUUUGUCAAUUUCUAUCGAGGAUAGACCAUGUUGUAAAUAUUGGUUUAUCACUGAUAGAUCAUACAAAGUGUAUUUGAUAGUUUUGCUAUAUUUGCAGUUUUUUUAAAAAAAAUUUGCUAUAUUCUUAAUUAUUAUUGCUGAAAUGGUUGUCCAUUCUAAUUUCCUUAAAAUUUAGAACAAGUUGCAUAAAUGACAUUUAAGCAAAAGUAAUUAUAUAUAGCAUAAAGAUAACAUACUUACCUAUAUUCCAUAUAAAUUUGGUAAGAAACUAAAAUGCUCAUGUCAAACUACUAUUUUAUAGGUUUUAUCUUGGUUUCUCAAAAUUGAAAGCUAUUAGUGAUGGUAGCCAUCGUUAAUAGUUGUCAUCAUUGAUCGUUAAUUUGAAAAAUGUGCUAGAAGUUGCUAUCAUUGAUAGCAACUAUCAAUGACUACUAAUGACUUGGUAUUUAAAAAUUUUUACUAGUUGAUUGGUCAACCUUAUUUGUUAUUUUUUAAAUAUUUUAUCCUUGCACUCUAUUUUAUAUUUAUUCUCUAAAUUUUUUCUUAAAUUAAUUGCGACCUCCGUCUCUUGAUCCACUUGUUUUAACCAAACUUGCAAAAAAGUUUGAAUUAGCAUAAAACAAAUUAAACCUUGAUCAUUGCAUUUUCCAUUUUGAAUACCAUUGGACUUGAGAAGGUGUCAUAAGUAUUGAUUAGAGUUCAACAACAAAUGUAGUGUGAAUUGUGAUUUCUUUUAGCUUAAAGUAGAACUACUAAUGGUGAUUUGGUUUUUAAGUAUCUAUUGAAGUGCAAAGGGAGUUGUAAAGAGUAAAUCAUUGAAAAUUAUGUAGUAACGUUUCAUCUUUCUUUGUGACAUACACUAAGGCCAACUUGUUUACAAAAAUUUUGACAUAUUUUGUUCAUUGUCAAUGGACUCUAUGACAAUUUUCUAAUUAGAUAAACACAGUUUACAAAGUCUUAAAGACAUAUGUAAUGUUGGAGAAGGCAGGAGAACAAGUAGCAUUGAUGAGGGUGGUUAAAAUUUGGUCUUAAUAAGCCUCUGCAUAUACUAUGAUAAUUAAGCUUCUCUUAGGAUAGAAAAAUAUUGGUUUCGCUAGAUGAAGGCUGAGAGUUUGAAGUUGAGUACGAGUGGUCUCGUCAAUAUGACCAUAAAAAGGCCCUAGCCAUUUAAGAUCGUAUAAAUUCAACAUUUCCAUUAAACAUAGCUUAUUGAAUCAAGGUGAACAAGGGACAAAUUAUGAGACAAAUUACGUAUAAUAGAAAGAAGAGAGUGUGAAGUAGAGGAGUUUGAGUGUGUUGAGAGAGAUGAGGGUAACACCAUCUAAGUCAGAGAGCAAAAAAAAAGUCGAGUGUUAAUUUACUCCAAUACCAAGAGAAAGUUCAAACUAUGGAAAAUUCAUUACUUUGUGUUUCAAUGAUCAAUUAACAAGAUAGAAUACCCAUUUACAUCUAGGCAUGAAAGUUAAAAAAAGGAGAUUUGAAGAAGAUAAUUAUUAUAUAUAUAAAUUAUAAAAUGCAGUAGCUAUAACAAAAAAUGGAUAACUAAUUUGAAAUACCUCAAUUUUCACGUAUUGUUAGAUUUAUUUAUUAUUUAUUAGAUUAAAACUAAUUGAAAGGAUAUAUGUGUAAUGUUAAAUAUAAUUCAAGUUUCAUUCAGUCAUCCAUAAAUGGUAAAUUUUUGUAAAAAUGAACAAUUGUAAAAAGAAAAAUAUUGAAGCGGAUUCCAAUAACACCAAAUUAAGUGUUAAAUCAAAUCAAAACAAAAACAGAUUAAAUAGCAGAAAGAGAGAUCGUGUCUAAACUAAAAAUACAACUCAUCCUCAAAAUUCCUGAUUCACACAAAGGUAUGUUGAGUGAUUCAACUCACCAGUUUUCUAAUAUGUUAAAGUGGAAAUAAACGGUUUCAACGGUUAGCUUUCCGCCACGUCAUAAACACACAAGCCCUCAUCGUCCAAAUGUCAUACAAAAAUGGCCUAUGUUGUGUGGGCCCUGCGAUCCUCGAGGAACAAACGAAUUUCAGAUCCAAGCCGUCCAAUAUUCCGAUGCCAUUUAAAUUCCAUCCCAUCCGUCCAUUUCCUCUUUCACACACAAAAAAUAACUUACACGUCAGCUGAUAAAAGUUUCCGACGUGGCAUUAAACUGCUUGUAAAUUCCGAAGUUGAGGUCCGAAGUAUAAAUAAUCAAAGAAGGAGACUUCGGUUAUUUUAUUUCGAAAAAAAAUAAAAAAUCCAAAUACGAAGCGAAACCGAAAAAAACCAAAAAUAAUUGUCUACGGAGCUGAGAGAGAGAGAGAGAGAGCGACAGUGAGACAGUAGAACUCCGACGACUUUCUCUGUUCGAUGCUUCAAUCCAUUACAGAAGCUUUGAAAUUUAGUAAGUUUCAGCUUCUCACGCAUGUACUCUUCUCUUUUAGGGCUUUUGUGUUGCUUCAAACUUCUCAAUUUUAAGGGUUUCCUGCUGUAAAAUGUUCUGGAUUUCUAGGAUUAGGGUUUCAGGUGUUCCUGUGCUUAUAUUGUAUUUUCUUUUUGGAUUUUGAGUGAUUUAAGUCUCCGUAGCUGUUUUUUUUGUCUGUGGCUUUCAGCUCUAAGCCUGAAUUCUUUGUGUCGAUUUUGUUUUACUUUUGUGGAAUGAAUGUCAUGCAUGAUGCAUCCUUAUGUACUCCACACUGUUGGAAUUUCUUAUUUGAAUUGAAGAUAGCAGUGAUGCUUUUGCUGCUUAUGGUCUUUUUUUUUUUUUUCGUCUAGUGUAACUACUGUGCGUUAUUGUCUUUUUGUUGGUUCGAGUUUGUGUCACUGUCUUUUUUUAAUUUUCUGUGUAUUUCCGAACAAUUUCAAAUGCUAUUAGAUUUGAUCAUUUGAACUGAUUCUUUUAGUACUUAUGUUCAGAUUUGAAGUGAAUUAUUUGUUAUGAUUUAGUUAAAAUUGUAUGGAAUCAAAGAUGGAUCCGGAUCUUGUAUUCAUUCACAAAUUUAUUUAGGUUCUAUUACCAAUGGGGUGUUCUCAAAGCUUAGGAAUUUGGUGGGAAUCAGUCUUUUAGUCCAUAUCUUUUACUUUUUUUUAAAAAAAUAUAUCUUUGAUUGGAGAUUUUGAAUAUGAGAACAUUGAAAAUAUGUAAUUUCUAUUUUCAAACUUUUCACGUCUUAAAUCACAGAAUACCAAUACAAUGACUAUAUUGUCUGUCAUAAGUAAACCUUCUAAAUAUGAAUUCAUUGAAUUCAAGUGAACUUAAGAGCAUGAAAUUGAAUCUGGUUCGGAUACCAAACAAACGUUUCAUGGUUUGCCUAUACCUUACAAGUCAUCCUUAAACCACACUUUAUCUCCACAUGUAAACCCAUCGUUGGCUUAUUCUGAUAUGAAUACCAGAUAGAGAAUGUGCCACAUUGCCAUUAUGAUAACAACUUGUAAUGAUACCCAUGGUUUAUGAGAUUCAAUUCAAUUGUAGAGGUCAAAUUGGAACAAAAAACAUUUCAUCCAGAAAAAAAAAAGAAAAAAGAAAAAAAACAAGAAGAAGAAACCUAAAAGCGCCCCUAACUUUUAAAAAUAGUAGGGAUCAAUUUACACUUAAACCAAUUUUAUUCCACAAUAGUUUAAUUGAAUUCACUUAAAAUGGAAUAUAAUGUUCAUUCCACAAUAGACCUACCCUUUUGUACUUCUGUUUGGAGAAUUAUUAUAAAGAGCUGGGUGUCCUCAAGAGCAAUAGCAUUAGUUCCAACAAACUGGAAAUGUAUUUCAGUUUCACUUUCCAUAGUACAUUUUCUUCGACAUGAUAUUUGCCUUUUCUUGUUUAGCAUUCAUAUUGAAUGGUAAUAUAUUUCUAUAUCUUUUGUCAUUUAUUCAUGUGAGUAGGUGAGGAUGUGCACGUGAAGAGACUGGCUUUCUAUAGAUUUAAAUUUGAGCUAAAUUGAUCAUGGGUGCAGAAGACACAGCAAAAAUUACUGUUGAAAAUACAAAAGAUGAAGCCAAAGGAGAAGAUUUAAAAACAAAUACAGUUGAGACUGUGACUGUGGAAAAUGGAAACAGUAAAGAAGAUAAAAUGAAAAACAGUGUUGAAACCGUGGAAAAUGGAACAAAUGAAGAUGACAAAAUGAAAAAUACCAUUGAGACUGUGACAAAUGGAACCAAUGAACUGGAGAAAAUCAACGAGAUUGUGCCUAAGGGGGAGGAAAAUGGAGUGAAAGAAACAGAAAUUGAGAAGGGUGUUGUUGAGGCAGAGGUCACGAAAAUGGGAGAAGAACCUAAAAUCAAGGAAGAUAAGGAAAGCAAUGCAGAAAACGUGAAGGAUGAAAAGGAGGAAGCUAAAAUUCAGGCAAUGGACGAAGAUGCGAAUCCAAAUGCUAAGAACGAUGAACAAAAUGUGGAUAUCAAAGAUGCAGACAGUGUAGAUGUCAAAGAUGACAAGAAUGAGAUUGCCAAAGAUGGAGAAAUUGAGGGUGCCAAAGAUGAAGAAAUGGAGGAUGCCAAAGAUGAAGAAAUGGAGGAUGCCAAAGAUGAAGUAACUGAGAGUGGCAAAGAUGAAGUAACUGAGGAUGCCAAAGAUGAAGUAACUGAGGAUGCCAAAGAUGAAGUAACUGAGGAUGCCAAAGAUGAAGUAACUGAGGAUGCCAAAGAUGAAGUAACUGAGGAUGCCAAAGAUGAAGGAACUGAGGAUGCCAAAGAUGAAGUAACUGAGGAUGCCAAAGAUGAAGGAACUGAGGAUGCCAAAGAUGAAGGAACUGAGGAUGCCAAAGAUGUAAUUGAUGAUGCCAAAGAUGGGGUAGAGAAGGUUGACAGCCAUAUGGAAGAGGAUGACAAGGAAAUGAAGGAUAAAGAUCCCAACGAAGAAAAAACAAAAAAAGGAAGAAGGAGAAAGGGUGCUAUUAAAUCAAAAGGAAACAAAGAAGAGGAUGAAAAGGAGGAGGCAGAGAUCAGGACUCCCAUUGUUGAUCGCCCUGUACGUGAGCGUAAAUCAGUUGAAAGGUUGGUGGCAUCUAUAGAAAGAUAUGCUGUGAAGGAAUUCCAUAUCGAGAAGGUAUUAUAUAUGCAUAUUUCUUUUCUAGACUGUUUAGUGUGCUUUCUAGGUAUUUGAGUCUACUUCUUUUUGUUGGAAACUGCAGGGUCGUGGUACUCCACUUAAAGAUAUACCCAAUGGUAUGUGCAAUUGGAAACCAUCUUCCACUUUGUUGUUGUGCUUCCCAUUUUGCUUUAUAUAAUUUCUCCAACAUGUUUAUGAUGGUCUAUUGUUUAUUUUGGUUUGGCAUUCCCUUUAUUUGUUGCUCAGAUUUCUUUUAAGAAUAAUUGUUAAGUCACCAUCUUUAGCAGAUCCAUUAUUUUUUCCUUUUUAUCAACCUAAAGAGAAAGGUUAUCUUUCUAAAUGUAUGAGGACAGUUUCUUUUCCCCUUAUUCAUUUUUUUUAGAUAUUUUUAUGCGUUAGAUUGUUUUCUGAAAUUACAACUGAAGUUAUGAGGCAGUGCAAACUACAAAAAUGUUCUGUUUCAAGUCACAAUUUGUCUUGCUUCUUGCAUAUGCUACUUAUUUACUGAUAGAUGAAUAACGAAUAAUAUAUAUACGUUAAUGCACUCUGAGAAAGAAGCCCUUUUGUUUUAGUGGCAUUCAAAUUAUCAAGGAAGAAGACAGAUGACAUCUUCAGGCUGCUUCAUACAAUUCUAUUUGGAAGGAGAGGAAAGGUAACUAAUGAUUUAGUGGUUUUCUCAUAGGUUAAUCAUCUAGUUCCAUGGUGAGUAAUUCCUGAAGGUACACAUGCAUGCUAUGAGCAGUACCAUUUGGUGUUUCUGAUGUUCUGGUUUACAACUUCUCAGUGAUGUACUUUAGGCGUACUUGCAUCUAAAUCUAUGUGACUUCCUUCUUUCCUACCUUUCCUCCAGGCAUUUCAGAUUAAGAGCAACAUAUCCAGGUUUUCAGGUUUUGUGUGGCAUGGAGAUGAGGUAAAAAAAUUGUAUGUGCUACCAGUAUGAAAUAUUUUUUUUAACUAGGAGCCAUCAGUAAUUAUCAGGAUUAGAAGUUUCAGUUUCUCAUUUUUUUUGUUUUCGUAAAAUAAGAUUUCUCAGGAAUUUUUUGUUGAUACAAAUUACAUCAUCUUUGCAGGAGAAACAAAAGAAUAAAAUCAAAGAAAAAUUUGACAAAUGUAAUAAAGAGAAAUUAUUGGAAUUUUGUGAUGUGCUAGAUAUUCCUGUUGUGAAGGCCACCACAAGGAAGGUAUGUCCAAUUAUCUUUGUUGCUGUACUUGCAUCCCAAGGGCUAGUCUGCAUUUGGGAUGGUUUUCUUCUGUACGAUGUUCGUAGAUAGUAUUGAGUGAAAAUUUCAAAUCUAAUAAGUCCUCAAAUCGUAAUAUUCAAACAUGAACAGUUUUUAAAUUUUGCAUCCUAAAAAUGAGGAUUUAAUUCAAAUGGGAUCCAUUGUUUUCUAAUAUCAUCUGCAGUCAUCACUUAUUGUUCAUAUACGGAACGUUUGUUCCAUAAUUAGCCUCGGUUAUUUAUUGAGUAGUCUAGGAAUUUCUUUCUAUUGGACCCAUGCUGUAAAGUGUAAAAGAAUCUUUCAGGAAAAGUGAUUUAGUGGGAGUGGUUUAGGUUAUGGUUCAAAGUUUGACAAUCACCAACCUUUUUUUUCUUCUCUUUUUCUUAAACCUUGCCGGUUACUAAGAUACUUGUAUGCCAAUUGAGUUGGGGGGGGGGUUAUACCAGGUCCUAGGAUCUGUAAGUUCAUUAUUCAACUAUUCACUAUACUUGGGCAUUAUGGCCUUUUGUAAUUAUCUGUUAGUUCUUAUCAUCUUAAAAUGGGGGUUUUAUUAUUUUUUAAAGGUUUAAUUGGGGUAUAGUUUGGGGUUGUUUUCUUAUUAAAAGACUAUUCACGUCUAUAAUUUCUUUAAUGACAACUGACAAGAACAACUUUGUUUUAUUAAGCAUGAGGCCAUCCAUGAAAAAAAUUGAAGAAAAAGAAAUUGAUCCAACUUUUACAGCUGACCAAUAAUGCUUUUAUUGAUUUAGUUUAAAAACAUUGCACAUUAACUCACUAAUUUAAAACUGUAGACUAAUGAAUAAACUCUAGAAUAAAUUAAAGUAAAUGAUUUCUUGUGUCAUUGCUAGAUGGAAAGAUUUUGUUGGCAUUGUUCUUAUAAAUGGUAUUUGGGGAAGGGAAUGUUGGGGAGAUUUUUAACAUUGAAACUCAGAAGGUCUUGUUUUCUUUUUCAAACAUAGAAUGCAUGUAUAGAAUAUAUUUUUUCCAUUGCAUAAGUUUGAUGUUAAUUUUUUAACUUGUUUCAGGAAGAUAUUAUUGGCAAGCUCAUAGAAUUUUUAAUAGCUCCUCAUUCUACAACUACUGUCCUCCUUGCUGAAAAAGAAAAGGUUUCACCCCUCCUGGUUGCAAAAGAACUUAAUCUUCGCAAUUGAAUGCUUCCUUUAUAUUUACUCAAGUCUGGAUCUAGUUCUUUAAUUUUCCUGUGGUUAAUCGCAGUCGAGCAAGGGUAAAAAGCGUAAACGAGCAGUGAAAGGAGGAAUAUCAACUCCUGGAGACAGUGGCUCAAAAAGUUCAGCAAAGGUGGCAUUCUUAUCUCUCUAAGAGUGCAGUUGGUGAAUUAUUUCUUGGCCUUGUUUAUACCAAAUUCCAAUCACACCUGCUCUGUCCAUUUCUGGAUCUAGGUUUUGUUUUAACACUUUCCUGUUAUGCCUUUGUCUUCCAUAGAAGGUAGAUAUAUCAAGUUCAGGUUAAUUGAUGGUGCAUUUUGUUUUUAUGAUGCUUGAGGAAAUUGUGAGUUAUGUUGGCUUCAUGAAAGGAUAUUUUCUUGUUCUUUUUUUUAUUGUUUUCCUAAAAGAAAACUAUUUGUUUUGGUCAGUGUCCUCGCAUUCCAAUAUUUAUGAAAAUUGUUGCCGUUAUGAAUUCUUAGGUCUCACUCUUCUAGAUUGGGGAUCCCUUUGUUAUGGAGUUUUUAAAUUAUUAUUAUUAUUUAUUAUUUAAUAUUUUCUUGGUGGUGGCGUUUUAAUGCCAUGGGACUUGUGAGUGAUGUAGAAUGUGUUGUGUGCGUGAAUGUGGGUCUCAUUUUGUAUUAGCAAACACAAUAAAGUCCUUUAGAUGCUUAUUGUUUCUAAACCAAAUAGAUGUCUGUUUAGGGAAGGGCAUACAAUAGGUCUUUAAGAGAGUACCUUUGACUGCCUCUGAGGAAAGACGGGAGAAUACUUGCCUCCUCGCACAGUGCUUGGAGUUCUGUCUUUUCUUAUCUAGUUUAUAUUGAUAAAAGAGGCCUCUCGACCUUUCUUUACUGACCACAACUCUAAAUCUUUAGUUUGGGAUAGUUGAUCUAGUAGUAAAAGAUUUCUGAUAGCUUAACUACGUUAUUUUAUUUCUGGGUUGACUCUAGAGUUGUAGAAAAAGGGGGAAUAGUGCAAGAUCUGAGAUGACAAAAGAUUCAAGCGAUGAAGAUGAUGAGUCAGAAGAAGAGAAGGAAGCAGAAGAAGAGAAGGAAGCAGAAGAAGAGAAGGAUGCAGAAGAAGACAAUGACAAGGAGAAUGAGAAUGAGAAUGGAACCACAGAAAAAUCUGAUGAUGAAGUGUCAGAGCAGCCAGAAAGUGAAGAUAUCAAUGACCCAACUGAUGAAUCUGAGGAAGAAAGACCCAGAUCAAGUACAAAAAGUUCAUCAAAAAGGAAACGAUCUGUGGGAAAAGCAAGAAGCAAGAAAGUUGCAGGUUCCAAUAAAUCUGAAUCAGCAAAAUCUUCAGCAAAGAAGUCAUCAGCAAGUCGUGCUAAGGUUGAUGAUAAUGAUGCUAGUCCAAAGGUAUUCUCUAGGAAGAAGAAUAGUGAGAAAGAGAGCAAGGCCUCUACACCAACAAAAUCUGCUAACAAGGAGAAACCUGGUAUCUUUCAUGUCUCAUUGCCUCUUCUUUUCUUUUUAUUUUGUUCCAUUUUUUGCCUGGGAUAUAUAAAUAAAAAAAAAUUGUUGCUUUUCAUUAUUAUUCUUCUGAAAUCCAAUUUUUUUUGUAUUAUAUAAUCUGUUUGGGACCCUAAAGAGAUUAUGGAGACUGCGAUCUACACUGCAUUAUUUAUUUAUACCCAUGGUCUAUGUUUUAGGGAAAAAGGUUGUGAAAGGGAAAGAUAAUAAGACCAAGGAGGAGAAAACAAGGCCAAGUGAUGAUGAGCUCAGGGAAGCAAUAUGUGAAAUUCUUAAAGUAGUUGACUUUACGACGGUAAGUAUCAAAUUUAUCCAUACCAAUCAACUAAGUUUAGCUGGCAAUCUCAUUUCUAUACUUGAUAGUUGUAAAUCUGCAUGGUUUUCUGGCUAUUGGAUUUCAUUCAUUCGCUUCUAUCGGUUAUAGAACUGCUAUCAUAUGUUUUCAAGUUUUAACAGUCACUUCAUCUCUUCUCAAGUGGAUGGUUGACGGUUGGGAUUAAAUAUAUGCAUAUCUGAGCUUUUAGAUUCUUUCUUCUGUUAAUGCCAACUGAUGAUAACUUUUAACAGUCGUAGUAGAGUACAUGCAUAUUCACUGGUUUGUAUUUAGUGUUCUGCAAUAAGCAGCACCAAAAGGCCUAAUGAUGCUUCCAAAAUGUGGUUGAUAAGGCAACAGUUGUUCUUGACAUUAGAUGAAUAGCCUAAUGUUUGGAGAAAGACAAGAAAAUGAGUUAGGGAUUGAAUACACAAUAGUUUCUAUAUGUUGGAAAAUGGCCUUCAUCUUACCUUAGGGACUAUUUGGCCUGCUUACUUCUUAAGUUGGUGUAAACAACUCAACUUCAGUAGUGUUACUAUUGAACUUGCAGUAUCAAGUAACUCAAUCUUCUCUUAUUUAUUUAUUUAUUAUUGUUUUUUCACAUUUAUCAAGGAAUUCAAUCUUUCCUUCCAUCUUGACUUUUCACAUUUACGAAAUAACUCCAUCUUAUUUUUUUAAUUUACUUUUUGCAAUUAUUGAGGAACUCAAUCUUUACAACUCUACACCUUAAACACAAACUUACUAACUCCAACAUAUUAACCCAUGGCUUAUUAUCUCCACCUAGUGGGCCAAAACCCCACCCCCAUAGUUUUUGUAACCCUGUUGAAAAAUAUUACAUUUCAUGCUUGCUUUGAAUGGCAGUGUCGGUCAAUUACCUUUUGCAAUUGCCAAAUGACUCGUUUGUUAUUUGUAUAAUGCAGGCCACCUUCACGGACAUUCUGAAGCAGCUUGGUACGUUUCUUACCUAUUAGCAUAUUUUGUGGUUUGUUGAGUUUACAAUUUACAUGUGCUGCUUUUCAUCCUCACGGGAGGUCUCGAUUGUUUAGCUUCUUGUUUGCCACCAAUUGAGAUAUCUAACAAUAAAUAGUACAAAUAAUUGGACUUUCUCUAGAGAAUCUCAAUAAAUCUGUUUGGUUUUGAAUUAUGUUUUGGAGAGUCGUUCUAAACUAAUACAUUUUUCUGAAAGAAAGCGAAAUGCAUUAAUUUUUAACACAGUAGCAUUUUUUUUGUUAAAAAAACAAUUCAUUUGAAGGAUGCUGAAAACCAUUUCCAACCACAUCCUACAACAAAAAUGGUAGCUCUAAUCUGCUUUUGGUAUCUCAGCUCGGCAAUUCAAGAUGGAUCUCACCACACAAAAGUCAUCGAUAAAACUCAUGAUCCAAGAAGAGCUGACAAAACUGGCAGACGAAGCAGAAGACGAAGAAGACGGAGGCGAUGCUGAGAAGGAUGGUAAACAGGGAGCAUCAGGUAAAGAGGUGGAAACUUGAGUCCAAGAGUGUUGGCCCUGGGAUUUGUCUAACAAUAUAUUGAAAAAUCCGUCAAAAAAUGAGUCAUGUUGUAAAGGUGGAUGUAAUUUAUUUGUUUUUAUGAUAAUCAUGUUUACUGCUAAUGAAAAGGUUAGUGUUUUUAUUAGAAAACAAGGUUAGUUGUUACUUUAUAUAGGUGUUGCAAAUAUUGCACCUUCUUUUUAUACUGACAUAUAAAAUCUGUUGGGAAUAAUAAUUCCAUGAAUAUAUAUACUGACCAUUAAGGAAGUGGAAGUGGAAGUGGAAGUGGAAGUGGAAGUGGAAGUGGAAGUGGAAGGGGUUGCUUAGCCUUCAGGUGGUUUUAGGCCUUGUAAAAUUAUUCCCUAUUUUCAUCUUUUUGGCUUUGCCAUGUUUUUAAAUGCUCUUCACUUCACUUUCUUGUUUUGCCCAUCUUUGUCCUCUUCAACACAUCUUCUUUCUUCAUUAUUUGAUUAGAGAGAUUGACUAUUGAUUUUCAAAAUCUACUUCACUAUUUUAUUCUUGAGUUUUGGCUUUGAUAGUACUUUUGUUUCUUCUAUGAGAAUGAAUACAGUUUGAGUUUUUUUUGUUGGUGCUAAUUAACACAAUCAUUUGGACUUGGUUUUAAAAAUAUACGUUUAAAUUUUUUUUGCUCAUCUUAUUUUACUUUGGUUUCGAAUUUUCAAGUUUUAACAGAUUGAUGAGAUUGCUUUGUUAACUUUUUGAAGGAUUGCAUUUAUAUUUGGAGGACUAAUUUAGGGUAUUCAUUUUUAAUCGAUUGGAGAACUUAAAAACUUAGUUGUGUUCAAGAUUUUGAUUGUCACUCUUUUGUGCACUAUCAAUGGAUAUUAUUUUUUAAAUAAAAAGAUUUUAGCAUCUCAAAGUUUGAGAUAUUUUGUUUUGAAGUGCUUUUUUAGGGCAUGUUAUUUAUUAUAAGAAUAUUUAUUUUAAAUUUUGUAAAGUUUAUUUUGUUUAUGUAAUGUACUUAUUUUGUUUCUCUCAUUUUGUUUUUAUCUAGCUAUAGGUGUUGCGUUUUAUUUUACUUUUAUGACAUUUGCUUUAAGAUUUUUUUCAAUAUUGCACUUACAACAAAAAAUUAUAAAAAUAGAUAUAAUUUCUUUCGCACGUAAUGCAUCAAUAAAUUUAUUGACACGAAAAACUUGCAUACAAAACGUUCAAAAUCAAUAUUGUAUUUACAAAAACUAAUGGAACCUAUUUUUGAUAAAAAUUUCAAAUUUUGGUAAAUUAAAAAUACGAACAUUUGUGUAUUUGACCUAUCAUAUGAAAUAUUCUUUUUAAAAAAUACAAGAGUACGUUUUUUUUUGAAAAAAAAAUCAAUAUUGCACUUACAACAUCAAUUUUAAAUAAAUAUAUAUAAUUUCUUUAGCACGUAACAUAUCAAUUAAUUUAUUGACCUGAAAAACUUGCAUACAAAAUGUUUAAAAUUGACAUUGUAUUUACGAAAACUUAGGGAACUUAUUUUUUUAAUUAAAAUUUCAAAUUUUGGCAAAUUAAAAAUAUGAAUAUUUGUUUAUUUGACUUACAAUACGAUUUUUUUUAAAAGAAAAAUACAAGAGUACAAAUCUUUUUCAAAUAAUAAUGAUUUUUUUCAUAAUCAUUUCCACCUAUUCCUUUCCCCAAAGAAGAACUAUCUCAAUCUCCCAUAUUUCUCGUAAGUAUUUUUUUUUCCAAAUAAGGAUUAUAAUAAUCAUUUCUUUUUCAUAAUUCUCAUUUUUCAUAUUCUUUUCCUCCUUAUUCCUUUCCUUCCUCCAAACACUCCCUAAGUACAUAAAACGUCAUAUUGCAUUUUGGGCCUAAUUUUUAGAUUAUGAUCGAGUACAAAUUUCCAUUGGUUCUUCCUUAAAUAUUAUGAUAUAACAAUAUUGGCUUAAAUAAAAUACUUUAUCAAUUUGAACAUGUUUGAAUGUACAAAUAACCAAAUACCAAAUCCCUCCACUCUUAUUAUACUUAAAAAAAAGUGUUAUAAAUAAGUUUGACACCACAAAAUAGGACAAAAAAUGUCGUCAAAAGACGGGUAAAAAUGAGUUUAAAAUAGAGUAGAGCUAACAAAUCGAUUAACUAAUCAAAACAUGCUCAAGGUUAGAAAAAACCACAUCCUAAUCUUCUAAAACUUCAACAUUCUUUCCCUCUUUAACUUAAAGAUGUCGAUGUAUGAAAUAAGAUCCUUCCUUUCAUCGACAAAAAAACAAAAAAAAAUCUCUACCAUUAUUGUGAAAUUACACUUUUUCUACAACUUACAUGAAUUUUGGAAUCAAACAUAAUGCAUUAUGUAUUGUUAUUAGUUGUUUUAGAUAGUAUUUUGUAAAAUAUAAAAGUAUAAAUAAGAUAAAAGAUAAACAUGUCCACUUAAAAGUAAUGGAGCACUUGAUUUCUAGUGACCAAUUAAAGGGAAGAAAAGCAAUAGUUAUUCAAAGUGGUGGGGAUCUAAGCAUAUAUGAUAUCAUUAUAUAUAAUAUAUAUACACACACACGCAUGACUUUCUUCAUCAUAUUUCAUAAUUAACAUUUUACAACUUUCCAAAUCUAUUCAACAACAAUGAUUAAUAAAAGAAAAAAUAAUUGCCUAUACAAAUCACAACAAUAUUAUAAUACCACCAAACAUGACCUAUUUUCAAAUGUAGCCAAAUGAAUAAAGUAGGUAGUUGUUUUUUCUUUUUUGUUAUAUUUUAAAGGAGGAGAACAAAUCUGCUCAAGUUUUAGCAUAUUUGACAUUUCUUCGUGGGGUGUUCUUUGAUCUAGAAAUAUGUUUUUCUAUAUAACAUUCUCUCACUCUUUUCAAUAAGGAGACGAAGAAGCUUGGUUGAAUGAUGUUAUUUUGUUUCUUUUCUUUUUUAAAAAAUAUACUAAAUUCAUCUCGUUAUAAUAUGAAAUCUAAAUUGAGGUAGACGAGUUAUUGACUAUAAUAUCUUAAUUAAAAGUCUACUUUGGUAGUGCCCUCAAUGUUGAGGACACUACACAUAACAACUCAUUCCACUUCCGCUUCCACUUCCGCUCCCAACUAAAGUAUGUAUAAUGUCCAUUUUCCAUAAUUCAUAAGUCAUAGUUUAUAUAAAAUAAAUUGUCCAUUUUAUAUUCGAAUUUCCUAUCUAUAACCCAUAAAUAGAAUUGUGAGGGUAGAGUUUUUUUUUUUUAUAAUCUCUUUUUAGUGAAUUUCGAAUUUUGAUCUUUAAUGGUAGAUGCAAUUCUUCAAAUCUAUCUAUGAUAUAUCAAGUAAAGUUGAAAAAAAGCUAGUUAUGCCCUACAAGACACGAAGAUCUGUUGGAGAUGAUUUAUACAUAAAUUGGUACAAUCAUCUUAGAUGUUUGUAAAAAAAAAAAAGUAAAUAUCUACAAUUUAUAAAAUUCUUUGUAGGUAUACGUUAAGAAAGAUUGAAUAGGUGUAAUUGUUACAAGGGCUAGUCAAAGUAGAAGUAUUUUAGGGUGUCAUUUGAAUAGGUAUUAUUUGAACAAUUUUCAUCUUUUUAUUGAUCACGAGUACAACUAAUUAUUUUGUAAGACAUCCCUUCUCAUGAAUGCUUUUAUUUUGUGUGUAAGCUAAUGUAUUGAAUUGCAUAAAAUAAAUAUAUAUCAUCUCACAAUCCAAGGUCAGAGCACAAUCAAGCACACAUAUAACCAAAGAAAAUAAGAGAACAACAAGAACGAACAAACAAAGAAACUAAAUACAUAAGAAAGACGUACACAACCUAAGUAAAAAGAUUUCAAGGAGGUCUCAACCUACUUUGGUCCUCUCGAUAGAAGUCUUGAGCCGCUAAAAAGACAACAAAGAAAAAUCACAUGAUGUCUUGUAAUAUGACCUUCAAACCAAAGAAGGUUACACCGAGUCACCAUGAGAUGCCUAAGGCACAAGGACUCUCAAGCGAUAGGGAGUCAAAUCACAUGAUCCACCCUUCUAUUGAUUAUACCUUUUCAAAAAAAUUUAACAAGCUCUUUAGAGCUAGAAAACCAAUUUCAAUUUCUAUUGAGAAAAUCACUAACCUACGUGAAUGAAAUUGAUCAAAUCCAAUAUAACAACAAUUCUAAUUAAACAACUGUCGAUUAUGCCCUCUUUCUAACCAAGGGUUCAAAAAUCAUCUUAAGAUGGAAUGAUGUAUCAUCAACACCAAGACAAAGAACUUGAGGCACUAAUCCCCCAAACACUCUCGUUGUGCUAUCUAUGGGGCUUGACCUUUGUGAGCUAUAAGGAUCUAGAACAAAUUAAUUUCGAACUCAUAACAUCUUCAUGAAUAGCUACAAUAUUACAAGAAGGAAUAUGACAGAUACACAUGCCACACCUACAUUACAGAUGACAAACAUUCAACUGAACAACGUUUGUCUUUUCAAUACUCUACAUCUUUUCUUUUUAGAGAUAAAGUGACAUAGAUAAUUUGAGUAUUCAAUAACAUUUUUUGGGUAAAACAAACACACUCGCUAUAUAAAUUUGAAAGCUCUAAAAUACAAAAUAAAUAAGUUAUAAUCUACAACAUCAUUCAAAGCUCUAGCUAUGACUAAUUCCUCACAUAGUAAUAACCAUUUCUAGUAGAGGGUCAAUUGUCAGUGUAUGAUAGUUUGUCCAAGAUAAAAAGCAAGCCAAAAUACCUUGUAGUGAGAGAAGCCAACGAAAAAUUCAUGAACAAUGAAAGCCUUUCAAACUUAUCUAGAGCAAUCCUAACACAAAACAACAAACUUUUUCCAUGAUUAGCAAUAAUAAGGUCAAAUAAUCGUUGAAAUUGACUUAAACCUAUAUGUAUAAAAGAGAGGGAAGCAUAGUCCCCAACACUAAAAAUUUAUUAAGUUAUCAAUAAAAGAAAGGUGAAUGAGCUAGACCUAAUGAUAACUAAAGGUGUGCAUGGUUCGGUUUAGUCUAAUUUUGAUCAAAAUCGACAACUGAAUUGAACUUAACAAUUUUGAAAUGUUUUAAGUGAAGAAUUGAAGUAGAAACCUUCCAAACGCCAUCAAGUAAGCAAUGAAGAAGAUGUCAACAAAAGAAGAAAAGCGAGGUGAGUGAGGGAGUGAUGAAUUAAUUCAUAGAGGUUGCAAAAUUAAGUUGCAAUGGAGAAAGAAAGAUGAAAUGGAGGCGUGGAGUGAGAGAGGUGAUGGCCAAAACUUUGAUAUUAUACAAGAACAUGUCAAAUUAUAAGACGGUAAAACGGUCAAAGACAGAAUAUCGUUCUCUGGAUAUUAGAUGCUCAAAUUUAACCUAACUACUCUCAAAUCCUUUGCCUUUUAUUUUGAACUAAAGAAAACAAAAAAAAUAUAGAAUGAAAUAUGUGUAAAAAAAUAUGUUUUAACUGUAAAAACUAUUAUCCCAAUUAUGUUAUUCAAGAACCAUAUAUUCUCACACAAUCCUAAUUAAUCCUCAAAAUCACUAAAAAGUUGAAACCAAAUUACGAAAAAUGACAAAAAGAAGAGAAAUAACCAAUAGUGGUACUCUACUUUAAUUAUUAACCUAACUAUAUUUGUAAGAUUGAGUAAAAUAUAUUUUGAUUUCCUUUCCUUUCAUAUUUUGUUCUAUAGUUUUAACCAAUUUGGAAAAAAGUUGAGUGAUUUCAAACAACAAUAAAGUGUUAAAAUAAAUCCUACUCCAGUAUUAGUCUUUAAAUCUUUAGGUAUAUUCAAUACAUAUUUAUUACACUAAUACAUAUAAAAUUUCAUUAUGAAUAUAUAUAUAUAUAGAUAUAGAUAUAAAGUUUUGGAAUCAAAGAUUAGGUUUUGCAUUGAGAUAUUGCAUUUUAAUUUGGUUAAAUUAAAUUUUGUUGUUCAAUGAUAGCAACUUGGCAACUCUCCCAUUCCCAUCCCCUUUACAAACAUCUCUCUAUCUCUCUCUCUCUCUCACACACACACACACACACAUUUCACUUCCACAUCCCCUAAUUUCACAAACCCUAAUUCCUCUUCCCCUCUUCCAUGGCGGACUCCGACAACGACUCCGGCGGUGGUUACCAGAAAUCCCCAUCUCCACGUGAACACGACAGACUCCUCCCGAUCGCCAACGUCGGCCGGAUCAUGAAGAAAGCUCUCCCUGGCAACGCCAAGAUCUCAAAAGACGCCAAAGAAACCGUUCAAGAAUGCGUCUCCGAGUUCAUCAGCUUCGUCACCGGUGAAGCAUCCGACAAGUGCCACAACGAGAAACGAAAAACAAUCAACGGCGACGAUUUGCUCUGGGCCAUGGCUACCUUAGGGUUCGAAGACUAUGUGGAUCCUCUCAAGCUUUAUCUCCAACGGUUUCGAGAAAUUGAAGGCGAGAGGACCACGCUUGCCUCACGUGACUCCGCCUCCUCCGCCGCAAACUCCGCCGCAGCUGGGAAUAGUGGGUUUUUCGACGGCGGUGGGGAAUUUGGGGGCGCGGGUGGGAGUGGGAUGGGGAUGGGAAUGACGACGACGAUGCCUCCAAAUGUUUAUGGUUCUAAUGGGCCGCGUUGGGAUGGGCCUGGGUUUAGUACUACCGGUCGGCCCAGGUAGAUGGGCCAUAUCCGCCCAUUGGGUUUUUAUUGGGCCGAGUACUAUAACACUUCUACUACAACAUUCAUUAUGACGGCGACGGGGUAUGCGAAAUCUCCGUUUUAUCCUCCGUAAAAUGAAGAUCGGUAGCUGAGGAAAGGUCAAGUCUUUUUUUCUUUUUCCUUUUUGUUUAAUUUUAUAAAAAAAUAUAUAGUGACGUAGAUAAAUAUUAUUAUUAUUAUUAAUAAUAAUAGAGCAUGAAUUUAAUAAUGUAUUUCCAUUUUAAUAAAUAUGCAUUUGAUAAUUUUUAUAACAAUUAUAAUUAUGUUUCAGUGUUUUCUCUUUUUUGUUGGUUUAUGUUUAAUUGAUGAUUUUCUUUUAACUUUCUGUCUUUGAGACUAAUUAUAAAUUUCAUUUUCUUAACUCUAAAUUAAUGCUUACCAUUUGUUAACUUUUAGAAUUAAGUCUAAAAUUAGGCUCCCAUUGGUUUUAAUGCUAUCUAACGUCCAAUGGUUACCUAUAAAAGAUUGUAAAAUUAAAACAUAUGUUAGGCUAUUGACAUUUCAAAUGAAUGUUUGAAAUUUUGGUAAAAUAUAUAUAUGUGUAAUUGAACAGUUGUACAAAAUGUAAAGCAAACAAAAAUAUUUAAGUGCAUCAUAUACUACUUUAACUCAAUCUAAUUUAUUUGCCACUAAAAUAUAGCCUUGCUAUUCAUUCCAAAUGUUACUUUUUGAAGCAAUUCAAUUCAACUUUGCAUUUUAGACAUAAAUUAUAGUUACUCUAUGUGCAUGUAAAACUAAUGUAAUCUAGUUUGAGUUAGAGAUAUAACUUUUUAGAAUACAUGGACUAAGGUUUAGUUUGGAAUGAUUGUGAUGACAAUUGUAUAUGUUGGUAUAAGCCUAGUCUUUGGUAAUUUUUAUUUUAAAUCUAGAAUUUAAAACUAUAUUAUAAUGUUUGGUAAAUGUUUAGUUAAAAUAUUAAGAUGAGGUAAGAGUAAUUGUAUUCAUGUAAACCUUGAUCAUCUUUCAUAAGUAAAUUCAUUCAACUUUGAAUAGAUUAAUUAUUCUCAUCCUCGUACGAGAAAGAUGGUAGUAUAUUUGACUUUUAUGUGAUGAUAAAGGUAAAUUUGAAAUUUGGAAAAGAAAACUUGAAAACAAGAAAAAUGACUCUCAUGCUAAGAAAACUUUAUAGUGAAAAAGAUGAUAGAAGUUUAAGGUUACUUCAUAUGCGAAAUCUACUAUCGAAGAUAUGAGUUUUUCAUUUUAUCUUUUUCUUAUUUUUGGCUUAUUUUAAUGUAUCAUGUCCAAAUCAAAAGGAAAAAGAAAAAAACAUAAAAGUUGUAUUAAAAUUAAUAUUUGGAUUUUUUUUAUAAAAAAUGUAAUUCACUUUUUUUUUCUUUUUUGUGAUGGGUGAUUAUUUGUUGUAUCAUUGCAAUUAUUGCACCAUCUUUCUUUCUCUUUUUAAAAAGGUAAUCCAUUAUUAUACAUUCGAUGUAGGUUUUUGGGGGAGCGAAAAAAAAACAAAUGUUUAUUAGUUAUAUGAUUCACUCAUCAAUUUCAUAUAUAACUUUCAAAUUCCUUUUUAUCCAAUUUCAUAUAAAAUAAUACUUUGAAUGUGUGUUGAACGAAAAAAUUUGUAUCAAUCACGAAGUUUCACGUCAUUUAUCAUGUUAAUGGCUAAAAAUACAAAUAAUUGAAUUUAAAAUCAAAUAAAAGUUAACAUGGAUUCCAAAUUGAAAUUUGAAAUAUAAAUGAACCAAUUUUAAUGAUGUCGUGUUUUCACAAGGACAUCGUGAAGAAUGAAGUUCCAAAUUUUUUUACGAAGAUGUAAGUUUUCUUCCAAGACUUAAGGAGAUCAUAUGUUCUAUUUUCUUAAAUCAAGCAUAGACAUUUACACAAAGAGAGAAUUAGAAAGUCAAAUAAUAGAGAACGAAUCACUUCACAUCAUAAUUAACAUCAACACAAAUUCAACGACAAGAAACACGUUUCUCAAAAACGUUAUAGGACGAAUACUUGUAUGGGUAGUGUAGCCCAUGUAAGGAAGGAAGUAGUGAUUUAGAAUGAGUUAAAAAUGCAUUUAUAUAUUUAUGGAUUGAGUUGGUUUUUGAGAGAGAAUCACAUGGGCAAAGCACAAAACACCAAACAUUCCUUCAUUUAAUAUUUAAAAGAACCGACAGGUGUUCACGAGCCUCCCUUUCUUUUUUCUUUUUUCUUUUUCUUUUAUAAUAAUAAUCAAAUGUGACCGUCUCUACCAGUUUUCCUCUGCCAUCUAACGACUACUUUACCCGUGCUAGCCGGUCCCAUCUCCCCCAACGGUCACCUUUUCCUUUCCGUCCUCUUUCUUCACACCUAUUAACCUUCACUAUAUAUAUAUAUAUCUUCACCAUUCACUAACAAAUUCAUUUCCAAUUCCGGUCCCAUUUUUGACUUCAUAUUUCGGACCGCCGGUCUAAAACACAGAGAGAAAUCCCCCUCCCCCCCUCAAUAGCAUGGCCAAGUUUGCUUUGUUUAUUACUCUUCUCUUUUUGUUUUCGCCAUUUAUUGGCCUCGUUUUCGCUAACGAUUCCCCUGCCGCCUCCCCAAAACCUCCUAAAACGCUUCAUUCUCCUUCUCCGGCGCAUUCUCCGGUUGUUUCGCCGCCGAGUCACACUGUAUCUCCGUCUAAAUCUCCGGCUGCUUCUCCACCGGUCGUAACUCCGGUAAUUUCUCCGGCAUUGGCUACCCCACCAUCUGUAGCGCCCUCGAAGGCUCCGGCAGCGGUACCUAUUUCUUCGCCGAGUGAAAAUUCUCCGCUUUCGUCGCCGCCGUCUCCUCUCCCUUUCGAUGCUUCUCCGGUUGGGGCUCCAGUGGAACCAGAAAUCCCGGCAAAUCCGAUUUCUGGAGGGUCUCCCGUGGGGACGCCGUCGAUAUUUCCGUCGAGCAGUAGCCCACCGAUGGCUACUCCGACAAGCUUAGCACCGGAAACGGCGGAGAGGCCUGGAAACGACGCGUCGGCGUCAGGAAAGUACAAGAUCGGGGUGGAGGUUAUUUUGAGUGGGCUUUCUAUUUGGGCUGCUUGGGCCUUUUGAAAUUAGGCCCAUGUGUUUAAAUUUUGGUGGUAGGUGUUUUUGAGAUUAUAUUGUAUUCUUUUUUGACUCAACGUGUGGGGUUCUUCUUUUUAUUCAAUUUUCUUAUAUGAAUAUAAUGUUUUUGGUAUAUUUAGGGUUAUUAAAUUAAUAAUAGUUAAACUAAAUUGCUUGAAAUAUUCAAUCGAUUGAAGUAGAAACAAAAUUUCCUCUAUCCUAAACUAGGGUUAGGGUGGUAGUUAUAGUUAUACUUCAAACUUGCCUAAUAAGUUUAAUGAUUCAAACUUACCUAAUAGGUGGAAUGCAUAGUGACAGAGUUAUACCUAAAAUAUUAUUGAAAAAGAGAACAUAAUUGAUAAAAGGAAAUAAAAAUGGAUGAUGAAUAUUUAUAGUAUGGGUUGAGGAGAAAAUAUCUAGAAACACCAUGGGCAUACUGUUUCGUUGAGAAUGAGUGAGUAGUUGAGAGAAUAAGGCAAAAAAAUGGUACUCGUGGAUUGAGAUGCGGCCAAUCAUCCAAAUUAUACACAUCACCUUUCAUAGAUACUUUCUCUUCUUAUCCAUCUUUCUGGGAUAACUCAUGCCAACUAAGAUACGACGAUAAAGAGUCUAUGUCAAUUAUUGCUAAUUUAAAUAAUUUUUUAGUUUUAUUCUAUUUUUCUAUAAUAUAUAUUAGUAUAUUUUUGAAAAAAAUGUGUACGGUCUCUAUUGAUUAUUUGACACAUCAUUAUAAAUAUUAAAUAUCCAUAUGUCCAAAACAACGUAAAAAAAUAUAUUACAUCUAGUCUUUUGCAACGAAAGGUUUACUACGAUAAAGAUGACAAGAAAUAACCGUUGAACAUGCACUUGACAAAACUCUCCCUUGCAAACACCCACAAGUUAAAAAAGAACUCUUCAUCCCUUCUUAUAUUUCCCUAUUUUGAAAAUUAACCUCCAUAUCAUAAACUUACUUAUUGGUUAAGUAAAAUAUUAAAUGUAAUUAACCUCCCUCUCUUUUGUGUUUCUAAGUCAUUAACCCCUUUUCCCUUCACUUCUAGACUUGACACAAUCUUUAAUAAAAUCACAACACACCUUCCAUCAUAAAUGUUGAAUUUCAAGUAAAUUCCAUAGAAUCAAGUAGAUUUAAUUAUAUUGUAGAAGGUUUCUUUUUGUUUAAAUAAAACAAGAUUUUACAUAAUUACAAUUCCAAAUUCCAAAUUGAAUAUUUUUUAUGGUUGUUUUAAAAAUAGAAAAAAGCGAUGUUCUAUUUUUGAUAAUUUUCUUUUUCUUUUUUGUGUGUUUCAUGAAGAGAUGAUCGUUUCUUGUUAUUUGUCAGUUAAUGGUUCAUUUGGAAAAUUGAUGGGUUUUUUUCUCUCUUCCUAACGAACUUCCAUGUUGAAGUUGUCAUACUACAUCAGUUCCAUGAUUUUCAUUUCUUCAAUCAAUUCUUCCAUUUCUUCCAACAAUUCUUGCAUUUCUCUUCCUUCCUCAUCGCUAUGGCCGAAACUGCUGCUCUCCUUUCCCGGUAUCCUCAACUGGGUAGCUGUUUUUCCAAGCAAGUUAGGUUUCAGAAGAUUAAUAAUCUUCAUUCUUUUUCAACUACUCCAUUCUUUAGCAACCAUUUUCUUGAUCGACGCCUAUUCACUUCCUCCAACAACAAUUGCAUUAUCAGGUAUUAUAUUCUUGCAUUUUUGGACCCGGAUUCUGUAAGUGAGAGGAGGGGAAUUUUAUGAUGAAAUGGUUGGAGUUUCUUUCUGUUUAUCACUUGCAUUCUUUCUUUGCGUUUCUUGAGUCAAAUUACUGUUGCUGAGAAAAAUGAAGGGAUAUAGAUGUACAAAUUGUGCUUCGUUUUUUGUGUUUGGGGAAGAUUUCUUUACUAUUCAUGUUUAAGUACUUACUUGACGUUGAUUCUUGCUAUUUGACUUCUUGUUACUGACUUUUCGUAGUUUAAGUUAGUUCGAUUGUUAAUAGUUGCUUGGUUAGAAUGAACGUAAUACUGUUCACUAGUAUUCUCAAAGAAAUUCAUGAUCCCAUCGAAGCAAAGAACAUGGUCAUCGUUGUAUGAGAUUUUUAAUAGGGAUAUCUUGAUCUCUAUUUCUACAUUGGUUCUCUCUAUUGUACUUGAAUGGACUUAUCUAAUCAUGGGUGUUUUUCAGCAUGGAUGCCCGAGAGAAAUCGAGUCGAAAAAUAGUCAACUCCAAACGACAUAAAAUAGUUCCAGUGUAUGUGAUGCUGCCUGUUGAUAUUUUCGAAAGAGGUCCCUCUGGGAUUGUGACACUUACGAAGUAAGCCAUUGUAUUGUUAGUCACUAUCUCAUCUGUUAUAUUGCUUUGUGGAUUUGCAAAUACGUACCAUGUUUAAAUCUGGCGAUAAGUUGAGUUUAUAAUUGAGUUUAGUUUGUAUUCGGUAGGCAUAAAUAUAAAUAAACCGUGUUGAUGUUUCAGGUUUUUGGGUCUUUGUGAAAUAGUUAAUAUGUCUCUCACUUUUUGCUUUAGAAUGAAGGCCGUAAGGGCGUCUCUGAGGGCACUCAAGCUUGCUGGUGUACAUGGAGUAGCGGUUGAGGUUUGGUGGGGGGUUGUAGAAUGUUUCUCUCCGAUGAUAUAUGAUUGGUCGCUCUAUGAAGCACUUUUUAGAUUGAUAUCCGAGGCAGGAUUGAAGUUGCAUGCUGCCUUGUCAUUUCAUUCAGACACGCGCUGGACAGUUAAAGGGAAAGAGGGUGUGAGUCUUCCGCUGUGGAUAAUGGAGGUUGGUUCUUCUAUGCCGGGACUUUUUUUAAUAGAAAGUUUAAAACAGCGUAGAUUUUCUGGUGAUCUUCACACUAUAAGGAUUAACUUUUAUAAUCUCAAAGCUGUUUUUCUUCAAUUUGAUCUUGUUCUACUAUCAUUGUGCUGAAAGUUCGAUUGAUGCUGUAAUCCAACAACCUCUUUUGGAAUGAGAUCAUAUCUUUACCUCUGAUUUGUGGUUUUGGAAAUUCAAUUAUGCUGAAUAUUUUUUCUGCCAGAUUGGUGCUCGCAACAAACAUAUAUACUAUCAAGAUCAAAAGGGAAUGACCAAUGGUGAUUACCUUACUCUUGGAGUCGAUCAUUUGCCUGUUUUAUAUACACGAUCUGCCCUCCAGUGCUAUGAAGACUUCAUAUUCAACUUUGUUAAGAAUUUUGGUCACUCAAUUGGAGACUUGAUACAGGAAAUAAGCAUUGGUCUUGGCCCUUCUGGAGAGCUUAGGUACUUCUACAAUUAUUGAUAUUUAAACGGGAAAUUCAAAGGUGUUGCUUGAGGUCUUACAUGGAGGGACCUUUUACAGGUAUCCUGCACAUCCUUUUGCUGAUGGAAGAUGGAUGUUUCCAGGGAUUGGCGAGUUUCAGUGCUAUGACAAAUACAUGUAAGUCCGAAGCUUUUCAUUUUUCAUGAUUUUCAACUAAUGUAGUCAAUCGUCAUCUUCAGUUCACUUAUGAUUUAUGAAGAGGUUGCUCUUGUUUCAGGUUGGCUGACUUGAAAAUAGCUGCAGACCAAAUAGGCAAGCCUCAGUGGGGGAACCGAGGCCCCCAAAAUGCUGGUGACUACAAUAGCUCCCCUUCUGGGGCUCCUUUCUUCGAAGGGGGAGAGGGAAGCUUUCUCUCUGAAUAUGGACAUUUUUUUCUUGUACGCAUCACAACCUUACAAUAAAUGCCUCCAAACUUUUCUUGUUAGAACUUCCUCACUAAUGAAAAGCUUAUUUAAAAGCAUGAAACCAUUGCCUUUAUCGAACAGGAAAAUAUCAAUGUUCACAUUCUAUCCGGCUGCUAAACAAUCGAUUUCUUUGCCAACUGGAUUAUAUUCCUUCAAUCUGUUAUUUACCAACUGGAUUUUAUUUCUCGAGUAUUUGAGGGCUUAUAUGGCAGAAUUUUUUUUUGUAGAAUUGGUAUAGUGGGAGAUUGAUUGAACAUGCCGAUGCUAUUCUUGGGAAGGCAGCUCAAAUAUUGAAGAGGUAUCUACAAAAGGAUCAUCCUUCAGUUACAUUAGUGGCUAAGCUUGGUGGUAUAUACUGGUGGUACAAGACAUUUUCUCAUCCUGCAGAACUUACUGCUGGUUACUACAAUACUGAAACCAGGGACGGUUACGAUUCUGUAACUUCGAUGUUGUCCCGUCAUGGCGCUGCUUUACACUUCCCGUAAAAUUCUGUACUCUUCGAUGUUCAUAUCAAUCAGCAUGUUCUGUUUCUCUUAUAGAUUGUACGUUCAUGUUUUUCAUUGCAGCUGCUUAGAAAUGGUGGACGACGAAACACCCUCACUAUAUGACUGUAGUCCAGAGCGUUUGUUCAAACAGGUUGGUGUCUAAAAUCACUGAUUUACUCAAAAAACCAAAGCGCACUAAUGAGCGAAAACAAAUUUACUAUCAUAAUAUCAUCUAAUAGAAUGUUUUUUUUUUUCUUCUUUUUUCCAACUUAGAUUGUGGACGCAUCAAAACAGAACUUUGUUCAUUUGAUAGGAAGGAACACAAACGAAAGGUUUGACAAGGUAAAUGGAGUUUAAUUUGUUCAUUUUGGGAUUGAGUUUAGUUUUAUGAUAUAUUAUGAUGAAUUUUGAUUGAAUGCAGGAUGGGUUCUGGCAAAUUCAUGCCAAUUGUUGUCAUCCAGGAAACGAUGCUGUUAAAUCCUUCACUUUUUUCAGAUUGACUAAGCAGUUUUUUUGGCAUGAAAAUUGGAUCAACUUUGUUCCCUUUAUCAAAAUGAUGAGCACUAAUAGCUACUGAAUUGUUCAAAACUACACUUCUUUUUUGCUGAAACAUAAGUUCAAACAAUUCUUUACAAUAAGAUUGUUAAUACCUGAUCAGUAAACAUCUAUCUUAUAGUUGGCCUUUUCAACUCUCAAAUAAAAACAAUAAUAAUGAAAAAUUGUUUCUUAUUAAAGUAUGGAAAUUAAAUUAUUACAUUUAUAAUAUUUUUAAAAUGUAAAUGUUUAGAAAUUAAAGUUCAUGAACUCUAGCAAAAUUUAAUUUUUUAAGAUAUUAUUGUAUCGACACGCUAAUAUAUCUUAGUAAAUGUUGAGUUAUAAGUUUGGUUUAAUUUUAUUUUCUUCUCAAAGUAAGGUUAAUAAAAUUUUAUUUUCAAAAUAAUGUUGAUCGGUUACUUUUAAAUGUAUUGUUAAAUAACUUUUAAUUGAUAUUUAUCCUUAAAAUUUUAUGAUUAAUGCACCGCUUUUACAAACUAUUAUAUAUAAUUUAACCGUUCAAUUUAUAACUUGGAGGACAGAUGUCAAAUUAUAUCGCUAUAAAUUUCAAACUAAUAACUUUUAUUGUAAGACUUUGCGAGUUUAUCUAAAUAAAACACAAAAGAGGGCUUCAAUUGACACCAUUAUAAAAUUUUAGGAUUUAAAUAAACACCGUUAUAAAUUUUCAAUGUUUAAAUUGAUAUAAGAGUAAAAUGCACCUUUGGUCCUUGAGAUUUGAAGUUUAAAGUCUAUUUUGUUCUUAAAGUUUCAAAACACAUUUUGGUCGUCCUUACAUUUUCUAAAUUUUUCAAAAUAGUAUCUGAAUUAAUCUUGAUUUAACAAAUGCUUACAAGACCGUUAAAUGUUGACUUGACGUUGGUUAUAUUUGAUGAUACUUAAAAAACUUAUCCUCAAGUUUGAGUGACCAUGAAAAAUGGAGGGAGAUCGAGUGAUAUUUAUUAUUUAUGACGUUUUGAAGCUAUUAAGAGGAGUUAUUAGUUUAAUAGAUACUUUUUGUAUGGAGGGUUGAAAUUAUAGAUAUUUAUUUGUGUUUAAAGAAAAGGAAAUGGUAUAAAAACGAAGAGAGGCUCCAAAAUCAACACGAUUGGAUUUCAAAAUCCUUUUCUUCACAACUUCAAUGGCGUUUCUUAUCUUAAAUCUCUCUCCCAAAACCCCCCAUUCUCCCUUCUUCCCCUCUCUCUCAAACCCCAAAACAACCACUCUCAAUUUCACCACCACUCUCCCACGCCGAUGGCUAGCCCGACCACGCAUCCUCACCGUCCGGUCCACCGGCGACGACAACAACAACAACUCUGCCGAUGCCCCCGACCGCCUCAUCUCCGCCAUCUGCUACUUCUACCCCUUCUUCGACGGCGUCCAGUACGGCAAGUACGUUAUCACUCAGUACACUCCAUUUCAGGUUCUGAUUCAACCUUUAGUUCCGGCGAUUCGUGUUUUCAAGAGCUUUCCAUUGAAUAGCUUUUUGGUGUUUUUAACUCUUUACUUCGUCGUGGUUAGAAACCCUAAUUUCAGUCGGUAUGUUAGAUUCAAUAUUAUGCAAGCCAUUGUUCUCGACGUGCUUCUGAUUUUCCCUGAUCUUUUGGAGAGGAGCUUUAAUCCUAGAGGGGGACUAGGGUUGGAUUUAGUGAUGAGUUUGGAUAGUACUGUGUUCUUGUUUCUUUUGAUUUGUUUGAUUUAUGGGUCUUCUUCUUGCUUGUUGGGUCAGAUCCCUAGAUUGCCCAUUGUUGCUGAUGCUGCUGAUAGACAAGUUAUGUGAAUUCUUUUUUUCUUCACUUCUUCGAAAAUGGAUCAGUUUCAUUAUUGUCGUUCUUGCUGAUUUUGUUGGGGGGGGAAUUUGGAUGGGAAUACUCAAAUUGUUCUUCAUUUGGGGGAAACCUAGUUGUAGAUUAAUUACGUGUUUCCAAAUUUCUACACACUUGUGAGGAUGAAAUAGUUAAAGAAAAAUCCAAGUUAGAAAUGAUCUUCAAUGUUCAUUGUCCAUUUUUCUGUUGUUAGUUUGUUCUUGAAUCUCUUCCCAUGUUAAUAAAAAAAGAUAAAUAAUAAAUAAGUGAAAAAGUGCAGAAAAUUAAUUUAUUUUUUUAACCAUUUAUGUUAGGAGGAGCUUAUACAUAAAUCAACUAAUCUCACUGGUACAACAACGCACAUUAAUCCCACAACCUAAACUUAGGAAUCAACCAACGUCAAUAUAUUUGAAUUUGUAUCUAUUAAAAUCUCAAUCAGAGUAGAACCACUCUACCAAAGAUAAAGAAAAUUAAUUAUUUAAUAUAUAUUGUAAUUUGACCCUUCAAAACUAAUAUUAAAAUAUAAAAAUUGAAAAUGUGAGAGAUACGGUCCAUGCCCAUUAAUAGAUUUGUCCAUGAUUAGUUAAAUGUUUAAAUUGACCUAAUCUAAAAUUUUAGGUUUUUUAGAAUCUAUCAAUCAUUAGUAUAGGCAUAAGGGGUUCACUCUCCUCAACUUGAUUGUUUUUAUAUAGGAAUGAUUGCAAAUUUAGCAAUUAAAUUCAAAAUAAUUAAGUAUAUAGCAACAUUUUAAAAAAUUGCAAAUAUAGCAAAAUUUGUCAAAUUCUAUCAAUGAUAGAGUCUAUCACUGAUAGAUCAUGUUGUAAAAAUUGGUCUUUCACCGAUAGAUCAUACGAGUCUAUCAACGAUAGUUUUGCUAUAUUUGCAAUUUUUUAAAAAUGUUAUAUCCUUAAUUAUUAUUCCUUAAAUGGUCAUCAAUUACAAUUAUCCUUUUAUAUAAUAUGUAUAAACAGAACCAAUUAAUAUUUAAUAUUUGUAUUAACUAUAGUCUCCAAUUUUACACUUUUAACCAUAUGUCCAAUCCUAAAAUUUAGGAUGUAAAUUGGACCGAAGUAGAUGAACUAAUUUUCGUAUCAUGGAAACUCAUCAACUUAUUUAGCAUAGAGGAGACUUAAGCUCUUUCAACUUUAUGCUCUUUAUAUUAUAUAUAAAAGAAACUAAAAGUGAUAUUAGCUAACCAUCAUUCGAUCAUUUUACACUCGAAUUUAAAUUUUACCUUCGAUCUUUACACCCAAAUUUAAAUUUCACAUGUUCAUCAUUAAACAGAGGAUUAAUUUAAUUAAAUUUUUUGAAGAUGUAUUAACUAUUAACUAAACAAACACCACCUGAGAUCCAAAUGUAGUUUAAAAGAAAAAAUUAUAUGGAAAAGUCAACUAAAAAAGAAAACAAAUUUGAAUCAUUUUGGUGGGAUUUAAAUUGAGUAUCUUAUACUUAUGAUGUUUUCUCUCUCUCUUAAAUCAUUUCCAUUGUAAAGCAAAGGAGGGAGUGAUUUCCAAAGCCACAUGGGACCUUGGGUUAUUCAUUCUCUCUUCUUCAUAUAUUUUCUUUCACUUUUACGGGUGAGCGGAUCCCUUAAAAGGUUAGGAUGCUCUUCACAUUCUCAACUUUUAUAUUUUAAUACUAAUUUUAAUUUUUGAUUAAAAUUAAAAUUUAGGAAUUUGUAUGAAAGAUCGUAAGUAUUCAUAAUUAUUAAUUAACUGAGAGUAAUGGAAUAAAAAUUUGAAGAGUAUAAAGCAGAAUAGGCAUAAUUAGUAGUAUUAAUUAUAUCCCAUUGCAUGAGGAUCCAUUCAUUAAGAUCUCUUCCAUUAUUACUCCAUAUAGCUUAGCUUCCACUUCACUUUAGUUUCCACAUGUUCCUCACCAUUUCCCAAAUCCUACAAACAAAAACCUCUUUUCCUCAUUUUCAUCUCAUUUUCUCUAAACCCUAAAAAUGAAUCUUCUCUUCCUCUUCCUCCUCCUCCUCUUCUUCCCAUCUCUCUUCAUUGCCCAAACCACCACCAAUUCUCCUGCCCCAGCCCCGACUACACUGGCUCUCGACUCCACCCAACUCAAUCUCACGCAUAUCCUCUCCACCCAUGGUUGCUCUGCAUUUGCCCUAUCCCUCCUAAGUUCCACAUCGGCGGAGAAAGCCUUCAACGACGUAGUCGAGGGUGGCUUUACCGUUUUCUGCCCAAACGAUGAUGUUUGGAGCGAGUUUUCACCUAAGUUCAAAAACCUAACUCCACCCGCUAAAACCUCCCUCCUUGAAUUCCAUGGUGUCCCAAUUUACAUGCCGUUGCCGGUUCUGAAGUCGAAUAACGGUGACACCAAUACGCUGGCCACCGACGGUGCUGCUAGAUUCGACUUCACGGUACAGAACGAGGGUGAGGAUGUGACUGUUAAAACCAGCAUUACGACGGCUAAGGUGGAUGGGGCUGGUGUUUUUGAUGAGGAUCCAUUGGUUGUUUAUUUGAUAGAUAAAGUUUUGGAGCCGGAAGAGUUGUUUACUGCGGACGUAAUGGCUCCGCCAAAGGGGGGAUCGGAUGUGGGAGCGGCUCCAUCGUCGGAUUCACCGGCAGAAUCUCCGGAAGAAUCUGUGGCGGAUCAAAAUGCUGAUGGCAACUCUGGGGUUAGAGUGGAGGGUGGAGAUCAGUUUCAUUUCAUGGCUGUAGCUUUAUGUGCAUGGAUGGGAUUUUCACUGCUGUAAUUUUUUUCUUUUUUACUCUUACCAAAUUGGAUCAUCCCCUUUGAUUAUCUUGCAAUGAAGAUUUAUCUUUUAUCUACUAAAUAGUCAUUUCUAUCAAAUUUUCUCAUACAAAUUUUAGUAUUUUUGUCAAAGUUUUUAGACUAUAUUUUAAAUUCAUUCCAUUUUAGUCCAAAUAUUUUUAAUGGUUCAAUUUUAAUUUUUUCCCUUUUACUUUAUUGCAAUUGAUUUAAUAAUAACAAUAAUUUUUUUUAUAGUUAACAUGUGAAUGUAUUUUCAAAAUUUUAGCAAAUGCUUUGGUACAUAAAUUUUCUUUUUAAACAUCAAUAGCAAAUUGUAUUAUAUAUAUGUAUUAGAUAAUUAAGUUUGUUUUGUAAAAUUAUCUUUUGCAAACAUAAUCGAAAACACAUGAAUAAUACAAUAAUACUUAUACAACUUUUAAGUCCACUUCCACUCAUUACAUAAACAUAAUACUACUUUUAAAACAACACACUCAUUUUUUUUCUUCUAAAUCUAUAUUAAUUAUUAACAUGCUAAAAAAACAUGUCAACCAUAAUUAUUCAUCAUCAUUCUUUUGUUCAGAGUGUAGAGGACGGGACUAAUUCCUGAUUUGGUUGAGUUGACAAUCCAAAAUAUCGAAUAAAAUAGUUAAGUUAUAACUUAUUUAUUCUUAUUAGUUUUAAAUAAGUUAAGUUUAUGGAUAACUUAUGAUUAAUAACCAAAAUUUUAUUAAAUUUGAAUAUAAAAUACCAAAUAUUUAAUACAAAUUUUAAGCAAAAAAGACAAAUAUCAUAACCAUUUUAAAAGAAAAUAUUAAAUAUUUUUGAAUUAAUCAAUUAGCAAAACUUUAAACGAAGAAAAAUGUACGUGUACAUAGAAAAAAUUUAUUAAUCCAACUCAACAACAAAACUAACCUAUCUCAACUCUUGUAUUUUGGAUUGGAUUGUUCGAAUUGUUGUAGUAGAUGUUUUAAUACUAUGAAAAGGUAAAUGAAAUUACCAUUUUUACAAGAAAAAAAAGGAAAAGAAAAGAAAAGACGAACAAAAAAGAAAAGGUUUGUUACAAAAUUUAGCUAGAGUGAUAGGGCAAGAGACAACUAGAAGAAGUGAAAAUCUUAGUAGAGAAGAAAAAAGGAAAAGCAAUUCUCGAAGUAGCGACGAGUGAAAUGAAAGUAGCUUAGACGAGGGAAAUGAGAGUAGUUUAGGUCGUAAAAUCGGCUACUAUAAUAUAUCAUUUGUCAAUCACUAACAAAUUUUAUAUAUGUGUAAAUAUUCAAUUUUGUAAUUUAAAACUAUUUUUUCUUAUAUUAUUUUUAUAACAUAAUAAAAACUAAAUGAGAAUUGAAGGUGACUAUUAGGAUACAAUUAUGUGAACUUUUCCAAUCCAAUUUGAUAUAUAAUUUUUUGCAAUUUGAUGAAAAAAAGCCAAAGAAAAAUCCAUUUUCGGGUGUUUGAUUUGUUCAGCAAGAAGUGUUAAGAACGAGAAGGAAAACGGCAAAAGUUCAACCGGAGCAAUGGAGGAAUCUCAGGAAAUUCUUCUCAAUUCUCUCCAAAAAUCAGGUGUUUCAAUCCCAACAGACCUUUCCUCGAUUCGGAACUUAUCCCCUCCCAUAUUCUUCUCCAUCUGUGCUCAAGUUUUGAAUCGAAUACAUCCCCAAACUAAAACCCCCUUCUCCACUUCUCUUCCGGACUCUGUCGCCGAUCAAUUCAAGGUAUCUUCUGAAAUCGCUUCCGCCAUUAAGGAUCUGGGUUUCAUCGGAGAUAUUAGCUUCCACAAGGUAUCCCACUACUUCCUUUUUUUCACCAACUAAUUUUGUUGCUGUUUAUAUUUGGUUCGUUUAUCAAUUUACUCAGCUCUGAUUUUGGUACAUUUUCCAUGUUAGCAUUCUAUUUCUGUUCAUGGUGAUCGUAGUGCAGCUUAAAUUUUAAGGAGAGUGAUAAAUUUAUAAUCUAAACUUCGUAUUGUACCUCUUGGACAUUAUUAGCAAAAGUUAAGGCACCCCAUUUGAUGAUCAUUUUGUUUUUGGUUUCAAUUAUGCUUGUUUUCUCAUCCUAAACAUGUUGGAUUUUCAAGAACUAAAUCAAGAUUAUACAAACUAGUUUUUUUAGUUUUGAAAAUUUGGGGUGGUUUUGAAAACGGUUUUAAAAAGUAAGUGAUAAAGCAAAAAAACUGUAUGUGGAAGUAGUGAAUCUGAGGUUAAUAGACUUUUUUGGAAUUGUACUUAGAAACAGACUACAUGUGUUGCUUACAACAGUUCUUGUAUCCAUCUGAAGAGGACUUGUACAAGCUGAUAAGAUUCUUGGUGGAGAGGCUUCCUGAAGCUUCAGAUGGAAAAUUUAAGGUUUUGGAAGAUGGUGAUGGUAGGAAAGAAACAAAAGCCGACACUUCGAAAUGCUACUAUGUGGAGAACCAAUCAAACAAGAUCGAUACUGACGAUUCCGUUUCUACCCAUCAGAAGGUUGAGAACAAACUUGCUGAUCUCAAUAUUGUUGCUGAAGAGACAAAAUCUCCAGAUUCCAUCGUUGAUAGAUUCUCUGAUUUCCAUCUCGACCGAAAAAGUUCGGGUGAAGCAGCUAUGGUCGACAAUCUUGUUAACGCUUCCAAGGAUCAGUCUGAGGUGUCUGGAAAUGAAUCAGUUGAACUGCAGGGGAAUAAUAGACACGAAGUUGGUACUUACAUUCAGAAGACCUUUGAAGUAAGUACAUAUGUUUCUUAACUUCAAACAAUUAUUAAAAUCUAGAUUUAGACAUCAACUAGACAUAUGAGAGAACAAAUAAAUGGUCUUCCCCUUGGAAAAGGGUAUUAGAUUGGAUGAUAUAACGAAUAUAUGAUAUCUUCUUUUUUCGAAUGAGAACUGAGACUAAGGAAUUUCAGGAUCAAGAGAUCGGACCAUUGGAAGAGGUCACUACAAAUGCUUCUGAACUAAAGCAUUUUCAAGUGGAGUUGGAAAGGUUGAAGGCAGUAACCAGUAUUGUAUUUGAUGACAACCAUUCGAUUGAAUUUCAUCUUCGGCAGCUGGAGGAGCAAAUAAAUUCUAGAAAACUGGAUCUUCUUGAAAUGAAGUCACGGUGGUGGGGCAUCAUUUCAGUUUGAUGGCUGGAUUAACUUUUAUACUACUGCUUUGGCAUUAUAUUUAGUUUAAAAACGAAGUCAUGUAGAUAUUAAAUUCUAAUACAAAGAUGUAGAUUUCAUUUGUUUUUUUCUUUAUCAUUGAUCUCUACAGGGAUGCAGAGAGGGAGCUUUUAGAAAUUAAAAGGCGAAGUCUACAAGAAUCACUAUGUGCAAGUAAUCCAAAGGCUCAAGAAAAGCUGCAAAAAUUGAGGGAGUUUGAAUCGGAAAAGAAGCUCAUUGAGUUGGAAAUCAGGAGGCGGUAUGCUACUUUCUUUUAAUAUUAAAUAGGAAGUGAAUCCUUACUGAAAUCUCUGAAAUAUUCUCAGUAUUUCUAGUAAUAGUUUUUCAAAAUGAACUACUGUCACAUGAAAUAGAUGUUUUAGAUUAGAAGUUAUUUGGAGAAUACCCUCCACGUCUUAGUUAUAAAUUGAGUUUUUCUUUACUUUUGAAGAGUGAAAAGUACUUGUAGCUAAUUAAAAAUUACUUUUAAAAUUUAUUUCGGUAUUUUAUUACAUUAACAAAAAUGCUUUUAUAAAAUGUAAGCACUAGUCCUUAGAAGUACUUAACUGGUUUGCAUAUUUGUCAAAAAUCAUCUUGAACUUACCAUCAAGUAUCAAUCCCUUAGGUUAAAUCUUAAUCAUUAUAGAUUAGUGGUUUCCUGAGCAAGCUAGGUUUUGAAAAUCAGUAUCAACCUAUCUUUAUAUAAAGUGAUGUCGUAAUGAGGGCUUUUCCUUUUUGGGUGGGUGGGUUUGUUGGCAUAUGAACAUUGAUGUUACUGAUAACGGGAAGUAAUCUGUACUUUUGUGGAGAUAGUUUUUAGGGAUCUAUUGUGUGUUAUGUUAGUAUUUUAUAUUCAAAAUACAGUUCAUGGUGUCUUUUUCAACAUUUACAAGUUUUACAUAUUUUAUUUUUUGGUUUAAACACGAUAGAUUAUAUAGUUUUUCUACCCCAACUCCAAGAAAAUUUCCUGAUCAUAAUAUGCAACAUAAAAAUUUCUUGCAUGCCUAGAACCAUAUUAAUUCUUCCUGAUCAAAUAUUGUUAUCCAUUCUUCAGGGAGGAAGAAAAUUCUAAUAUCGCAAUAGAUCUUAAGAAGCAGCCCAAGCAAUUAUCGAGACGAUCCUAUAUCAAUAGAGUAAAAGAGAUCACAAAAAACAGUCGGAAACAAGACGCUGACAUUGAUCGAAUCCUUAAAGAAACUAGAGAGCUUCAACUAGAAAGUAACAAUAUUCAAGAACGCCUCCAUAGAACCUAUGCAGUUGUGGAUGAGCUAGUUCUCAGGUAUGCAUCACAGAACUCUUGCAUCGUUGACUAAUGUGGUGGUAUUAACGUCUCGCUUUCUCGUCCCUCUUUUACAUUUCAUUCUCAACCCGAAAAAGAAAAUUCGAGGUUUUAUCUUGCUGAGAAAACUAGCUGAAGUGAUUCAUGUCUAUGCAGGGAAGCAAAAAAAGAUGACACAGGCAAACAAGCACACAAGCUUUUAACUAAUAUCCAUGAGAAUUUUGGCGAGAUCUCGAACAAAAUCCUCUCAACUGAUAGACUAAGAAGAGAAACUGCAGAAUACGAGAAGAAGAUAGCGGCCUCGGCAUCCCGAAGCUUAAACUUUAACAAACUACAAGCUGAUCUGGAUGCUAUCAGGAGAGAAAAUGGUCACCUGGAGCAACAUCUAUGCCAUAAAAAAACCAUUGACAAAGUGUAGAAUAUUUUCUGGGGUUUUGUUUAGCGUAAAUCAUUCAUCAUGCUUUUUGCAGCGAUUACAUUCUAGUGUAAAGGAUAGAAUGAUACAAUACAAAUGGCACUGCUGUUACUAAAUUGGGAUUUCAAUAAUGAGUUGGAAUUUGAUGGCUUAUGAUAUAAGUUUUCUACUUUUGGGUUUUUAUUGUGAUUUUAGAUGUGUAUUGAAAUGGAAGAUAGCAUCAUCAUUUUUAGGGUAGGGGAUUCCUUGAUUUUCAAGUUACGUACUCCACUGGAACUUUGGUGGUUAAGCAGUUUUAGGCAUUUUUCUUCCCUUUUAACAUUUUGAAGCUUCUUCUACUUGAAGAAUCUUAACAAAUUCCAUAAUGAUUAAGGGAAUAAGUUUUUACUUGUUGUCCAAAAAUUUAUUACUUGAUAAUUCUUUUAAAAAUAAAACUAUUACUUCACUAUUGUAUUUCUAUUAAAUAAGGUCUCGUUUGAAAUCUAAUAAGGUUGCAAAAAAAAAAGUUUUUAAGUGGAGAAAUGAUUAUAUUAAAAUUGCUUACAAGGAUGUCAUAUAUUUUUAUUAAACAAUUAUAGAAACGUUUCUUUAAUUAUCAAUGUCUAUUAUUGAUAGAACUUUGAAAAUUUACCUUUUUUUUAUCUCUAUAUUUGAUAACUAUUUUGGUUUAUUAUGAUAUAUUCGAAAAAGCUCCUUUCAAAAAAUUGGUUUUUAACUUGAAAAUUUGAUCAAAAAUUCGAAUAUUAACCUAAAAAAAGAUGAGAAGUACGGUAAAAUCGAGGGAAUUAAAAGCUAAAUUAUUAAAUGUUAGUUUUCAUAAAUAUAACAAAACACCGUAAAUAAGUUCAUAUAACAAAACAAAAAACUAAUUGCAAAAUAUUUUAGAUGGUUUCGAUUUCUUCUGCAAUUUUUCUUUUAUAUUUUUUUGAAAUCACGAUCAUUGUUCUACUAUUAUUAUUAUUAUUUUCCAUCAUACUUCUGCUAUUAUUAUCUUUAUUUUCAAUUAAUCUUCAAUCUUGAAUUAUUCUUUUCAAUAUGUCAUGGACACAGAUGAACUAUAUAAUUGUUUAUCAUAGAGCUUUUCAAAACCAUCGUUUGUCAUGCACAACACGAUCUUGUAUCAUAAGCAUACACAGUUGUGUAUCAUAAUUUACACGAUCGUUUAUUAGGGCUUUUCAAAACCAUUGCUUAUCAUGAACUACGCAUGGUCAUGUAUGAUCACAAGAUCGUUCACUAAGUUUUUUUUCUUUUUUCAAAACCAUCGUUUAUCAUGAACUAACAAUCGUGGAUCAUGAACCAUGCGAUGAUGUAUCGUUUCCUAUAAUAUUGCAUAUCAUGAUUGUUUAAAAGAAGAAUUACACUCGCAUCUAGCCAAUUAAUCAUGUGUCAUUUUUUGUAUUUGGCUCGUUUAUUAUAUUUUUUUAAAAACUCCAUUAUUAAACAAAGACUGUUUUCUUUUGUCUUAAAGUUUGGCUUAGACAAGAAAGAAAAGAAGCACGAGCACGUAUGUAAAAUUUAUAUUUAUAUGCUAAAAUUUCAAAACAAUAAUAAUAAAGAAAAAUGAAACUUUUAGUAACGAUAGUUAAUCUUUUCAUCUCCUAAGUUAUGCUCGAAUUGACUAAUAUAUCAUUAUUGUUAUUAUUAUUAUUAUUAUUUCCAUUAAAUAUAAUUAAUGAAACCUUAACUUCUCCGUAAACAACCAAUGUCGGUUCUGAUUUUGUCACCCAACUGUGACAAACGCUUUACACGUGGACGUCUAAGAACCUGCCAAGUGGUAUCUACCAUUGGACCCACCACCCUAAUAUAACCAUACAAUCAAUCACAAUGAAAGCAAAACUAUAACCAAAUCAUUUCAUUUCUUUUCUUUUUGUAAUUUGUGUGUGUUCUUUUUUGGGUGAAUUUCCCCAAUCAUCCUUUCAAAAUAAAAAAAAUUCUUUUAUAAGGGUCUCUUUCUUCUUCCCUCAUUGAUUUUCUCUAAAAGAGGUUGCCACAUUGCCAUCACUUUUGCUUCUCCAUUUCCUCCAUUGAUGUGUGAUUUCAAUACAACUCUGCUUACACAGAAAUGGGGUUUCUUGAUUCUCUGUUUGGAAAAGAUUCAAGAAAGUUUAUCAAAAGAAAAGAUAGCGAUGCUGGUGAAGCAGGUGAUUUCACUUUCACCCUUUUUAAUCCUCUUUUGUUUGUAUAUGUUUUUCUUUAGUUCAAUCUUGGAUUUCUGGCAUCUGGGCUUGUGUUUUUCUUUUUCCUUUUUAUUCUUAUCGAUUGCAUUGUGGUUUCCAAAUCCAAAUUCAUUGGUUUGAUUUGGGGAUUUCAUAGUUUUUGCAUCUUCUUCUUGUAGUUGAUAUUUGGAAUUGGAGGUUCCGUUUUACAUUGUAAUUUCUGAAUUGUUCUGUGUAUGAAGAUUUCAUUUAUUAAUAAAUAUGAGAUACCUUGGCUGUUUCCUAUUGAUCAUUGGUGUUGUUAUCUAUGUUUUUUCAUGAACAGAAGUUCUCAUACUCUAUAAAUCCACAGGCCGAGCGCUCGAAGAAAUCAGAGGUUCGCUUUAUAAUGAACUACGAACUUCCGAUGGGGCGAAACGGCAACAGCAGCGAUAUUGCGGACCUGUAGUGGCAAUGACAUUCAAUUUCAUGGUUGCUGUUGGAAUUAUAAUGGCAAACAAAUUAGUAAGAAAAAUGUUUUAACCAUUUGAACAUAUUUAGAACAUAUUUAUUGUGUUUGGGAAUAGACGAGGCUCUUUACGUUUGUGUGUUUAUUAUUUUUAUUUUGUUUUGUUUUGCAGGUAAUGGGAAGAGUUGGAUUUAACUUUCCAAUAUUUCUCACAUUAAUACAUUACACUAUUGCAUGGUUUUUACUAGCAAUUUUCAAGGCACUUUCUUUGCUUCCUGUUUCUCCUCCUACCAAAACCACUCCCUUCUC